UUUAAGCAUCAUGCUCACGUGCAUUGUGGUUGUUUAUCAGCUAUAUGGUUUAUCAAAAUGAGGGACUGAUUAUGGUCAUAAGUACCUUUUUCCCAUUAAUUUCUUGCAUGUGCUCUGCUGAGAUUAUGUUUUUGACAGUCCAAAUCAGGGCAAACCAACAAACAGCUUUAUGUUAACUUUUACAAACUGCCACAUUUUCAGGUUAAACAAACAGAGAUAAAUCUUGGUGAAACUAGAAGUAAUACAACCUGUUCUGUGGAGAUAAAAGAAAGGGCAGCAGUACUGGUGGCUGCAGAAAUUGAGGCAUGUAGAGACGAUAGAACCCCCAAGAUACCUCUUCAUGAGAAAGUCCAGAAAGAGUGGGCUUGUGCUGUAUGCCAGUUCACAACCCAAACUGAAGCGACCUUCAAUUCCCACCUUCAAGGGAAGAGACAUCAGGCCAUUUCUGAGCAGCUGAGAGCCAAAAACCAGGCAACCAAAACCAAUUGUUCCCCAUCUGCUUCAAUGGCCAAGAAAUCUGAUCAGUCCACCAAAGAGGAGCAACCAAAGUGUACUUCCAACAAUCUGAAUUCCAAAAACAAUGGAAUCUCAGCUGCUUCAACAGUGAAGAAACUUGAUGAGACCAAAGAUGAUGAGCAACAAAAGUCUGCAUCUAGCAAUGGACCAAACCAGAAGAAUAACAAAAAGCAAGAGGUACAGACCAAUGAGCAAGGCCAUCAGAAGAACUCAAGGCAAACUGGUGAUGGAAUGAAAGAGUUGAGAUCAUGGUGCAAUAUCUGUAAUGUAAGCUGCACAAGGGAGCUUGACCUGGCCUCUCAUCUCAAUGGAAGGAGGCACUUUGAUAGGAUAAAGCAGCUGUCUGAAUUAUGGUGCAGUAACUGCAAUGUAAGGUGCAACAGUGAGGUUGAUAUGGCCUCUCACCGAAAUGGGAGGAGGCACUUGGAGCAGCUGAAGGAACAGUUAGGAUUAUGGUGCAGUAUCUGUAGUGUGAGUUGCAACAGCAAGGUGGACAUGGAUUCUCACCUAAAUGGGAAGAGUCACUCGGAUCAGAUCAAGGACCAGUUAAGAUUAUGGUGUGGGGCAUGUAAUGUAACCUGCAAGAGUGAGCGCAACAUGGCCUUUCAUCUGAAUGGGAGGAAGCACUUAGAGAAGAAGGGGAAUACCUGAUUUGCUCUUCAGAUUAUUGAUACUUACAAAUGGUUUUAGUUAGAAGCAUACAGACCAGUGGGUGGUGCUCACAGAUGCCUCUAUUUUGUUGUAUGAAGUAAAAACAGUAUUUCCAUGUCCAGAAAUCAACCACUUGUUUAGUGCAUGCAUGGCUGGUUCAAAAUUAAACCUAAUUGUGAAUGACUAGGAGCAGGGAGGGAAAAAUUGAAGUGAAGAAUGUAAGAUUAUGGCUUCAUUUUUAUUUUUUCCUCUUCUGAAAAUUGUAAGAUUGUGUUAGGAGGAGCUGGAAUGGGUUCAAAUCAGGAAUUAAGACCCAGUUCCAAGACAUGGAAAGUGUCUUUAGAUUAUGUUAAGUUAUUUCCAUUUUUUUUUCUUUAUUUACGGUAAGAGGGAGCAUAAGGAACGAAAAUGAAUAUUUUUUUUUUUUCGAAUAAAAAUGAAUUUGAUAAUUUCAAUUAUUGUGUUUGGAUGUAUUUCGGAAUGUAAGAUUAAAAUAAUUAUUUGUUUUCAUUUUAGUGUUUGAUAAUAAUGAAAGUAUGAAUUAAAAAAUAAAUUGAUAAUAAUAUUCUUAUAUUUAAUUUAAAAUAUAUAUAUAUUUUUUAUUUUAGAAGAAUAUGGGUUAAAAGUUUUUUUUUUUUUUUAAAUAAUAAGCUUAAGAAAAAUAAUUUUUACUCAAUAAAUAAAAUUAAUCAUACAAAGUCAUAAAAACCAAACCAAAAUAUAAGGGUAAAAUAAUAAUUUUAAACUAUUCAUUUAAGUUAUCCAAAUGCAUUCCGACUCUUCAUUCUCUUAUACCAAAUACCGUCUUUAAGUAUUUGUCAAACUUAUUUUUUUGCAAAAUAUCAAUAUUUUACUAAUAUUUUUAUCGAUUAUUUGCCGAUAUUUAUCGCCACGUCACCAAUUCUUUGAGUUUGACUUUCAAAAUUUUGAAAUGAUCUUUGAAGUCCAGUUCAGCCCAAAUCACUACACCCAUGAACUCAUCUACAAAAGGGAACGGCUGGGCCACCACACUAAUAUGGCCCAUACAUGGGACCUCGUAAAAGAAUACCCAUCUUCAAAAAUAGGGACCAUAUUAAAUUAUUAAUGUAGCUAUAGGAAGCAUUUGAGGACAAGGGUUAUGAUUUUUCCCUUUUCUUUUUCUCCUUAAUUUUCACAUCACCCAACAACACCACUCUUAAUUCACACAAAUUUGAAGGUUUGGAAUGAGACUUCUUCAUAAUUAUAUUGUAAUUAUGUUAUAAUAACCAUGUCGUUUUUGGAUUUAUUUAUUCAGUCCAUCUAAAUCUUUUGUUUAUUCGCGUCAAAACAAUAUAUUUAUAAUCGAAUCCAUUUAUGACAUGUUCAUCUUUUAUAAAUUCAUUAAUUUUAUAUAUUUAAAAUUUAUAAAAGUUAAAUAUAUUUUUUCAAUUAUGAAUAUCAUAUUACUAAAAUAUUAAAUAACUAAUUAACUUGAAAUGUUUUAUAUUUCAUUAAUUAUUUUAUAAUUACAAAAUUAAGUGAAAUAAUAAAUAGGUUAAAAUAUAUAUUUUAUUUUAGUUAAAAAUUAUAAAUUGUUAUUGAGACACAUAACUACUAAAAUUCUACCCAUUUGACUAUCAAACAAACAACUUAAGUUUUUAGUCAUAAUUUAAGCUUAUGAUAAACUCUAUUUACAAAAAUUAGAAACCAAAAUCAAAUUCUUCCUAGACUCAAAAAUAUAAAGACAAUCUUUUAACUUUAGAAGAGAACUAUCAUCUAAGAUAAGGGUAACACAUCCCAUUGCCUGUACAACAAUUCUUGCUUCAAAAGCUAAUGUUAGGUACAUAUCCCUAUCAUUCAACCUUUCCCUUAGCUAAAACCCCUAUAAAGAAUUAUAAACAUGAUCAAUGGCUCCAAAAUUUAUCCACCAAGAGUUAGUGGAAUCUAAUACUAAACAUGAUUCAACUAAAAGAGAAUGAUGCAUACCUGACUGUCUCUUUAAGAACUAAGGGCAUUCCUUUUUCUAAUGGCCUUUUUUACCACAAAGGAAACAUUUGUCAUGACCCUUACUCUUCUUCUUCUUCUCUUGCCCUUGAACUUUCCCUUCUGUUUGGUGAAUUCUAUAAUGUUCUUAUUUUGGUUAGAAGAACCUAAAGAACACUUAACUGCCAUAUAAAUACCUCUCUGAUCCUUGAGAAUUCCCUCAAUCAUUUUGUGUUCUCUCAUCAGUUCGGUUAUAGUUUAAGAAAAAAAUUGUUUUUUUUAUGUGACUAAACUUGGAAUGAAUGUCCAAGUUGCAUACAUACUCGGGUUGAGAUCAAGUCAUAAUGUAGUUUAAGAAAAAUAUUUUUUAUUUUUUAUUUUUAUUUUUUAUCUGAUUGAACUUGGAAUGAAUUUCUAAGCUACUUACGUAUCCAGGAUGGGAUCAAGUUCUAACAUAGUCACAAUGCAGUUCAAGAAUUAUUUUUUUUUCUUUUUUUGUGCUCCAACUUUUGCCAAGACUAAAGAUCUUAAUUUUGCGAGCAUGUCCUAACUUUUGCCUAGGUCGCCUUUCCAAGUUUUCAAUUUAGCAAACUAGGUUUUUUUUUUUCUUUUUAGUUCUCUAACUUUUGCCAAGACUAAAGAUUUUAAUCUUGUAAGCAUGUCAUAACUUUUACAUAAGUCGAAUUUUUAGGUUUUCAUAGUGCUGGAUUUUUUUUUUGUUUUUUGUUUUUUUUUUGUGUCGUAGUCAAUUUAAGCUCAUAUGGGUUGGAAGCGAUGUGUAGUUUGUUGGGAUUGAGCCCUUAAAAGCAAGACAUGAUGUAAUAAAGUUAAACUUAACUAUCCCCUUACUAUCCUUUUGGUGUAUCAACAUUGAUUUAAACAUUCAACCCAUAUCUCUUACAUUGUAUAUGAUUUAGAAGCAUUAGGAGUUGUACAGAAGAUACAAGUUAUGUGUUCUUUGUAAGUAGGUGAGUUAUCCAUAGUCAUUUCAUGGAUUUGGGCAAUCUAGUAGAGACUAUAGUGCACCACCUCCUAAUUGAAGGGAUGACUUGUCUUGGCCGUUGGGAUGAGUUUCCUAUGGUGAGCGUACUAGUGUAUAUGAUGCACAUUGGAUAGGACCUAUGACAAAUCAUGAUGCAAGGCUAUCAAUUGUCAUGAUUCACCAAGUUACUAUACUACAUGGACUCUCAACCUUGAGAGGACAUUGAACCUGUGUCAAAAUCAAUAGAAAGUUUUGACCUAUGGGCGAGACCCUAAAGUAGUCAUAUAUCCUUAUGAAUUAGGUCAUUGUUGAUGGAGGCUAGUGAUAAUAGGCAUUCUCAAUAGAGGCACCAUGAUAUGUCAUGCGAUUGAGAUGGUGUGUCCCUUUGGGUGAUCCAAGGAACAUGUGAUCAUGAAAUUUGUGGCCACAGUAAUUCCUUUAGUGGAAUUUGACAUAUGCUCAAGGAUUUGAGAGAUAAUAUUGAUAGGUGAUAACACUAUCUUGUUAGAUUAUAGACACCAGUUUCAUGGGGAAUCUGCAUGUAGUGGAUAGUAGGUCAUGAAUGCGAGCUUUGUCUCGUUGUUAUUUACAUAAGGUACUGGAGUGUAGUUGAUUCUCUUUAGUAGAAUGUUAAAUCAACUUCAAAAUUGGAUUAUGAGGGAGCCAGUACUCCUAUGGGUCUCAAUGGUCCCCACUCUAAGCUUAUAUACCAUGAUGACAUAAUUUAUGAGGGUUGGAUUGGCUUUAGGUUCAUUCUUAUGCAUAAGGGCAUUUUGGUAAUUACUCAAGGUUGCAUAGGGGAUAAUAAAUAAGGUCUCUAGAUUGGACUAAUUGAUUAAUUAGAUGGCCUUAUGUGGUUAAUUAAUCAAUUAAGACAUGUUAGGGCUAGAUUAAGUGACUCAAGCCUUGAUGGGUUCAAGUCACUUAAGCCUAGUGGGUAACCGUAUAAAUACCCCCUUAUGGGUUAGGGUUUUCUAAUGACUUUUAGUUAGUCAUCUUCCACUUUUAGAAAAAUAGAGAGAGUCAAAGCUUCCUCCUUUCCACUGCCCACACUUUGGAAUGCCAAGAUCGUGGAUCGAGUCAUCGAACGAAAGAUCUUGGGUGUAUGAGACCUUCGAACUCUUUAGGCUUCUUCUUCGUUGGAUGGAUUUUGAUCUAGGAACAUCUAGAUCACAUGUAUGUGUUAUAAAAUUUGGUUAAUUCAACCUAAGGUAAUCAUCCUAGAGAAGGGGCGAAUAGGGUGAUGAUCUUUUUUUGAAAAUUUAAAUUAUGUGAAUGCAAGAGACAAUUAUAUGCAAAAUAUAUAGCAAAACCAUAUAAAAACAAUUGCAUAUAAAGUAAAAGGGUAAGGAAGAGAGAAAAUAAACACAAGAUUUUUAUAGCGAUUCAGUGCAACCCGACCUUCAUCCAUUCUCCUCUAGCUUCAAUCCCAAACUUGAGGUUCCACUAAUUUAAGGCUUCCAACCCAAGCCUUCAAGCAAUACAAUCGGAUUAUGGUUCCAAUCAAACCUCUUGAAAUUUUAGUUCUAAGCACAUUUUACAAUCUUCAAGAGAUACCUCACUCUUAAACAACUCCUUAAGUGAUACCCCACACUUGAGAAUCCCUAAGUGAUACCUCACACUUAGAUUUUUCAUCUCAAAGAUUUAUAAAUGAAGAUAGGAAAUUGUUAGCCCAAGGGCUCUCCUAAUCGGGUUUUGAUGAUAAAAAAUCAUGGUUAAAUGACUAAUUGGUUUAAUGGUUAAGAAUCUCAGGCAUAAACUUGAAAAUUCAUCAAAAGACCAAAUGGAUACAAGAUCGAGACGUUUGGAAGACUUGUGAUCAUAGGAAACUAAUGUAAGAUGAAUGCAUGAGUACACUUAGGAUUUUCAUACCGUUUCAUGCAAUUUAGAAAACUCGGUUUAUUCUUUAAAACUUCAAUUUCAUUAAAACUUGAGUUUUAACAAAUGUACCUUAGGCAAAAUGUUUUAAAAUUGGCAUAAUAAUUCACCUAAAAACCUUGCUUAAGUGUUAGAAAAGAAAGGAAUUGAAAAAUAUAGGUUUUCGGGGCCAAAAGGCUCAACCGAUCGAGGCUAUGACCAACCUGCUCAACCGGUUGGGGAAUCGGUCGACCGGUUGCCCCUGUCCGGUCGAGGUUCGAUAGAGGGAUGCACAAAAUUUUCUUUCUCUCCCAGUAGCCUUCUCUUCUCGGUCGAGGUCUGGUUGAGGACCGAUCAAGGUUCGAUCGAGGCAACGGUAACCUGUCAAGCAUUAAAUGUUCCAACGGCUAGUGAACCGGUCAACCCCUAGCUCGACCAGUUGAGGUUACCUUUUGCUGUUUUUGGCUCCCGAGCUUAGAAACCUAUAAAUUGAGAGCUCCACUUUAUUUAUUGACGAGAGAACACUUGCAAUCAAUUGUCUACCUACCUGUUCUUGAUCAAAAAACUCUCAUUUCUUUCUUUGUGCAUUAAAUCAUCACUUGCAUAUCCUUUAGUGCACUCUUAUGUGUCAUCCUAGCUUUGUCUUAUAUUUGAGCUAUCCUUAAGCUAGGUUGAGGGAUUCAUUCUUGUAAAAACUGAGUGUCAAAGCCUUCAAGAGGUUUAAAUCUUGAAGAGAUUGUGUAAGAGCCCAUUGGAGCCAGAAUCCAAGUGUAAGAAGAUUGGAAGCUUGGUUGAAGCUUCAAGUUAGUGGAACCCUCACUCGGUUAAAAGAUUGAGGAGAGUGGAUGUAGGGAAGGAAGUGUCGAACCACUAUAAAACCCAAGUUUGAAUUCUCUAACUCUAUCUCUUUAUUUUGCUUAUAUUGUGCUUGAACUCGUUGUGAUUGAAAAGAAUUUAAAAAACCCAAUUCAUCUCCCUCCCCCCUUUUAGGUGUUUUUCUUAAUUAAGCAUAGCAUUUAUUUUCUCAAUUGGUAUCAGAACUAGACCUCUUGUUUUUUUUUUUUUUUUAAAAAAAAAAAUUAAUCGUCUAAGAGGAUAUGACUAUUGCAUCAAGCUCAUCUCAAGCUAAAAUUUUUUCAAAACAUAGAGCUUCAUUCUUUACGGGAUCCGACUAUCCCUAUUGGAAAACUAGAAUGACUUGGUACUUACAAUCUACUGAUUUAGAUGUAUGAGACGUCAUUGAAGAUGGCCUAACUUUUCCCACUAAACUAGUUGAUGGAGUUUUGGUUCCAAAACCCAAGCAAGAAUGGAAUGAGCUUGAUAGAAAAAACUUUCAAUUAAAUGCUAAAGUCGUUUUUACUUUGCAAUGUGCUAUGGAUAGAAAUGAAUAUAAUAGAAUAUGUCAAUGCAAAUCGGCUAAAGAAAUUUAGAGGUUGCUUGAAAUAACUCAUGAAGGAACUAAUCAAGUGAAAGAGUCAAAAAUUAAUUUACUUGUUCAUAACUAUGAAUUGUUUUCAAUGAAAAAAAAUGAUACUAUUGUUGAGAUGAUUACUAGGUUCACCGACAUUGUCAAUGGUCUUGAAGCUUUGGGAAAAACCUACAAGGAAUCCGAGAAGGUGAUGAAGAUAUUGAGGUCUUUCCCAUCAAAGUGGCAUACCAAGGUCACUGCAAUUCAAGGAGCAAAAGACUUGACUAAGCUACCUAUGGAAGAGCUCAUAGGGUCAUUAAUGACAUAUGAGAUCAAUUUGACAAAGAAGCUACAAGAGGGUAAAGACAAAAAGAAGAAGAACAUAACCCUCAAAGCUAUAACCAAGGAAGAAGAAGAUGUUGAAGAAGAAAAACCAAGUGAUGAAGAUGAUGAUUUAGCCCUCAUCACAAGAAAGCUCAACAAAUACAUGAGAGGUGAAAGGUUUAGAGGAAGAAAGUUCACCUCUAGAAGAGAUCCUUCUAAAAAGGAAUCUUCAUCCCAUGGUGACAAGGAGAAAUGAGAAGAUAAAAGAGAUUUGAUAUGCUUCAAAUGCAAAAAACUGGGACACAUUAAAUAUGAUUGUCCACUCUACAAGAGUGAAGCCAAGAGAAGAAUGAAGAAGGCAAUGAUGGCCACUUGGAGCGAAAGUGAAGAAUCCUCCGAAGAAAAAAAGGAGAAGGAAGUAACAAACAUGUGCUUCAUGGCAAUAGAUGAUCUUGAUGAGGUAAACUCUAACUUUAGUGAUGAAGAUAUGUAUGAUGUUUUUGAAGAAUUAUAUGAGGAUUUUGAAAAACUUAGUUUGAAAAAUAAUUCUCUUAAAAAUAAAAUUCAAGAACUUGAAAAAGAACUUGAAGAAGUAAAAGAAAAAGUUUCAAUUGUUGAAAUAUCUAAAACUCAUCUUGAAAAAGAAAAUAAGAUUUUGAGAAGUGAAAAUGAGAUUUUGAAAAAGAAAAAUGAAUGGUUGACCUCCUCUCUUUCAAUUUUCUCUUGUGGAAAAAAAUAUUUUGAAAUGAUCUUAGUUAGCCAAAAAUGUAUUUUUGACAAACAAGGGUUAGGAUUCAAAUCUUCAAAAAAUCAAAAGUAUUUUAAAAACUACUUUGUAAAAGAAUCCGCAAGUGUAAGUCAUUCUACCACUUGCAACUUUUGUAGAAGAGGAGGAGACAUUAGUAGUACAUGUCUCUUAAGAAAUGGUUCUCAAAAGAAUUCAAAUGCUAAAGCUAAAAAGGUUUGGGUUGAGAAAUCCAAAGUCACUAACCCUCAAGGACCCAAAAAGAUAUUGGUACCUAAAUCAACUUAAAUUUUAUUUUGUAGGGUUCAAAGAAGGAUAAGUGGUUCUUGGAUAGUGGAUGCUCAAGACACAUGACCGGGGAUGAAUCCAAGUUUGUUUUCCUUACAAAGAGAAAGGGAGGAUAGGUUACCUUUGGAGACAAUGCAAAAGGAAGGAUCAUUGGUCAAGGCAACAUUGGUAAUGACACAUCCUCUCUUAUUGAAAGUGUUUUAUUAGUGGAUGGUUUAAAACAUAAUCUUUUGAACAUAAUUUAACUUUGUGACAAAGGUUUUAAAGUGAUUUUUGAAGCAUUUCAUUGCAUUAUCAAAGAUAUUCAAAAUGAUAAAACCAUCUUCAUGGGCCAUAGAUGUGAUAAUUUUUAUGCUAUAAAUAUUUCAAAUAUGAUGGCCAUGGUAAAUGUUUUUCAAGCAUGCAUGAUCAAAGUUGGUUGUAGCAUAGGAGGUUGGGACAUGCUAACAUGGACCUCAUUUCCCAACUCAACAAAGAAGCACUUGUUAGAGGCCUUCCCAAAAGAAAUUUUCAAAAAGACAAAGUUUGUGAAGCUUGUCAAAUGAGAAAGCAAAUCAAAAACUCUUUUAAAAACAAAAAUUUCAUUUCAAUAACUAGGCCUGCAUAUGGAUUUAUUUGGUCCCUCUAGGACACCAAACCUUGGAGGAAAAUCUUAUGCAUUUGUUAUUGUGGAUGACUUCUCUAGAUACACUUGGGUCUUAUUUUUAAGUCAAAAGAAUGAAGUCUUUUUUGAGUUUUCAAAGUUUUGCAACAAGGUUCAAAAUGAAAAAGGUUUUACAAUUUCUUGUAUAAGAAGUGAUCAUGGAGGAGAGUUUGAAAAUAUUGAUUUUGAAGACUAUUGCAAUGAGCAUGGUAUUAACCACAAAUUUUUGGCUCCUAGAACUCCUCAACAAAAUGGGGUAGUUGAAAGGAAAAAUAGAACUCUUCAAGAAAUGGCUAGAACCAUGCUAAAUGAAAACAAUUUACCAAAAUACUUUUGGGCCGAAGCAAUUAACACUUCUUGUUAUGUUUUAAAUAGAAUUUUAUUGAGGCCUAUUCUUAAAAAAACUCCCUAUAAGCUUCGGAAAAACAAGAAACCCAACAUUAGCUAUUUCAAAGUCUUUGGGUGCAAAUGCUUUAUAUUAAAAACCAAAGACAAUCUUGAAAAUUUUGAUGCAAAAUCGGAUGUUGGAAUUUUUCUUGGUUACUCAACUUUAAGUAAAGCCUUUAGAGUUUUUAACAAAAGAACCAUGGUUGUUGAGGAGUCCAUCCAUGUUAUUUUUUAUGAAUCUGACAAUUCUCUCCAAGAAAGAGAGAGCUUUGAUGAUGAUUUAGGCUUGGAGACCUCCAUGGGAAAAUUACAAAUUGAAGAUAGAAGGCAACAAGAAGAAGUUGUAGAGGAUCCCAAGAAAGAAGAAUCACCUUUGGCACUACCUCCUCCUCAACAAGUGCAAAGUGAAUCAAGCUAAAACCUUCCUAAAGAUUAGAAGUUUGUCAUCAACCACCCACAAAAUCAAAUUAUAGGUAAUCCAUCUAGUGGGGUAAGAACUAGAUCAUCUCUUAGAAACAUUUGCAAUAAUCUUGCUUUUAUCUCUCAAAUUGAACCUAAAAAUAUAAAUGAUACUCUAGUUGACGAAAAUUGGAUGAUUGCUAUGCAAGAAGAGUUAAAUCAAUUUGAAAGAAGUGAAGUAUGGGAAUUAGUGCCAAGACCUCAAAAUCAAAGUGUUAUUGGAACUAGAUGGGUCUUUAGAAAUAAAAUGGAUGAAAAUGGCAUAAUUAUAAGGAAUAAAGUAAGAUUGGUAGCCCAAGGUUUUAAUCAAGAAGAAGGGAUAGAUUAUGAAGAAACCUUUGCUCUCGUAGCUAGAUUGGAAGCCAUUAGGAUGCUACUUGCCUUUGCACGUUUUAAAGACUUUCUUUUAUAUCAAAUGGAUGUGAAAAGUGCUUUCUUAAAUGGCUUUAUAAAUGAAGAGGUAUAUGUUGAACAACCACCCGGUUUUCAAAGUUUUAACUUUCCUAAUCAUGUUUUUAAACUUAAAAAUGCACUUUAUGGUUUGAAACAAGCACUUAGAGCAUGGUAUGAAAGAUUGAGUAAAUUUCUUUUGAAAAAGGGUUUUAAAAUGGGAAAAAUUGACACAACUCUUUUCAUAAAAAUAAAGAAAAUGACAUGCUCUUAGUGCAAAUAUAUGUUGAUGAUAUCAUUUUUGGAGCUACUAAUGUCUCUCUUUGUGAAGAAUUUUCUAAAUGCAUGCAUAGUGAGUUCGAAAUGAGCAUGAUGAGAAAACUUAACUUCUUCCUUGGACUUCAAAUCAAGCAACUAAAGGAAGGAACCUUCAUCAAUCAAGCAAAGUAUAUAAGAGAUCUCCUCAAAAGGUUCAAUAUGGAGGAAGCGAAAACAAUGAAGACUCCAAUGAGUUCAUCCAUCAAGCUUGACAAGGAUGAGAAAGGUAAGUCCGUUAACUCAACUAUGUAUAAAGGCAUGAUAGGUUUUUUGCUAUAUUUGACCGCUAGUAGACCUGACAUCAUGUAUAGUGUAUGCUCGUGCGCUAGAUUUCAAUCUUGUCCUAAAGAAUCUCACUUAAGUGCCGUAAAAUGAAUUCUUAGAUAUUUAAAAGAGACAAUGGACAUAGGCCUAUGGUAUCCUAAGAGUGAUAACUUUGAAUUAAUUGGAUUCUUAGAUGCCAACUUUGCCAAUUGUAAAGUUGAAAGGAAAAGCACUAGUGGCACUUGUCAUUUCCUAGGACACUCACUUGUUUCAUGGCAUAGUAAUAAGCAAAAUUCGGUAGCCUUGUCAAAGGCGGAAGCAGAAUACAUAGCAGCUGGUUUAUGUUGUGCACAAAUCCUUUGGAUGAAACAAACACUUAGUGAUUUCAAUUUGAUUUUUGAGCAUGUUCCUAUUAAACGUGAUAACAUUAGUGCCAUAAAUAUUUCAAAAAAUUUGAUGCAACACUCUAGGACUAAGCAUAUAGAGAUUAGACACCAUUUUCUUAGAAAUCAUUUACAAAAAGGUGACAUUACACUUGAAUUUGUAAGCACAAAAGAUCAACUUGCCGAUAUUUUUACAAAACCUCUAAGUGAAGAGCAAUUUUUUUAUAUUAGAAGACAACUAGGGGUGAUUUCUUUAUAAUCAAAUGAUUACUUGAUGAAUUCUUGAUUGAAUAUACCUUAUGAUUGCGUGAAUUUCACAUCAUAUGCAUCAUAUAGAAAUAAUCUUAGGAAAAAGGUCAAAUUUUGACCAAAAAUCAAAAUUCCCUUGGCAUUGGAUAUCAAAAAUUGGGGAUUUCAACUGAAAAGGGCAAGGGAAGGAUCACGAGACAAGCAAAAGCCAAAAAAUUAGAGCGUUGACCAUUGACCAUUGACCAUUGACCAAGCGGUUCGUCGGGGCUGGGAAUUUAAAGAGACCCCCGCGCUUUAUUUUUUUCACUAUUCCCCUCAAUUCCUUGAAAACUCUUCACAUACCUGCUUCCAGAGACCACUUUGGGUUGAAUCUUGGACCAUUUGAAGGGCUUGGAGUUGUUUUUGGGACGUUUUUAAGACUAGGGUUUCAAUCUGAAACCUAAGGUUUCCAUUUUUAGGAGCAAUUCCUCUCAGACCACGUGCAUCAGCCAGGCUCAACUCCUUCUCCUUGCGCUUAGGGCUUCCGGUUGGAUUUCAUUCUCUCUUGUUUGGUUUCAUUCUCUCUUCAAACUUCUUUUUCUUCAUUUUCCGUUCUUUGGAUGGCGCCUAGGAGAGAGACAACUACCUCUAGGGCUCAGGGCAAGCGCCCUGCUGAGCCAUCUCAACCUGAGCAGAUGGAGGCUCACCGAAAGGCGAGGUAUGACACGACCCUCUGUGGACCCGCAUUUUUCACGUGCGUCCCCACUCGAUCGGCGAGACUCGCUUUUUAUUUGUGAAAAAUUGAUCUUUAAAAAAAAAAAAGUUGGAGUCGCCACCUAUUUUAUUUUUAUUUUGAAGGGAAAAUAAAACAAGAAAGAAAAACCCUAAAAAGUGACUCCAUGGUUUUGGAAAAAGCAUGUCUUUGAGAAACCCGAGUCUAAGUCCGGGGAUCAGGUUACUUAUUGGGAAGGUACCUCUAGGAGGUAGCACCCCUCUAAGCCCUAAAAAGGUCUCUACUGACUAAGUUAAGGGAAGCGUGGCAAUUAAAUGGUUGAUCAUGGAUACCUAAGUAGGCUAGGUGAUUCCAAAAACAUAACAUAUCAAACAAGAUCAAAUCACAAUUAAGGAGAGUUAAAAAUGCGUACCUGGACGGCUUCCCAAACGCUAUCAUAAAACAUAAGAGAUUAGUUUGGAGAUACAUCACACAACAUUUGUUUUACUCAAGCAAAUCAGGCAUAUAUCAAGACAUUCAAGAAUCACGUCAAAUAUGGAUAUGGUCAUCAAUGACAUACAAGUCCAUAGAAUUCUCGAAAAAAGGAUGAAAAUGAGCGUACCUGGAUAGCAAGCUAGAGCGCCUUUAUGGGAAACAAGGUUAACCCAAUAACAAAUUCAAGCAUAUCUCCAAGAAGAAUCAAAAUCAAUUGAAUACCAAAAAAUCAUCUUUAAAAUCAAUAUUAGUGAAGAUAUUAGGAAUGUAGGACCCCCCACCAAAGUCCAUAUUACUUUUGCACGAAUUGAUUCAAUGAAUUCCAUUAUUUGGAAUCGUGAAGCUUAUUCAUGCUUGUCAAAAAUCGAGAAAAUCAUAAAAUAGUUGAAGAUGAUGAAAAUGCAUGCCGGAAGGGAAAAUGGCAGCAAAUAGUAUGUUAAAAUUUGGAUUUUAUGCCUAGAGACUUCUCAGGAAUUUUAAAUAAAACUAGAAUUAUUUUUUACGGGAAAAGAUUUUGAAAUCCAGAUUUAAAAUGUGUAAGAUAACAAAAAGAAUAAGGAGAAACAUUAGGAGUAUGGUGUGUGGCAAGGUGACCACUAUAUGAGUGAGGUCUGGAGGUGCACUUGAGACUAAAUGGUUGAAACAGAUUGCAUAGGGAGCAUUCUGUACACCACUAGUUGUCUAGAAAGAAACUGAAUGUGUUCGUUUCCGAGCCCAUGUUCACCGGAGUUUAGGGUGCCACCUCAUUUAAAAAAAAGGGCUUCAAUACAACUCUAGUUUCUCAAGAUCACAAUCUGAAUUAUCAACAGAAGCUUCUGGUGAAGACAUAAUGCUCAAUUUCAGAUUAAAUUUCCUGUUCUAUAACUCGUUUUCUCUGAAUUUUCCUUUAAUGUCUGUGCUUUCUGAUCAUAUAAGUUGCCCGUCUGGUUCCUUGUUUGAGACUCUGCCGAACCUGGAAUAAUGCUUCUAGGUCUAGCUGAGGGGACCUACACCCCUUUUCAUGGAACCUGAGGCAUGCGUUAAUUCGAAACUCUAUUACUUUGCCUUCCAUUGCUUUAAGUCUUUUAGCCAUCUCAGCCACAAAUCUGGAGAUUCAUUUAUCUUUCUUUAAUAUUCAAGCCAAAUGUCAAUCCAGUCCGCUUAAACCCCGAUUUGAAUGAUUUUGAACCCUCUUUUUGCGCUCUUGAUGUUUUUCAUUUCAACUACAAUGACAAACCACCCUUCGAAAAAAGAAGAAAUCUGGACCAAAUCCUAAACUUUUAAUUCACAACUUCUUGAGCCUGACUCUGAGUCGACACAAUUGAAUCACCUUGGAUAAGAGUGCUUCUAAAAAUCCUCCAGAAUGUAGGCACAAGUGCAGCGUUCGUUAAUAAUGUCCAUGGCAUGUCACAAAGGAAAGCUUCUUUUUUUAUAAUCAUCAACGCAAAUUGACUCUUAAUGGACCCCAUUGCCAGCGUCACAUCAAAGACUGGACAGAUAGGGAGAUUCACAAUUUCGAUAGCUAUCUUUGCAUUAUUUGGGCAGGGCAACCAUGUUAUGGAUAUAUAGCUCGAAGGUGACUUGCGUUUUGUUCUGUAUCAUCAGUAGCAGCCUCAAACCCGCCAUAGGUUUGAGUGGUAUUAAAAGACUCAACAUGAUCAGCUGUAGGUGAUCGAGCAGCCAAUUCAUCAUUGAGCAAAUCAAUAAAAGCUUGGAUAUCGUUGCCGAGUGGCCUAAAAUCAUUAGAUAAAUCAUUAAAGUCAUUAAGUAUAUUACUGAUCUCCAUGAAAACCCUCCUCCUUGCUUCUGUAGAGCGAACACAAGCUGCCACUAAAAUUGGUUAGCCCGGAUUGCUAAUUUAUGCAUCCAAUCACCAUCGAUUUCUCUUGUCCUUUUUGGAACUUCUGGAAUAUGGAUGAAACCUGUGAAGAAUGUGGUGGAAUUGCGGUCUGCAAGCACGAAGUUUCCAGUUACUUGAAAUGCUUCGAAAUCAUGGUUCCAGUUUACAUCUACAGGCAUUGGCUCAAGUAAGUUCGUAUCAGCUUGGGUGGCUUUCGAUUCCAAAAGCUCUAACAACAACAUGAUUCUCAAAUAUCCGAACAGCAAUGUCCAAAAUUGAAUCAAGAAAAUUCUUUAGCAGCAGUAUGUGUUGUCCCUGCUGGAGCCAUCACAGGAGCAACUAAGCUAACUGCCAAAAAGGUUCUAGCCAGUGAGAUCCCAUUCUGACGUUUCGGUUUUGGUGACUGAUAGCUUUCUAAUUGUCCCUGCAAAUAAUGUAAACCAAUAGUUCCAUUGAAUGGAUUGUCAUCCAGAGCAAGGAUCCGAAUACUUGUAAGGCCAUCAACGAAAUCAGCGAGGGUGGUGUCGACUUCGUUGUAAUCGAAGAAGGCGAGUUGCAAUUCAGACAAUCUGCGAGAAGAAGGCAAUUUUCCAUUGAAGUGGUUCAUCUGAAACCCCAAAUUGCAGAGCAUUGAAAGCUGGUUGAAGUUUUGAGGGAGAGGUCCCUUUAAUCCCAAUCCCUUAACUUGAAUCUGUGUAACUCUGUCACCACUAUAAAAUACACGAGGCCACAAAUUUGACUCCACCCGUUGGCUCCUUUCCUUCAUUCAUUCGCUUUAACAAGUCACAUUUAAUUCCAAAGAAUAUUAUAUAAUCUUCAAGUAUGUUCAAAUCAGAGGGCUCUAGUCCGUUAACCUUUACACUCUCUAGCAGGUUCUGUUCUUGUCUCUUCCUAUUAUACAGAAGUUCAAGCAAGUUUCAUAAAGCCUGAAUUUCUACACGUAGCCACUACUGGGGUCAGGUUUAUCCAAGUGUGCUGCUCCAACAGAAUUAUCGAUGUGUCAGUUUCUCUAAAAAUCACCUUGUGAAUCAAUCCACAAUACCGAGGCAUCCCAUCAUCAGAACUUCCUAAGCUUUCAGCAAGUAGGCAAGCAUUUAUGCUUGAGUCAACUCUACCGAUGACAACAAACCCAUCCAAAUCAAACUUCAUAGCUGUUUCUUCUUUUCCAUUAAUAUCAACUGGUAUCCUUUCUAAAAGAAUGCUUUUCUUAUGACGACAUGACAGUAAAACCCUUUUGCGAGAAUGGCUCAGAGUUUUGAUCAUCAUCUGAUUCUAUUGUAUUACUGGAAUGAUUGCUUUGGUAAAUGGAAUUCAACAGAAUCCACACAUUCAUGACUCUAAAAUUCAGCUUACUAGCAACCAGAUGGAACACACAUUUUCUGGUUCAGGCAUUCGUUUCUGGUCAGAUUCAUGGUAUCUUAGCGGUGCAACAGACGAUGCAGCAACCUCUUCUAGAGUGCCUUUUAUGAGCCUCAAGAGCAAAGGCCAAUGAUAGAUGAAGCGGUCCCUCUGCACUACUUGGGCUUCUGAUUCAGAAGUUAUCAUGAAGCCAACGAACAAGCAGAGUGAACGCAUUUGCAGUCAACCUUAAAAUUUCUAAUAUUGUCAGCAGGCCUGAUGGUAAAAAAACGAAAGUAGGGGAGCCUUAUUCAAGAGGAUCAUUGCGAACACUGUCACGUGUUAUUGGUGAGCUUGUUGGCAUCUUGUUUUGGGCAGAAUAAUGAGAUCCUUCAGUUAAUUAGAGAUCCAUAUCAACUAAACACCAGAAUCAUGGAUUUCCCAUGCUUUCUACUGGACAACGAUUGUCAGUUCUUUCUCUUGUUCACUUCUACUGGCAGUGGCUUGACUCUCCAACAAAACCCCUGAUGCACCCUGUAGCUCCUCAUUUAAUUCUGGAUUCUUAUCAGCAUCGCUUUCUUCUCCCUUUUGAGACUCUUGGAGUAUGAAAAAGAAAACUUGUGAAGAAUAAGGUGGAAUAUCCCAGCAAUGCAGUAUGGUAGGACCCAUUUGAGGGGGAACCCUGCAUUCAUCACUCUCACCUCCAGUAGCAUUAGAUGCUUGCUGGACCCAAUUCAGCCAGUCUCUGCAUAUUGACUCUCAAUAUAAACGUUUAGAAAUAACAAUGACUUCAUUUCUACUGCCUUGUUUAGACCUUCCUUGAUCAAUGUCUACCUUCAUUUCUCACAAAUUCUGGUUCUACUAUUAAAGUUCUGCCCCCAGUCCGUUUUGCAAAGCAUAAGCUAAUUUUAUAUUUGUAUAAUUCCAUCUUAACACACAAGUCCGUCGUAGCCUUUCCUGAGAAGUUAGAGAAGUUGCUUUUCUGAUAUAAAAAAGCCUUUCAGAACCAUGCUGAAGCUCUGAAUGUUGAUAGUUUUCCAUUGCAACUGAUAUGAGCUCCUCAUCGGUAGUGUCACAAGAAUGAUUCCAUGAGAAGUUUCUUGUUGCAUCACCUUUUUUAUGUAUUCCAACCCCAACUGUUGAGUUUCUUGAAAUUGAAACUACGGAACUUAGUUAUUUUGAAUUGUUUGCAUCUGUAGUGAUAAAUCACUGGAAGAGACAAUCAUAAUUUAGGCACUUGAUUUCCGUUUCGGUCGAACUAACAGCUUCGUAACUGUUAAUCUCAAGGUCAGAUUCAUGCUCUUGUUUCUCAAUUUCCUCUUCCCAUGAGAAUUUUUUUCAUAACAAUCGAAUGAAUUCUUAUAACUCCCAAAAGUUUCUAGCUUUUGCUGAUCAUGGAGGUGCCUCACAAUACUUGUCAUUAUACUCACUUUGGAAUUUUUCUGGUCCAUGUUCACUUUGAAUGAAUGUAUCCCUAAAGGGGGUAUUCAAUGACUGCCCAUAAUGAGUUACAAGUUCCCCAAAAUAGAAUAUAAUGAUCGUCGGCCUUACAGUACUGCUGUUUUAAAAUUUUCUGCUCGCUGAACAGUCAUAGUUCAAACCAUCAAUAUCAAAAGGCUUUCCCAGGCACUCAUCUUCAGAACCAUAAGGCCAGCAAGUCUGCAACCGUUUGAGUUGGGUAAAAAAGAAAGUCCUAAGCAGUGGAAGUGCACAGCAUGAUGCUGUCAAGUUUCAAUAACUUAAAUAUUGGCCAACUUAAGCCAGACCAUAUUCCUCAAAAAUCCAUUCUUCCUCUGCUCAUGUAAACUUGUAAUGCUGUCAGAAAUCCUGUCUUCAGAAUAGCAACCCUGACAAUUGAGUAUGGAAAGCAGAAUACCCAUGUGCUUCCAACUAAGCUUUUUACAACCAUCCUCAUAAACUGAGGCGUGCCAUUCUAAAGAAAAGGCAGAGUCUUUUAGAAAUCACAAUACUUCUGAAGCAGCUUGAAUUAGCAUAUUGCAGUAAUUGGAAGUCGGAUUGACUGAAACAGGGGCUCGAACGCAUCCAUCUGUAAAUCUUACAGACCGACCACCCUCAGAGAAAAGGUCUCCAAAAAAAAGGCUUCAGCUUCAUGACAAACAGCAUUCUCUGUUUCAGAGUUGCAACUGCCCCUGUUAUACUACUCCUGUGCACUUCAGCAUUUAUUCUUUAGUUAUACCGUCCCUUUAGAUAGCAUCUAUCCCACACCGUGAAGCAAGCAAGGUUCACUAUAAUAGGAUCUAGUAGCAGCAACAAACGGGUGAUCCUGGAGAUAUUUUAAACUCAACUUCAUCAACAUCUUCAGCGUGCACUUCUGUUGGAACACAAGCGAUAGUAGCAGUGAAAAAAAAAGUGUUGUACUGAUCCCGUUAGGAUUGCAGCCCAGAAUACCACGAACAGAGAGCCCCAAAAAUUGAAGCAACUCUGCAUCCAACUAAAUCACAUCUAGAACCCGGUUUAACGACUUUCUUGUCUUGAAGAGGAAAUACCCAAUCUGACUCAACAAUCUGUUAUCAUGUGCCAAACCCCACAAACAGCCCACAUUCUACGCAGCCUUUAUAAAGUCUCUACCUUUCAUGAAAUACUCAUGCCAUCAUUGUCUCCAUAGCCCAGAACACCAAAGUAAAGAAGAGGAAGAAGCGUAGAUAUAGAAGCACAAAAAAAGAAACCGAACAAAGAAAGAAAAAAAAAAAAAAAAAACGAAAACAGGGGAAUGGAAGGCAAUGGGUGGGAAAUCUGAAUAAGUCACAUUUCAUUAUUUUCAAAAGGGCUUUGAAGAAUCUGAACACAUUAGGACAAGCUUAGUUAAAAUUAUAUCAGGAUUCCACAAACAUUAAAAUUCAAACAUAAGUCUCUGUUUCAGCUAUUUAUAAAAAGAAUCAAAGAAAUCAAGAACACAAUCAUAAUAGAGCAAGUUUGAAGGAAAUUUCGAUUCAACAACGCAAAUAAAUGGCCCUCAAUGUCCACUCCAAUCAGCAAGAACAACUUCCCGAAAACAGCCAGAGAAUCUCAAGUGAAUGUAAACGGGAAUACCAAAAUAAUAAAAAAAAUAACAGGAAGCGUACCUGGCAGAACCUUGGCUGCAAUCUCCCUCUCUUUCUGCUCUUCUCUCCGCACUUUUUCUUCAAGAUCUCUCUUUUUCUCCUUUUUCUCCUUUCUUUCUUUUCUUUCCUUCUUCCUUUUCUUUCCUUCUCCCUCUCAAGCCCAAAAAUCCUAUCUCUCCCUCCGGAUCUCUCCAAAAAAAAAUCCCCAUGCGUGCUGCCAGUCCCACUUUUCAAAAAGAAAACAUCUUGCUGAAAAGGAAAAUCCUACUUCCUUUUCUCCUUUCUUUCCUUUCUUUCUUUUCUUUCCUUCUUCCUUUUCUUUCCUUCUUGUAGCCGAUCCCCACAUGGAAGAAGUAUAUGUGCUGUCCCUCUAAAAAUCAAAAUCUCCUCUUUUCAAAAUUCCGUUGAUUUUCCUUCCAAAUAAAUGGCGGUUCGUUUCCUCAUGCCCAAAAAAUAAAUAAAAUAAAAAAAUAAAAAUAAAAAAAAUAAAAAAUAAAAAAUUAAAAAAAUUAAAAACAAAAAUAAAAAAAAAUCAAUCACAUGCAAGCCAUACGAGCUAUGUAACCACCAAAGGAAUAUGAGUUAUGCAACCAUGCAAAAACACGAGCCAUGCAACCAUGCAAACCAUGCAAAAACAUCUAAAGGUGACCUAGGGUGUGUCCUAGUGCGCUAGGGCAAACGAAAUGGACUAAGUGUGCUUAAAAGCUAUCCUAAAAAAAAGAAAAGCCUACGACUAAGUUAGGGCUGCCAAGGGUCACAAUAAGGGAUCAAAUAAUCCCUCAACCAAAAUCUCCGAGGUGACUCAGAAAAAGGUUAGUGGUAUGAGUAGCCAUGGGCCACCAAGGAACUAUGGGGCACUGAAAACGAAUUUAAAGACAUGUGCUAAAGGGACAAAAUUGAGGGUCUACACCCUCUUCAGUUCUGUUGAAGAUUAUCAAAGAUACAAGCAAAAAUUCUCCCAGAGGAAACUAGGGAGAAAUAUCAAUUUCUCCCAACUUUAGUACUUCGGGUUUGAGGGACUCUUUAGUCGGAUGGGAUAACUGCCAGUUGUGAUGAUUUUCGAGCCGAUCUUCCUGACUCUGGUGCGGGCAUUUUAUUCAUAGGUGACUUAUGGACUUGGAGGACCAGUCAUGUCCACUAUUAGAGGUGUUGAGAUCAGACUGAGCCCGGAGAGCAUUUUCCGCAUUCUCGACAUUCCUUUAGUUGGACUCCGGGUGUAUGAGUCCAAGGUUUGGCCCACUGUGCCGGGAUUCGAGCCUAGAGAGGCUAUUCAGAGGCUGUGCGGACUUGUAGAUGCUGAGGGGAUGGACAAACCAUCGGCACAUAGCCUGACCGUGACCAGCCAAGUCCUUCAUCACAUGAUUUGCUCCUAUUGCCACAAGGCGGGUAUCGAGAUGAGAUUUCCUACCUGGAUGCUUUCAUAGUGGACACCAUUCUAAUGGGGAGAUGGAUUCAUGUAGGGUAUUUGAUGAUGAUGCAUAUGAUAUCCUACUAUGAGAGCACGACCCGAGUACUCCCCUACAGACGCUUCCUCACUCGAGUAUUCAAGGAUGUCGGGGUCGAUUUGAGUAGAGAGACGAACUUCGAGGCCCUUACUAGCUAUGAUACUUACGAUGAGCAGUCCUUGGAGCGGAUAAAGUUUGAGAAGGCCCUCGAUGGCUCCUGGAUUAGGAGAGUUGAGCGAGCUCCAGCAUAGGCCCGGGGACAAGGAUAGAUGCAUCCCGGAGUAGAGGAGGAGGCUGAGAUCAAAGAGAUGGAGGAUGGGUUAGACCCAAGGAUUGAAAUAUCGAUAAAUAUGGAUAUAUCGGUACUUGGAUUUUACGGAUAUAUCGGAAAUAUCGGAGAAAUAUCAAUGGAUAUUUUUCAUCAAAUAUCGGUGAGACAAAAAUUAUCCAAAAUUGAUGGGAAUGCUUAGAAAAAUCCAAAGAAUGAUAAAAUAAGCAAGAAUAUACAUGUUAAAGUUAUUUUAUGAGUGUAAUUGACAUAAAUAUGGUAUAAAAAAAAUAUAUAUCGGUAAACAGUUUACGAUACUUGGAUUUUAAGAAAAGAAAAUAUGAAAUUUGGAAUUGUACACUUAAAAAGUUAGAAUUGAGUUAAGAAAUAUUUGAUUUUAUUAAAUGAAAAAAAUUUACACAUAAACAUAAUACAUAUGACAUUGCAAUGGUCCUUAAUACCAAAAUGAAGAUCGAUGUGGUUCCAUCAUAUUGUUAUUGUUAGAUGAAGGGAGCCCAUCUUGUUGAAGACAAUAUUCAUACCAGGACAUGGAGUUUCGAUAGUAUUGAUUGUAUGUACUAACAUGCCAUGCAUAAAUUUCUUGAGUCCUACCGACAACCUGUCCAUGGAUGGGAAAUCCAGGGUUUUCCCAUGUGCUCGUUUGAAAUCCUUGUUGUUGCAGCUGAUGUAGAAGGUAGUAUGGAAUUUGUGUGGAAGAAUGAUAGUUAUACCUUUCAUACUCUUCAUCAGUGGAACUUGAAAGAUUUUGAGGAGGCUGACCAUAACUCAUUGCAUAAGGGGCAUAAAUGUUGGCUUCAUUUGAUGAAUCACUUAAUUGAGUCUCUACACUCAUCGACUCAAAACUGGCCGACAAUGAGUCCUCGUUGUAUGGCAUCAUCCUUCGUUGUCUUCCUCUAUAUGGCUUUCCAAUGGCUCCAACACCUGGACCGGCUCUUCUAGAGCCGUGGUCUUCAUCUUGAGUACAAUGUGUGAAAUCAUCUUCACUAAUAAAUGCCAAUGGUUGUCCACUUUGUUGAUGUUGUCUAACAUCCCCUUCAUCAUUUUCAGGGUCGCUACCAUCAUUGGUCCCCUCUCCUCUUGAAUCAUCAUAACCGGAAGCGGAAGUACCAGUAGCACUAGGUCUACUACUAUGUUCAACACUCGUGGGGUCAAAAGAAGGUCGAGAAGUGACUACCAGCUGAGAAAUUCCUUGUCGAAAUGAAUCUUUCGUGUCUUGGUUGAAACUAUCAAUAUGAACUUCUUCGGAUAACACUUGAUCAACAUCAACACCUGCUUCUCGGACAUGUGCGGCAAUUCGUGGGUCGAGAUUUCCAUCUUCAUCAUCUAAAUGAAGAGGUCUAACCCAUUGAAACAAUUGGUUAUCUUCUUCUUCACCAGCCUCAGUUGCAAUAUCAAGUAAAUCAAGGUAAUCUUUCUCUGAAACUUUGUCAUGUUCUGCUUCCAUGUCACGUAUCUUUAGUUUCAUGUUAUAAUAAUAGAAAACUAAUUGUUAGAGCAUCGGGUAAGCAAGCUGAUUUCUUUGUUUUGUAUGAAUUAUGGAAAACAUGCUCCAAUUUCUCUCACAAGCUGAAGAUGAUGCAGUUUGCGAUAAAACCUUGAUGACCAACCUUCUUAAUGUAGGAGUGUGAUUUCCAUACAUGAACCACCAUUCAACUACAACCAAAUAAAUGAUAUCAAUACUUAUAUUGGAAAGCUAUAAUAAUAUGCUAAUGAAAUGAAUUAUUAAUUCACAAAUAAUACUCACCGAGAACCAUUUCUAACCUCGAAGCAAUCACUGUUUGAUCACCGAAUCCUCUUUUUGCAUCUCGGAAUAGUAUAAUCUACAUAUUAAAUAAUUGAAAGUGAAAAAGUUGAGUAAAUGAAAUUAAAUUAUUUAAUUUAUAUUAUAACUCUAAUAAUUUACCUCAUUUCCAAAUUGACUAAAACCUUCUGAUGUAGGAUCUAAUUUCGCAAAGACUUCAUGGACAACUUGAAGUAGAUCAGGAUCAGUACCAACUCCAUGUUUAUAUUGAAAUCUUGGAUUAAGAAAGAAUGCUACAAUAGUAAAAUAGAAAUGUAAAAUUAGAAUGUUAUGAAAGAAACAUAUUAAAUACCAAUAAAUUUCAAAGAUGAAUAAUACUUACCUGCUGCAUGAAAAGGAUGUUUAAAAGUUCUAUCCCAACGAUAUGCAAUUAUUUCUAACACCCAUUCUUUAGCAUUAAGUCGAAUAAGGUUCUCUUUCAUAACUCGAAUCAAUUCGUACACAAAUGGCAUUGUAGGAACAACUUCUGAAUCGACAAUGCGAAGAACUGUGUAUAGCGCCUCAUAUAUUGACACUAGCUUUCCCACUCUUUCCUAGUAUGCAUGGUCAAACAUAAGUGAUUCAACUUCUUUGCCGAUUAAUGUGCAACUUAAGUUGUGUUGUGCCCAUUCAUCACUGAUAAAUAUUUUCUUCAAGUUUAUUUUCUUUUUCAAAAGACUGUCGAAGGCUAUAUAAUUGGUUGCAAAUCUUGUUGCUCCAGGACGAACUAUGUCUCCACCACACACCUUCCGCAUCUGGGUAAGCAACCAACCAUGGUUAUAAAUGAAGUUGGUUAUCUUUCGAGCCUUUGUAAUCACAUCUGCAACACUCGUCCUUUUACCGAUAUCUUCGAACAUUAAGUCGAUGCAAUGUGCUGCACAUGGAGUCCAAUAAAGAUUGUAUUUCUUCAUUAACAACUUCCCCGCCUUCAUGAAUGCCGACCCAUUAUCUGUAACUAUUUGGACCACAUUUUGUUUGCCAAAUUCCUUGAUCACAUCCUUCAACAAACCAUAUAUGUAUUUGUUGUCCUUUAUAUUAUUUGAUACAUCAACAUAUUUGAGGAAGAUUGUGCUACCUUUUGAAUAUACCAUGAAAUUAAUUAUGCUUAAUUUCGUGGGCCCAGUCCAUCCGUCAGACAUAAUCGUGCAUCCAUAAGUCUUCCACUUUUCUCUUUGAAUAUUGACAUAAGCUUCUAUGUCUUUGUACUCCAUAUCCAAAUACUCGUGUUUGAUUUCAUAAGGAGACGGUGGUUUUAUACCCAUACCUACCAUCCAUAUAUAAUUAAAGCAUAUAAGAACAUUUGUGGCAAUCAUACUAUAUAAAUAGUAAUGAUAUUGUUAAAAUGAAUACAACUUUUAAAAUUAUAGUAAUUACCUGCUUGUUGUGCACCAACAAUCAUGUUCUUGAAGUGGUGAGAGUCUGUUUUACUGGGCGGAACACUCUCAUAUAUGAAGAACUUACUGAUCAAACGUCCCAUGGUUUCCUUGAUGGCACCACCUUUGAAAAUAUUUUUCAUAUUUUUAUGUCUUGCUACUGAAGAUUUGUACAAUGAGGGUGCAUCAGGCAGUGAUGGAUCUAAAUAUCGAACACUUUGCGAUUUUCGCAUUUGCCUUGUUGUUGGAUUGGUUGGAUGUGAAGACUUGCCUAUUAUAAUUAUUAAAAUUAAACAUAUAUGCUAAUUUAAUAUUAUUGAUAAAGUUGAUAAGAAAUAGUAAUAAUUCAAAUUAAUAUUAUACCUGUUUUUAUUUUGUCUUUUAUAAAAUGUUCUUCUUAUUGUCGAUUCCAUUCAGCAGCUUUUGAUGCUCGAACCGCCUCUCUAUAAGCAUGUCGCUCACCAAGGUGCAUGUCAGCCAGAUACAUAUACACAUCAUCAUCUCCAUCAUCAUCAUCACCACCAAGGUUCUCCUCAUCGUCCUCAUCAGUUACAUGCUUAUGUCUUAUUCCCAUUGUGUCUCGCAGUUCAGAUCGAAUCUCUUCUAUAUCUGUAGCUUUCUUCGCUUUUGCCUUAUUUUUUUGCUCUAGAAGUCGUCUUAUUUAUUGUUUCACUUCUGGAGGCAUGUUAGGACACUUUUUUGUAUUUGAAUUAGGGUCUGUAUGUGAUAGGUGAAAUUUAAAACGAGUAAUCCCACCACUCUUUAUUGCCAACCCACAGUAAUUGCAUACUGUUCCAUUUUUGUCCCCUUCCAUAGGUGUACAAUAUUUCCAACAAGGAUCUCGACCCAUGAUACCGCUUUCACUAGCCAUUUUCUAAAAUUGAAUUAUGAAACUAAUAUCAAAUUUAAAAUUAUUAAAGAUAAAACAUGUAAGAAAUUUAAUAUUCAUGAAAUUGAUAAGAACUAAUAAAAAUUGAAAUUAAAAUUAAAUUAUGCAUAUAUGAAAUAGAUAAACAUUACAAUAAAAUUUCAAUAUGAAUUAAAUUUAAAUUAAAUUAAAUUAAAUUUGUAUAUUCAUGAAAUUGAUAAGAAUCAUUACUAAUAAAAAUUAAAAUUAAAAUUGAAUUAUGCAUAUAUGAAAUAGAUAAACAUUACAAUAAAAUUUCAAUAUGAAUUAAAUUAAAUUAAAUUUGCAUAUUCAUGAAAUUGAUAAGAAUCAUUACUAAUAAAAAUUAAAAUUAAAAUUGAAUUAUGCAUAUAUUAAAUAGAUAAACAUUACAAUAAAAUUUCAAUAUGAAUUAAAUUUAAAUUAAAUUAAAUUAAAUUAAAUUUGCAUAUUCAUGAAAUUGAUAAGAAUCAUUACUAAUAAAAAUUAAAAUUAAAAUUGAAUUAUGCAUAUAUGAAAUAGAUAGACAUUACAAUAAAAUUUUGAUAAGAAUUAAAUUAAAUUAAAUUUGCAUAUUCAUGAAAUUGAUAAGAAUCAUUACUAAUAAAAAUUAAAAUUGAAUUAUGCAUAUAUGAAAUAGAUAAACAUUACAAUUACAUUUCCAUAUGAAUUAGAUAAUAUCAAUUAAACUAUUGUAGACCCCCCUCUUUUGGUCUCGUUUCUUUUUUUUUCCUCUACAUAUAUUAUGUUUGUUUUAGCCAUUGCGGAAGCACCUGGAAGAGGUGUUAGUGCCUUGAACAAGUGGGGGGACCUGGCUGUUUGGAGAGAUGAGCUGCGUGGAACACGUGGUGGAGCAGUUGGCCACAGCCAUGGUGGUGGUUGGGGCUCCAGUUUGCUGAGCAGAGGAACAGUAUAGUAGCUGAUGGCUUGCAGGAAAAGCUUUGACGGAGAAGGAGGACAGAGGAUUUUUAAGAGGAUCCUUUUGAGAGUGCUGGCAGGGGGGGAUCUUGGAGGGAAAGGGAAGAGGAGAAGUAAGUUUUGAGGAGAAAGGGGCUUUCAGGUAUGGCCAUUUAUGAUUUUUCCCGAAUAUUCUGAUCUUUCAUAUCUUUCCCAUCUUACUCUCCAUGAUUCCAGUUUUGCUUGAUGAGUUGUUUUGUUUUGAUGAUUGUUGGUUUAACAUUAAAAAAGAUGGCUGUUUUUUUUGUGUUUUACCCGUGCAAACCUCUUCCAACUUAACCCUUUGAUCGUUAAGCUCAUGGAUGAAAGAAUGAAACGAAGUUAGCACAUUCAUCAAAAGGUUCCCUGCUAUGUUUCUCCAUUUGUUCCCUUUGCUUGAGUAUGUGAGUAUUGAUGCUAAUAGUAGCAAGGUCCCAGCCAACUUUGUACAAUAGAGCUCAGAUGUUGCUCUAGGGGUUCAUGAUCAUCCUGUCAAGUGCCUAGGAGCAAAUGAUGCCCUUGAGCUUACGUUUCUAAGUCGUGUUCUCCCUACCAAGCUGGAUACCCUCCUUGCUAAGGACGGGGGGACGAAACCUAUUAACAGCCGAAACCCAAUGAUAAGAUCCAAGUCACUGUCGAGUAUCUCAAUGAGAAGGAUGCCAUGGUUCUUUCUUCGUGUACAUGUUGUUCCCAUCUCCACCCAAGUUGACUAAACUGUCAUCAGUGAUGAGAUUGCUGCCUACACUAAAUAAUACAUCAUCCAGCCGGUUAUUCAUGAGAAACAUUAAGAUGAGAAGUCCACCUUCCAACACCCAUUAAGCCACUCUUCACACCCAUCUUCUCUCAUUAACAUCCUCAUACCCCUCCCACCACUUCGUGAUUCAUAUCCCCAUCAUCCCCAGCCGUCCAUGCUAUCAAUAAUAUCCCCACUUAUCUUCAUACCCAUUUGUUCCACUAUUCGGAAUCCCCAUGCAUGCGAAACUGGACGCGGAAGCCAUGAUAGCAGAGAUUGUGAUGAAGAACGUGGAAUGCGGUACCCUGUUGCAUGAAGUGAGCAUGGUGGAGCGGCGGUUUGAGGAGUCGACGAGGAAGAUAGAGCUGUAGAAGAGCUUGCUGGAGGUGUUGGAGUUGGAGAGGACGAUAUUGCUGAAUGAUAACGUGCGGCUGGGGCGCGAGAUGAGUGCGCUGAUUGAGGAGAACAAGGGGCUGUGGAGGUCCCGGCUCCUGCUCCGACGCUGGAGGCGCUGAGUCCUCCAGCACCGCCGGCCGAAGCUCCUAGGCCACAGCUAGAUGCGAUCCCAUCCAUCUCCAUCUCUGCCAGGUGAGAGUAGGGCAGAGAAGAUCACGUGCGUGAGGUAGAGGGUAGAAAUGGAUAAAGGGCAUAGAAAAUGGGCUACAGCAAUGCAUGGAAUUGUUUGAUAAAAGAAAAGAGAAAUGGGUUUGUUGACACGUGAAAGAACUAUGCACUUUAAAAAAACUCUCCCUGUUUGUUUUACAUAUUCUCAAACAAUGCUUAAAAAUCCCUUAAAAUUUUAAAGUUAAAAAUUUAUUCACUUAUUCAUGUUUUUCUAUUCACUUCAAAUUCUCGAAACUCAAUCCUAAAAUUUAAUUUCUUCAAAGUUCAAUCUCCAAAAUAACUUUUUUUUUAGGUUCUAAUUUUAACUUUAAUUCUCCAAAGAUCCAAAAUUUUAAAUUUAACUUUCCAAAAAUCCCACAAUUCCGAAUUUAAUUUUAGGUCUUGUAAAUUAGUAUUAUUAUCCCAUAUUUAUUUAUUUAAAGUCCAAUCCUUCAAAAAUCUCAUUAUUAUUAUUAUUAUUACUUCAACUUUCGAAAUCAAUUUAUUCUUAUUAUUAUUAUCAUUAAUCCAAACUUUCAAAAUCCUAUUAUUAUUAUUAUUAACCCAACUCUCAAAAUAUUAUUAUUAUUAUUAUUAUUAUUAUCAUUAAUUCAGACUUUCGAAAUCUUAUUAUCAUUAUUAUUAAUUCAACUUGCAAAACCUUAUUAUUAUUAUUAUCAUUUCAAAACCUUAUCAUUAUUAUUAUUAUUAUGAUUAUCAUUAUUAUUAAUUUAACUUUUAAAAUAUUAUUAUUACUGUUUUUAUUAAUUCAACUUUUAAAAUCUUAUUAUUAUUAUUAUUACUAAUUCAAUUUUCAAAAUCUUAUUAUUGUUAUUAUUAUUAUUAUUGUUAAUUCAACUUUCAAAAUCUUAUUAUUAUUAUUAUUAUUAUCAUUAUUAACCUAUUAUCAUUAUUAUUAUUAUUAUUACUAUUACUAUUAUUAUUAUUAUUAUCAUUAUUAUUAAUUCAAUUCCCCAAAUCUUAUUAUUAUUAUUAUUAUUAAUUCAACUGUCAAAAUCUAUAUUCCCGUAGUUUAAUUUCUCAAAGUUCAUUUCUUAUCAUUACUGUUAUUAUUAAUUCAAUUUUCAAAAUCUAUAUUCUCGCAGUUUAAUUUCUCAAAGUUCAUUUCUUAUCAUUACUAUUAUUAUUAAUUCAGCUUUCAAAAUCCAUAUUCUCGCAGAUCAAUUUCCUAAAGUUCAUCUCUCAUUUUCUUUGACGAAUUUCAAUUUAAUUACCGAAGCUCUAAUCUUUCAAAGUUAAUUCCAAAUACUUCAAUUUUCAAAUAAAGUCUAAUAAUCCAGUUUUCACUCGAAUGGUUUUAAUCCCAUUUCAGUCCCUAAAUAAUCUUCUGGUAUUCUUGAUUUUAUAUAAGCAAUAGUGAAUUCUUCAUAAUUCUAAAACACGGAAUUUGUGAGACUGGUUCAUGAAUAAUAAAUUGGGUUUUGGUGGGAGGCACUAUGUUUGAUCCCUAUUGAUUGUCAACUGUUGUGCUUAAUGUAUUUUUGCUUGAUCUUCAUUUUGCACCCUGAUAUGCAUGAGUUAUAAUUUGUAUUCAUUAAUUAUGCACUAAUCCUGUUUCUUGAUAGCAAAUUGCUGUUUGCUACCCAGGUACGCAUUCACUCAUUCUGAUCAUUCACUAUACGUAUUCUGAUUCUCAUAUAUGCAUGAUUAAUGUGAGUAUCCAUUGACUUUCUUAUUCGAUUGCCACGUCAGUUUCACUUUAUUAGUAGAGACCCGACUUUAGGGACUUUGAGGGGUGCUAUGGUCUCUACCGUACCUUCCCGAUAAGUAACCUGACCCUCGAACCCGAUCCGGUUUUUCACAGACCACCUUUUCCAAAACAAGGAGUCGCACUUAGGGUUUUUCUUUCUUAUUUUGUUUACCCUUUAAAAAUAAAACAAAAAUAAGUGGCGACUCCAAGUCAUUUUCAAAUAAUCAAUAAAAAUCAAGUUUUCAAAUAAAAAUCGAGUUCGUCAUCGAGUGGGAAACGCAUUGAGCCGAAAUGCGGGGUCCACAACUAUAUAUAACAAAUAAAAUUGAAUUAUGCAUAAUAAAAUAAAUUUUAUGAAAGGUAAGACAUACCUUAAUUAGCUUUGACUUGGAGUUAAUCCCUUUCACCAACAAAUUUUCAAAAUAAAAAAAUUUUGCUAGAUCAUAUAAGAAUUUUGAUGUAUGAAAUGGAAUGGAAUGUGGGUAUUUAUAGGAAUUUUUUGGUCAAACUACUCGUUGGAUGGUCAAAUAGCCGUUAUAAAUUAAUUUUAACCGUUGGAUCAAAAUUUGGUUCAAAUUUCACCAUUAGAUCUUCAUAUAACCGUUGGAAACACUCCAUAGCCCUUGGAUAAAGUGAAGAUUGAUUUUCCACCAUUGGAUCACAAAUCUGACCAUUGGAGGCCUUUAUAAACACACGGGUGAAAUUUGGGCCAUCAGAUCCUCAAAAAUUCAAAUUUGGCCGUCAGAUCAAAAUCCUUGAAGCUGUAAAAAAAUCACCGAUUAAUCGCGAUUUUCUCGGCAAAAAAUCGUUGAUAUAUCGGUAAAAUAGCUGAUUUUUUGGGCUCCUCCUCCGGCUUCUUCGUGCGUGCCUCUACUCGCGAUUUUUCGUCGAUUUAUCGGUGAAGCACCGAUAUUUGGCCGAUAUAUCGGCGAUUUUGCCGAUUUUUCCGUCGAUUGAUAAUCGGUGACGAUUAUUAUUUCGGUGCCGCCCAAUAUCCGAUAUUUCUCCGAAAUAUCGAUGAUAUAUCCCGAUUUUUCAAUCCCUAGUUAGACCCUUAGAGGGAUUUUAAGUAGAGAGGGCCCGAGCUUGACAUUUCUCCUCCACCUCAUUCAGAUGGUAUUCAUGUUGAGACCACUUUCUUAGAGCCUAUGAUGAUUGAGUCGUCUUACACUACAGGAGCAUCAUCUCAGCCAUCAUUCACCGAGCUUCCUCACACAGAGAUACCAUCUCAGGCACCUCACGCUUCUGAUCAUGCCCCUUGGAUGGAUGUAUCAGCUCAUAUCAGCUUCCUUGGGACUCCUAUGGAGGAGCUUGCUUUAGUCAAUGAUACUCGAUUCUACUCUAUGGAGGAUCACAUAGAUCAGUAUCAGACUGGCUUCACUUCUCGUUUUGAGCACUUCCAGCAGAGAUUUGAGCGUAUAGAGGAGCGUAUGGAUCAACAGCAGGCUACAGUUGAGCAUCUCCAGCAAAGUAUUGAGCGCAUUGAGAGUCGCCAGGCGAGUUAGCAUGAGGAGAUGAUGGCUUACCUCCGCUCCGUGUUUCCAUCUUCACCCCCUCAGCCUUGAGUUUAUCUAGAGUUCCCCCUCAAUUUCUUUUUUAUGUUGCUAAAGGGGGAAAAAUAUCUAGGAUCUAGGAAACCCUCAUGCAUAUCAUUGUCAUAUCUAUCUUGAUUAGCAUAUAUGUUAUGUUUUCGUGUACAUGUGAGGUUACCAUAUAUAUGAUAUGCUAUUUUCAUGAUCCAUUGUUUCCUAUUCAAUUUUUCAUGCUUUACAUUGUUUCCUAUUGAAAAUUGAUUGAUUGAUCCAUGAUUGGUUUGAGGGGGAGAUUUUUUUUCUCUCCUAGAUAACCAAGGUUGGUCAUCAUAAAAAAUGGGGAGAUUGUUAGCCUAAGGGCUCUCCUAAUCGGGUUUUGAUGAUAACAAACCAUGGUUAAAUGACUAAUUGGUUUAAUGGUUAAGAAUCUCAGGCAUAAACUCGAAAAUUCAUCAAAUGACCAAAUGGAUACAAGAUCGAGACAUUUGGAAGACUUGUGAUCAUAGGAAACUAAUGUAAGAUAAAUACAUGAGUGCACUUAGGAUUUUCAUACCGUUUCAUGCAAUUUAGAAAACUCGGUUUAUUUUUUAAAACUUCGAUUUCAUUAAAACCCGAGUUUUAACAAAUGUACCUUAGGCAAAAUGUUUUAAAAUUGGCAUAAUAAUUCACCUAAAAACCUUGCCUAAGUGUUAGAAAAAAAAUGAAUUCAAAAAGAUAGGUUUUUAGGGCCAAAAGGCUCAACCGGUUGGAGAACCAGUCGACCAAUUGCCCUUCUCCGGUCGAGGAAUGCACAAAAUUUUCUCUCUCACAGUAGCCUUCUCUUCCCAGUCGAGGUUAUUCUCUUCCCGAUUGAGAACUGGUCAAGGUCCGGUCGAUGACCGGUCGAGGCAACGGUAUCCUGUCAAGCAUUAAAUGCUCCAACGGCUAGUGAACCGGUUGACCCCUAGUUCGAUCGGUCGAGGUUACCUUUUGCUGUUUUUGGCUCCCGAGCUUAGAAACCUAUAAAUUGAGAGCUCCACUUCAUUUAUUGACGAGAGAACACUUGCAACUAAUUGUCUACCUACCUGUUCUUGAUCAAAAAGCUUUCAUUUCUUUCUUAGUGCAUUAAAUCUUCAAUUGCAUAUCCUUUAGUGCACUCUUGUGUGUCAUCCUAGCUUUGUCUUAUAUUUGAGCUAUCCUUAAGCUAGGUUGAGGGAUUCAUUCUUGUAAAAAUCGAGUGUUAAAGCCUUCAAGAGGUUUAAAUCUUGAAGAGAUUGUGUAAGAGCCCAUUGGAGCCGGAAUCCAAGUGUAAGAAGAUUGGAAGCUUGGUUGAAACUUUAAGUUAGUGGAACCCUCACUCAGUUAGGAGAUUGAGGAGAGUGGACGUAGGCAAGAAAGUGCCGAACCACUAUAAAAUCCGAGUUUGAAUUCUUUAACUCUAUUUCUUUAUUUUGCUUAUAUUUUGCUUGAACUCGUUGUGAUCGAAAAGAAUUUAAAAAAUCCAAUUCACCCCCUUCCCCUCCUUUUGGGUGUUUUUCUUAAUUAAGCAUAGCCUAUAUUUUCUCAUAAAUAAUCUCACAAAAUCCUAGUACAAACUUUAGCCUCAAAUUAUACAAGAUAAACUAGGAUUGAAUGGUGCACUAAUGAUAUGUAAGUUUUAAAACAAUGUGUACUAAAAAACACUCCCCUAAGGCUCAAUUAUAUUCAAGAAAGGUUUAAGAAGGUUAAACUCUUGAAACUAUAAAGAUUGAAGCGUUUUUAUAGAAGAGAAAAGCCAAACUACCUAUUGGGGGUUCGUCUGGUCGAGCUCUGGUUCGACCAGUUCACUAGCCAUUAGCAUUUAAUGUAUGAUAGGUGACCAUUGGGCCUUGACUGGUACUCAAUUGGAUGAAGUUCAACCUUGAUUGAUCGAAUAAGCAUUAUGGAAAAGAGAUAAGGUUUUUGCACCCUUCAACUGAGUAAGUUGAAUAAGUCGACUAAUUCCUCAUUCAAUUCAACCAAUUAAGUCAUUUUUUGCUAAAAAAACCAUCAUUUUCAACUUAAAACCUUUUAAACAAGUUUGGAAAGCAUUUGACAUAAGGUUUUAGUUGAAAACAUGAAAUCAUCCAAUUUUUAAAAGAUUUAAAACAAAAUAACUCUUGAAUGAUUUUAGUGUAUAAGUAAAGAAUGUAAUGCAUGAAAAACCCCAUGCACUAACAACCUUACAAAGAGAUCCUAUGAGGCUUAGGUCUUGAAAAAACACUUAUCUUUAAGGUUUUCUUCUUCUUAUUGAUUUUAUCUUUGUGAUUGCCACUUUGGAAAUCAUCUUGCCUAGUCACACUUAAAAUAUAAUCAUUAGUUCUAAACCUUGUUUUGUUAUCAUCAAAACUAAGAUUAACCAAACCUUGGUUUCACAGUAUGAAUAUUGUAUCUUUAGAUCUAUAGUUAAUAGUGGUUUUUAUAGUCAUAUGUUUCUAUUGUGAUAAAUUUAGAGAUGCCUAGGGAUAGAUGAAUGCACCCUAUGAGAUCUAGUGCAUAUGAAUGGAGUAAUCUGGGGUUCCUAACAUAGUUUAGGCUUGUGCUUCAUAGAGCGAUAACAAUUCUUCAAGCAUAGUUAUGCUUUAGAAAUUUGUUAUUGAUUGGUCCAAUUUUUAGACCAUCUUUAGCAACAAUCUUGUGGGCACCAUUGAUAUAAACUUGUUAUACAAAAUAUGAUCUAUCACAUUUUUGGCAAGAACUUUCCACUAGUUUUGUGCAUGGUAAUGAUCAUGCAUGCAAACUUAACUAAGUUAUACACUAGAUGCCAAACUACUACAAUUCUUAUACACCUUCCCAUUUUGUGCAACCGAACAAUUCAACAUCAUAACACCAAAGUUCUUGCUUAGAUUUCCUACAGUGCUAAAAUUUUGAAAUGAUUAAUUUUUUUAUUUUCCUUUCAAUACCAAGACCCACAUACAUCAUGUCAUGCCCUAAGACCCACUCUAAGGGCAUGACAAUCAUUUCACAUCUCAAGGUAGAAAGCUCAAAGUGUAAAUUGACCUUAACAUUCAUUUUGUAACUGGAAAAUUAUCAAUUACCAAAUUCAUAUUCAAAGUAGUAGAAUAAAAUUCUAUAAGUUUCAAAUCUCAACUUUAAAGCUAACACAUCAACUAAAGUGUUAUUGUCCAAACAACUUCAAACUUAACAAUUCAAGCAAUCAUUAAAUUCUAGCUUUCAAAAAAAUAAAGUUUUAACCAAAAGUCUUAAUAUUGCCAAAAUAUCAUCCUAACGAUCACUCCUAGCCCGAAUUAAGGUGCCUAAAAAAUUGUCAAUGAAAGGAAAUGAGAUCAACGCUCAAUAAGGAAUAUUAACAAAGUUUCAUGGAUCAAACAUUUUUAAUUAUAAUUCCAAAUAGGAGAUAUAAUAUAUAAUCAUUUUCAUAAAAACUUUUGAGUUUAAAUAUAAUAAUACAUUCAAAAAUUUUUAGCUAAACAUUUUCAUAUCUAUGUCAAAACAAUUUCAUAUCAAAUUCAAAUCAAAUAUAUACAAAAUAUUUUUAUUUUGGUUAUCAAAUAUCACAUGGUGUCAAGUUAGGUGGGACUUUACAAAUUGGUGUCUAGCCUCAAAUUUUUUCAUUUCAAGGUGGAUGAAACCAAACACUACUAGUAUUAUUAACAUCUAACCAAAUGCCUAAAGGGUGGAAUCUAAAGCAAUUACAUGCCCCGCCAAGAAAUAUAAGGUCAACAAUUAUAACUAGUUAACUAAGGACAAAAAUAAACUAGAGUCAAACACCUUAUUUCAUUAAUUCAAACUUACAAAACAAAAACAUCAUAUCUCCAUAAUUUUCAUUUUUUAUAAACAAAAGAAAUGUUCUAACAUAUUUUUUUCAUGAAAAAUAUAUAUUUGAUCCAUGCAUAAAAAUAAAAAUAAUUUUUUUUAUUAUUCAAAAUAACAUAUAAAAGUAAAUAUGUUCUUUUGGCCAAAACAUGUAUUAAUUUUUCUUACCUCAAAGAAACACUCAAAGACCUUGAAGCAAUUAAUCCUGAAGAAUUUCACCCCAAAAAACAUAUUUCAUACCUUACAAAAAAAAAACAAAAAAACAAAAUUACUAUUGAUUAUUUAUCUAAUAAUAGUUUCGUAUCUCAUAUCACCUAUAUUAUUUUUAACUUCCUAAUAAAUAACAAUUUAAUAAGUGAUUUUCCAAAUUUUAAAAAGUUAUGUUCUUUCCAAAAUUUAUUCAUAAUAUUCUAUUAUUAUUAAUUAAAUCUCUCAAAAAUAUGUUUUUUCUAUUUAUUGCAUUAAACUAUUAUUAUUAUUAUUCAAUUUCAAUUUGAUUAAUUGGUUUUUUCUUUUAAAUUUUUAAUUUAUAUAAGAUUCUUGUUUUGAAAAUCUUCCAUAUUUACUUAUUUGUUUAAAGUAAAUUUCUCCAAAACUUGUUCCUUUUUGUUAAACAAAUAUCUUUUCCUAUUAUUAUUAUUAUUAUUAUCCCUAAUAUUAUAUUCAAAUAACUAAACAAUAAUAAUUUAAAUUAGUGAGUUUCCAAAUUUUUAUAAAACUCAUAUUCAUUCUAAAUCUUAUCAUAUAUAUCUAUUUCUUUUAUAUAAUUAAAUUAAAUUAAAAAUUUUACUUAAAUAUAUAUAUAUAUAUAUAUAUAUAUAUAUAUAUAUAUAUAUAUUAUAUUAUAUUAUUACUUUCAACAUCCUUCUACCACCGAAACAAUUACCUCAAGUAAAAGUCAUCUAUCCUUAUUCUACUAACUACCCUCUCUCUUGCAAUAGCACACUUAGGGAUGGCAAUGGGGCGGGUUCAGGAUAGGUCACCCCCAUCCCAACUCCACCUUGUUUAUUCAAAAUAAUUAUCAUCCUCGUCCCAUUUAAAAAAUUAAAUGAGACGGGGCGAGUAUGAUAAAUUCUCAUACUCGCCUCGUCCUGCCCCGUUUAACUUUUUUUUGAAUUUAUUUAUUUAUUUAUUUUUAAAAUUACUUUUAAAAUUUUUAAUUACAUUAAAAUAAAUAUAUUUUAUAAAUAAUUAAAUAAUUAUAUUUUUUAUUACUUAUUUUAUUAAAAAUAUUUUAUUAUUAUCUAUAUAUUAAAAAUAGUAAAAUAAAAAUUAAAUUAAAUUAAUUUUAAAAAUUAAUUUUAUAUAUAAUUGGGGCGGGGUGGGACGGGGCAAUACCCAAACCUGCUUCGGGUUUUAAAAAAAAUUCUCAAACUUGUCCCAAACCCGUUUAUUAAAAUUGAACUCCGUCCCAUUAGGGACGAGGCGAGUACCUCGAAAAAACCUGCCUUAUUGUCAUUCCUAAGCACACUUUCAUUUUUUUUUUUUCAUUUUUAUUGCUUUUAUCUUUUUCCUCCCUAAGAUCAAUCAUAUUGUAAGCACCCCUUUUUUUUUUCUACCACAUCUUGUUGCAAUCAACCUUGUAAGUUUUUUUAAUUUAAAUUUUUUUUCCACUAUGGAGGCACGUACAACCAUAAAACCCCAUCUUUUUUUAUUUUAUUUUUACAACUCUCAAAUCUCUCAACCUCCAUACUAUUAGGUUUUAUUCAUUCAUUUAUUUAUUUAUUAUUCCAUAUCCAAAACUAUAAUUAAUUUUCUUUUAUAUUUUUUUAUUUUAGAUCUAUUAAUUUGAAUAUUCAAAAUUUCUAAUCUUUACUAAUAACUCUAAAGCAUUCAAAACUAAUUAAUAAAUAUAAAAUAUUAAUCUAAGGAUUAAAAUCUUAUAUAGAAAAUUGAUCUUCAAAUCUUAAACCCCCAAAUUUUCAACCUUACAUUGCGUUGUCUAAUAUCUCAAAUCUCCAUGUAAAAGGGCUUUUGAAUAGAGUAAAUAAGAAAAAUUUAAUUUAUACCUAAAAUUUUUAAAAUAGAGAAAAAUCUUUCUACCCUUAUUAAUUUAAUUUAAUUAAUUUUUUAAAAUUAUGUUUUUACCCUUUAAUUGGGUUUGGGCAUCACACAUCAUACUAAAAAGUUAUCAAUAACCGUCCUUUGAGGCAUAUUAGCAUAAAUUUGCAACUUUAGUUGUGUUCUAGGUGCAAUUCUAUUAUGUUUAAUUGAAAAAUAACACACAUAGCACAACCAAGCCUAAUUGAAAGCAUUUGGGCAAAUAAAUGGUAAAUUUCUAAAAGUUCACCAAAACAAAAAAAAAGAUCAUAGAGGGCAUAUUUUUCAAGUCAACCUAGUUUUGGGAUAGCCACUUUCAAGCCUAAUGAUGUUAAGAUGUCUUAUUGCAAUCCAAUCUAAGAAUGCAAUAAUAGCUCUUUAAUUCAUAAUUUUAAAUUCACAAAAGAUAUCACCAAAAAUUACCAUAGGUUACCAAAGCAUCAACAACAUACAGAAAGCUUAGAAAUGCUUGGAACCUAUCGGAUUUUCACUUUUUAGGAAUAAAAAAAAAAAUCAACUUUAAGGAUUUUAGGGUAAUACUUGCUUGAACCAUCUUUCAAUCCUUUUGUUGGUGGUGGGCCUUUUACCUAUAGGAACAGGAAUAAGAGGUGAAAAUGAGGGAGCCUUAUGAAAACAGAUCCCUAGGGCUUAAGAAGGGGUUUUCAAUUUUAGGGUUUGCCUUUUCACCAAGGAUGUGAAUGGGAAGAUCAAGUGAAGUUAAGAGAUUGGUGAAGCAAAGUGAGGGCAUGGUAGGGUUUGAAUAAGGGAAAUUCUACACUAUUAAUGAAGAUGAUAAUCUCGAGAAAGCAAAGCUAAGGUAAACUAGGGUUUUAAUAACAUUUUUCAAUCUACACUAGUGAAGACGAUAUCUUCGAAAACCAAAGCUAGGGUAAGCUAGGGCUUUAAUAAUGAAUUUCAAUCUACAAUGGUGAAGAUGAGAAUCUUCGAAAACCAAAUCUAUAAUGGUGAAGAUGAUUGAAAACUAAAUCUAUACUGGUGAAGACGAUUGUAAAGCAAAUCUACACUAGUGAAGAUGAUAAUCUUCGAAAACCAAAUCUAUAAUGGUGAAGAUGAUUGAAAACUAAAUCUAUACUGAUGAAGAUGAUUAGAAAGCAAAUAUUCACUGGUGAAGACAACGAAACCAAAGGUAGGUCUUCUAAACUAAACCCUUUUAGGGAUUUUCCAUUUUUUUUCCUUUGUUUUCAAGAAAGGUAAACUCUCUUGAAAACCAAAAAACUAAUGCAUUCUUAAAUCCAGAUCACCAUUUUCAACAUAGUAUUUGGAUUUCCACCUUGCAUUUUUUAUUUUUUAUUUUUUUUAAUAGUCAAGGGCAUUUUAGGGAUUAUUGAAGGAUAAUAUCAAUAAGCUCAAUUUCCUACAUUAGUUAGGUCUUAGGCUCAAAUGUGAAACUUAUAGGGAUGUUAGGCCAAUUAUCAAACUUACUUGCCUAAAGCAUAAUUUCCCCUUUUCAAAAUAGUUGUUAAACAUCAAUCCCAAACAUGUGUAACCCUUUGAAGUACUUGUAUGUCAACCUUGUUUCCUUUCCCUCAUGCAACAUGACUUAUUGAUGGUUGCAUUGAAUCAUUAUCAUUCACCAAAUCCAUGCAACUAUGGACUACCUUUCAAAUCCCUUGAACAUAAAUGGUAAUUCCAAAACAACUCAAGUAUAAUCUUUCCGGCCUUUCAAAUGAUUUAAUUAAUUGAUGUUUGAAUAUACUUCAUAUAUUUUUUUAGAGCAAUUUUUAGGCAUAUGACAUAAAUCUCUAAUUUUUUUUAUUUUUAUAAAAGGUUUUAUAUUUUAUAUUACAAUUUCCUCUCUUUUUUUUCAUCUAAAAAACAAAAUAUAAAACCUUAAUAAACGAGUUUUGUCACAAUCCCUUAAAAGGUAAUCUAUUUUUAAAAAUUACUUUAACCAUUUUAGAUAUAUUGAUUCAGUCUAAUUUAAUUUUAAUAUUUUUUAUAAAAUAUUUUUAUUUUAUAUGAUUAUAAAUUAAUUACCAUUGAUUGCAUAUUAUAGAAUAUAUAUUCUAAAAUAUAUCCUAUUGACAAUAAUAUCAUAAGAUAUUAUAUCCAUAUCCUAAUAUAUUAUAUACUUUUAUUUUGUGCAAUUAGCAACAGGGUGGAAGACGGCUUAGGCGGGAGACGGCUUAACGGAAAUGUCGUCUGCCAUGCGUGUCCCUUCCCUUAGUGAGUCUGAACAGCUCCAACAUUUCUGACACGCCCUUCUUCGGUUAGCUCUUAAGUAUUUUCGUUAACCCCAUCACAUUUCGCCAUGUGGAUCUAAGCCUCAUGGUCCUUUCGUUCGUACUAUGAAUAUAUUCCUUAUCUAGAGUCUGGAUCCUUUAUCUCUGCACGUGUCUAUGGCUCUUCACCCCAGCAAGUAUGGCAUUACAAGGGCAAUAUCGUCAUUAAAGACCCAAAAGGCAAACGAAUGGCAUUAUCUUCCUUUUGGGUCUAUUCUAUUUAUAUUUAUAUUGCAAGUUAUUCGUGAUGACUUCUCUCAUAACAGCUAAAAACCACUCCAACAGAGCACACUUCACUUCUUCGUUUUUGUCUUUCCUCUUUUUUUUCCAGAGAAGCUGAGAAAGCCCAGCUUGCCCUCAACUCCCCGAUGGGUUUGAUGAAUGUUCUCAAAUUCUCAGCUGCAUGCUUUGAUCUUCUUGGCUGGUAUGUUGUCCACGGAUUUUCUCGUCAUUGGAAAAUGAAGUGGAAUUCUAUGUUUGAGGACAAAACUGGGAUUUGCUUUGAUUUCUCCAUGUUGGUUUUAUCCCUUUCCUUUGAAUUGUCCACAUUCUUGUCAUUGGUUGUUAGUUAUUUGUUUGGAUUUCUACUUGCAGGCCUCUGUUUGCACUGGGUUAUCCUCUGUAAGUCUUGGUCUUACACCCCAAGAUAUGAUCAUUCAUUUACUCUUUUCUUGUUCUAUGAAUUCUUAGUUCUGUUACAUUUAUUGGGUUGGAUUAUUAGUUAUUAUAUUAAUAAUCAUCAACGUCAUCUCGGUUCUUCACAGAUGUGCUUCAAUUCGGGUAAUUGAGACUAACUCAAUCUCAGACGUUCGGAAGUUGGUGGCGUAUUGGGUUCUAUUUUCCUUGGUUUCACUCUUUGAUCAUACUUUUGCCAAGCUCCUUGAAUGGUAAUUUUGCUCAACUGCAUUCCACUAUAUGUGGCUCUAUUUCUUUCAUUUCUCUGCCCUUAAGGAAUUUGGAGUUGCUUUUUUCAGUUUUCUUCCCUGUGAAAAUAAUCGAGAUGUUUAAUGUUCCAGGCCUGCAUGCUCAAGGAAGUGGUGUCAGCUUUGGAAAUAAGAUGGAUCUACUAGUUUUUAUUUCUCAUCUUUAUAGGGAACUUUCCAUAAUCACAGUGAUGAAUAAUUGUCUUGUUUGAAAGCAUGGUUGCACUUAUUUCCAUGGAAUUUGUCUGCUGAGAAACAAAUGGAAAUAGAAAAUUCAGAAUCUGACAAGUUUGUGUAGGGCAACUGGAUCUAAUCUCUUAGUCGAAGCUUAAUUGGGGCAAAUGCUGAUCAUCUUUGGACCAUUGAAGGCUCUAAUCUGUGCACAAUUCUAAUGUUUUUGUUUUCUUCAUUUCUUUUUCAACUGUUCAUAAUAGAUGUCAAAAGAUAAAACCGAACUUAUGUAGUCCAUCCAAGUGGAUGCAUAUAAAUUUAACAGAAACUGAAAUUCGAAGAAAUUUAUUUAUUUUUUUAAAUAUUUUAUUUUCUUAUAUAAUGCAUGUCAGGAUACCAUUCUGGCCUUACAUAAAGCUGAUGGUCAUCUGCUGGAUGGUGAUACCGCAUUUUGAUGGUUCAUAUUAUGUCUAUCAACACCUAGUUCAUCCAUGCUUGUCCAUUGAUCCACAAGUUGUCAUGAAUUGGCUUUUCAAUGAAUCAAAAAAGAAGUUUCAUAGCAGAGAAAACUUUCUUGUUUCAGCAGACCAAUAUAUUAAGGAGAAUGGACCUGAAGCUUUGAAGAAACUACUUGCUAGGAAGGUAUGCCAUUAUAAGUAGGAUUAUCAACAAGUCAAACAGAGUUUUAUUUGAGAUGUUCAAGUAAAAAAUGACUAUAGCAGGUCAUCUAGAAUUAUGUGGUCUAAAUUCAUGUAUAUAUCUAUAUAUAAUUGUGUUCUCUUUUUUUCACAUAUGCAUGUGCAUUUAGAUUUACAUAAUUAUAUAUGCAUAAUCAGAUUCAACUGUGAUAGCCCGGGAUUUAAUUCAGUAAUCAACUCUUCUGGGAACAUGUUGGUUAUGGUUUCUCUCUCACUGUCCUCUUAUUUAUACAUGACUUUGGCUUCAGUUGAGGAGCACAAAGCCUAAUGUUGAAGUGAAAGAGAUCAAAGCACCUGCAGCACCGGAGAAAAAAGGGGAAGCGGUAUGCACUCUAAUGUGGCUAUUUUAUUUCUAUGGAGGCAGAUCCCCAGAAAAAUGUUGCUCAUGUAAAUUAGUGAUGCAUUUAAAAGAAAAACCACUUUAUGUAUGUUUCUGUGAAAAAGAGAACAAGUUUAUGGAUUAAGUGAUAUUUUUUAUGGUGAAAUAAUCAAUAAUUUUCAAAAUAAUAAUAUAUUCGUGCAUGUUUUUGCAAUUCAUGAAUUCCUUUUACGAUUGAUUCUUCUCACCUCAGUGGAAGUGUGAAGAGCCUAAUGUUGCAGAAAAGGAGAUCCAAGUAGUCAAAGUAACAGACAUAAAAAAUGGGGGGAUGGAGCAAAGAGGGUAAGUUUUCCUUUUUAUUUAUAAGGAAGGCUGUCUUCACACAAGGAUUAUUGUUAUUAUUUUUAAGACAUGAAUGUUGAAUGCAUUUGGAAUUGUCGUUGAAUCAUGUGAAGUGUGAAGGUGCAAAUGGUGCUAAGAAGGAGAUCAAAGUGAUGGAAGUAACACAGAUAACAUUUGGUGAUACAGAACAGUGGGUAAGGUUUCUUGUCAUACUUAAACGGCACCUCAUAUUUCACUAGGAUUAAUUUUGGCCUACAAACAUAUUUGGCUACAAGUUGAAGACAGAUUUCCAGAUACUGGUAGAAGUUGAGACAUAAGUAAUGAAUGAGUUUAGAAACAUGCACAACUCUUGUGUGAAACACAAUGAGAGUGGAAAAUAGCUAAGUUGAAAAAUGGCCAAAUACUAUUUUGUAGUUCCCCCCACCACUUAAGUAAUUUUUGUCAUCCUUUGUGAAUGGACAAUGCAGUCCCUUCAGUAAUUCCGCUAUAUUCAUGACUUGGUGAAGCAUAUAACCAUUAGUGUCUUGUCCUAAGUUGACCUUUAAUGAUGAUCCAUUGAGAGGGAUCUGACUUUUGUCAACCCUCUUAGAGGUUAAACAUACGGGGCUUAACCCACUUUUCAAUCUCAUUGGAUAUAUGGCACGUGGUAUCCUCUUCAUCUUGAAAGAGUGAAGUGGUCAUACUCUUUCCUCCGAGUCCAUCGUGGCCAUGCACUUCUGGCUCAUUGGGCUGAGUGAAAGGAUUCCCUUCUGCUUCAAAUCAUAGAGAGAUAUGCCAUGGUCAGCCUCUUUAAUUUGAAGGAUUGAAGUACUCAAAUCCAUUUCUUUGCAUCCAUCUUAGUCCUGCUUCCAUGUCUCAUGGUUAACCAGGAAGAUCAAGCUUCCAUCCAUGAGAUCAGCAUCUGCAGGGUUAUGACUCCACCCUUCCUUGGCAUAGGAAAGCGAUCAUUAAGCCACAUGUCGGAUGACAGAAGUCGUCAUUCAGGUUAUCUUGAGAACUAGGGAAGUUGGAAUUCUAAUUAUUGCAUAUGGUUCUUGAUGUUUAGCCAAUAUACUAUAGGAUUUUAAGCAUCAUGCCCAUGUGCAUUGUGGUUUUUUAUCAGCUAUAUGGUUUACCAAACUGAGGGAUUGAUUAUAGUCAUAAGUACCCUUUUCCCAUUAAUUUCUUGCAUGUGCUUUGCUGAGAUUAUGUUUUUGACAGUGCUAAUCAGGGCAAACCAACAAACAGCUUUAUGUUAACUUUUACAAACUGCCACAUUUUCAGGUUGAACGAUCAGACAUAAAUCUUGGUGAAACUAGAAGUAAUACAACCUGUGCUGUGGAGAUAAAAGAAAGGGCAGCAGCACUGGUGGCUGCAGAAAUUGAGGCAUGUAGAGACAAUAGAACCCCCGAGAUACCUCUGCAUAAGAAAGUCCAGAAAGAGUGGGCUUGUGCUGUAUGCCAGUUCACAACCCAAAGUGAAGUGACCUUCAAUUCCCACCUUCAAGGGAAGAGACAUCAGGCCACUUCUGAGCAGUUGAGAGCCAAAAACCAGGCAACCAAAACCAAUUGUUCCCCAUCUGCUUCAAAGGCCAAGAAAUCUGAUCAGUCCACCAAAGAGGAGCAACCAAAGUGUCCUUCCAACAAUCUGAAUUCCAAAAACAAUGGAAUCUCAGCUGCUUCAACAGUGAAGAAACCUGACGAGACCAAAGAUGAUGAGCAACAAAAGUGUGCAUCCAGCAAUGGACCAAACCAGAAGAAUAACAAAAAGCAAGAGGAGAAGGUGCUAGUUCUUGAGACCAAUGAGCAAGGCCAUCAGAAUAAUUUUGAUCCACGAUCCCACAUUUAUUUUGGGUCUCACAAGUUUCAAAUUUGCAGAAAAAUGAAAGAUGUUUGAGAGAAAAUUAAAUCAUAUUGCACUACUGUUAGGAAAAAUAUGGCUGAAUCCAAUUGCUUUUCUUCUCCAAGUCUAUUAAAAAUAUAAUUUUUUCUCCAUUCCUGACAAAAUUUAAAUUUUUUCCUUAAAAAAAAAAAAAUUAAGUUUGAUCACCUAACACAUCUUUCUAAACUCAAUCUCAACUUGAAAAAUCAAACCUUAAUGGAUGGACUAUAGAAAUAGUGAGAAAACACUUCUGGGGUUUUUUUUUUCUUCCAACAUCAAAUUUUUCUAUAUAUGGGAUUUCACAUGCAAAAGCAGGAGUAGAUUUGCUUGUGUUUGAUGUAUGUAUUAGAAAAAUUUGUCCCUUCUGGGAUGUUUAAUACUUUUCUAUUCUUUUAUAUGCAUGUUUAGCUAGAAGAUAUAGAAUCGAUACCAUUCCUUAAAAGUGAUAGCCACAACUGUGAUAAUUAAACACCAAAGAAUGUGAAGAUCUAUAUAUUCUUUUUUUUUUCCUCUCUCUUUCAAUAAUGAAGCUAAGAUGUGUUGUAAGCAUCAAAUGCAUUGUCUCUGCUUGAAUAUAUACAAAGCCAAGGACCACAAGAUGGAUAGAUAUGGGGACGCACAAAACUUCUCAAACAUGAUUAUAUUAAUCAAGAAUUCAACUAAGCUUAAAUUCAAGAUGUUGAUUUCUAGCAUCUCUGGUGCUAUAGGAUGACUAUUGAUCCUGUACUGUUAUGUGCCCUACUGAUAUAUUCUUCGGGUUGUUAUGUAUAAAUAAAAUUUUUGGGAAAGUUUGCUUGGUGGUUACACUAUCACUAUUUAGGCCAGUAAAAAUUGGAAGCCUUUGUAAAAAACUGAUGGUCCAAGAGCUAUUCUACUUCAUCAUCCAUGUAAUAUGACGAUACAAAUUUGACUAAAUGCAGCUAUAGAAGGCUUAGGACCAUAAACCAAGCCUAGUCGAUGUCACUCACCUAAAUUUAUGCAUAAAGCUUUUGGAUGGCUCAGAGUUAUAUUUAAUUACUGUUAUGUUCGCAACUAUAUUUUCAUUGGAUUUAUAGUCCAGCUUGAGAACUAGUCCUCCAUUGCACAUAAUGUCCACACAAGGCCACAGUGCCCGCUCAAAGGCCAUAGCGCUACUCAAGGAUAUAGUGCUUACUCAAGGCCAUAGAGCCCACCUAAGGCUAACGACCCAAAAGGAGAAAAAGGUUGGUUCCACGUACUCUAAUAUUUACUAGAAAAGGUUCUUCCUAUUAAAGAACAAAAAAUUGCAUUCCCUUGUGACCAAUCCAAACAGUAGACCACUGACUUGUAUAAGGCAUUAUUCACCAUGCAAGCACUUUUUCAGCAACCUACCAUCUGGCAUGAACCAUUUUGGAUUGAUUCACAAAGCAAUGGUGUUAUAUUAAGCAUAUUCAAUAUAGAACCAAAUUGUGCCUCCUUAGAUUAACUAAAAUAUUUCCAUUGCAAGAUGUGCAGAUAGGCAUAUGAUCAUGAAGUAAUUUCCUGAUGAUAAUACCCCACAAAAUAUUUCUUUUUCUCACUGAUCUCUCCUAGAUUUUCAGUUCACCCAUCCAUGGCGCCUGACUAAAAAUGGGGGCAUUUUGGAUACCCCGAGCAGUAAGUUAGCCUGGUAGGCAUCCCGUUGCAAGCAAAGUCAACCCGAGCGGUCCAUUUGACCAAAGCUUAUCCAGGCAGUAAGCGUCCAUAUACAGCUAACUGUUAUGCACCAUCAACAGGUUGAGGUUACAAGAUUAAAGAGUCAUAAUGGCCAAAUGGAAGUUACACGACUCGGCCUAUAUAAUAACAGUAUGACAAAAAAUGCAGGUAUGAAGAACUAUCACUGAAAAAAUUUAUUCCUAAAAAUCCUUUAAGCUCCUUUAAGCUAACUUGGGCAUUGGAGAGGUCUCUCCGAAGCACACUCGAGCUUACCUUUUUGUAAGACAUCGAGAACAAGAGGCAUUGAAGUGAUUGUCCGGAGGGUUGAACUUGGUCGGGAACCAACAAUACACACUAUUCAAAAAUAGGGAUCAUAUUAAAUUAUUAAUGCAACCAUAGGAAGCAAUUGAGGACAAGGGUGUUAUUUGAUUAAAAGGGUAAUUGAAAACCUAAAUUUUGAAAUUUAACCCUCCAUUCUAUUUGGCCUUAUGUGAACAAAAAUGCCUUCAUUAUUUUCUUGUAAAAAUAACUCACCCAUUUAAACCUUACAUGAAAAUACUUAAAAUGGUAAAUGAUAUGUUAAAAAUUGAUUAUUUUUCAAAUAAAACAUAAGAAGGGUCAAAUUCAUGAAAGGAUUAUUUCAUCCCUUUUAAUCAAUUAAUUCGAUUUAUUUCUUUUUAUUUUUUUUCUCUCCAUGUUAAUUUUCACAUCACCCAACAACACCACUCUUAAUUCACACAAGUUUGAAGUUUUUGAAUGAGAUAUAUUCGUAAUUAUAUUGUAAUUGUGUUAUAAUAACCAUUUCGUACUUGGAUUUGUUCUUUCAGUCCAUUUAACCUUUUUGUUUAUUCAUGUCAAAACAAUGUACUUAUAAUCGAAUCCAUUUAUGACAUGUUGAUCUUAUAUAAAUUUAUUAAUUUUAUAUAUUUAAAAAUUAUAAAAAUUAAAUAUACUUUUUCAAUUAUGAAUAUCAUAUUACUAAAAUAUUAAAUAACAAAUUAACUUGAAAUGCUAUAUAUUUCAUUAAUUAUUUUAUAAUUAAAACAUUAAAUGAAAUAAUAAACAAGUAUAAAAUAGAAAAUUCUAUCUUAGUUAGAAAUUAUAAACUGUUAUUGAGACAUAUAAGUAUUAAAAUUCUACCCAUUUCACUACCAAACAACUUAUGUUUUUAGUCAUAAUUUAACCUUAUGAUGAACACUUAAAUAAAAUUUGUCAUCUUUUUCUAUUGAUUUAUAUUUAUUUAUUUAAAAAUUUUGUCUGGCAUAAACUAUCAUCUCACAAAAUCAUCAUUGAUGAGUAGGCUAUGCCCCAGUGUAAGCAUCUCCAAAUCAAACAUCAAUGAGAGGAGUACAACCAAUCAUACAUCAUCUUAUCAAAAUGAAUCUCCGCUUUUCAAAGUCAUCGUGGUAACGUGAAGAGAGUAUUUGACCUCCUCUAAAGAAAAAACAUGUCUUGAUGUGAAAAAGAUCAAGCAAAGUGGUAUGCCUCAACAAAAAUGUGCUCAAACAUGAUCAUGCCCCGAUGUAAGUUAGUAUCUCUAAGAUCAAUCGCCAAUGAAAAGGUUAUUCCCCAGUAUAGGGCAAACUCUGAAAUGACUAAACUCCGUUGCAAGCUCUCAUAAGUGUCUGUGUCAUGAUCCAAUCAUCGCAAAAAUUUGUCAACAAUGAUGAGAAGGCUAUGCUCCUAUAAUCACAUCAAAGAAAUCACUCGGUCAUAUUACUCCAAUGUGAAAGAAAUCUAAUCACCUCCAAGGAACAGCUAUGCCUCAAAACCAUCAUCGACUGAGAGGGGGAUGCCCCUGAUCCAAUCACCACCCUAACUAACGUACCCAUCAUGAGGAACACUUGUUUGAGCUCCAUAAUGGGGAUCAACCAUUAGAUGAACAAGAUUCGAAUAUUACUUGCUCCCCAUUUCAACCAAUGAAUGAUGUACCUGGAAACCUUGUAGACAACCAUAGUUUUCAGCCUUCUUCCUCGCGAUCAUCUAGAACAGAGUCGGUAAGCUUCACUCAUUUCUUAUAAUGGACCUUGACCCACAACGUCGAACUACCUGUAUGCAAAAUUAUCCGUCCAGAAAACCCAUCCAUACAAUUCAGGUUCAAAACCCACAAGAACCACCCUAUGAAUAAACUAAUUAUAGCUGGCUUCGUUGCAAUAGGCAUUAACUUUCUUAUGCUGACAGUCCUAGCAUCAUUUACCAAAGGAUCAACAACUUUUCCAUGUCAGAGAACAUUAUCAAUCACAAUGACACCCCUGGUCCUCACUAGUUGCGAUAGCAAUUUAAAGUAUUCUUGAUUCAAAGGGUAAACAAAACAAAAAAGAAAACCCUAAGUGUGACUCCUUAUUUGAAAAAUGUGGUUUAUGAAAAACCGGAUCGAGCUUAGGGGUCAGGUUACUUAUCGGGAAGGUACAAAAAAAACCGUAGCACCCCUCUAAGUCCCUAAAAUGGGUCUCUAUUGAUAAAAUGAAGCAAUCAUGGCAAUUGGUAAGGAAAUCAUUGAGUAUCAACAUGAUCACACAUUGAGAGUUAAAGCAUGCAUGAGGAAUGGUCAAAGUGAGAAAGGAUGCGUACCUUAGCAACGAGUCCCAAUGCGCUAUCAAGAAAUUGGGUUAGUGCACAAUCAAUAAAUAUAAAAUAUAACACACAUGCAUCACUAAAUAGGGUAAUAAAUCCCCGAUGACAAACCUUGCACUUCACUCAGGUUUAUUUCUACUUCUCUGAUGUUGGGCCCCACCAAAGCUCAUUUUAUUUUGCAUGAAUCAACUCCAAUAACUCCAUUAUUCGGAAUUACGAAAUUUAAUUCUUGCUUAUUUUAAAGCAUUUUAAAAAUAGAGGAGAUAUGAGAAUUGCUCGCCAGAAAAGAAGAUGGCGGCAAAAUUUUAAUGAAAAACGAGUUUUUGGAACCUAAGAAAAAUGUUAAGGAUGGAAAAUUUUGGAGGUUUGAAAUUAAUUAAAAAUUAGAAUUGAGGAAUUUAUUUACAAAAUGGGGUUUAGGAAAAUUAUUUUCAAAAAAAAAAAAUGAUGAAAUGAGAGAUGGCACGUGACACAAGGGUGGCCAUGCUGAAGGCGUUCUCUUCUGGCCCAAGCUGGAAAUGCACUCCAAUUAUCCUUCUUUUCUGGUAUAACACCUUCAUCAAAAUAAAUAGCUUUUGCACCAUACUCUGAUAGACAAGGACCAAUAACAAUGCCUAUAUUUGCCUUAAGUAGACAAAGUAAGUCACCCAUUGAACCUCCAAUAUAAAUUGUCAAGUGCUCUGUGUCAUUACUGCAUCCCUCCUUCAAGAUGUCCUUAGAAACCUAAAGCUUUUCCACGACAUACUCCAUCUUCUUAAUGAUUUCACCCGUGGAAAUGGAUUCUUCACAAGCCAACUCAUUUGAAUAUACUCUCAAAACACCCAUAUCACCUGAUGAAAAUGCUGAUCUAACGAAAUCGCCACACCAACAGUAUGAAAGUCCAUGAACAUCUGCUUUCAGAUUAUUAUUUUUAAGAAUCUUUUGGAAGAAACCUGUGCAACCAUCUUGAAGAAUUAGACCUUGACCAACCUGUUUUAUAUCAUCUGAAUUUAAACCCUUCAAUACUCCAGACUGAGUCACUCUUGAAUCUGCCUUUUCCUCAAAAUCAGAAAGUUGCUCAAGUGCUUUACAUAAGCCUUCAUAAUUGAAUUUUUCCACUGUUUCACUGGGGACGAUGCUUCCCAUGCAUUUUUCAAGCUCUUCAGUAUGCUGGGUAGAUAGAACACCCCAUGUGUGUGUCCAGAUCACCAUGAGUGACCAUUUGAACCUUGACGAAUGAGAGAGUACAUAACAUUUAAGCACACAGGACAUAUAUUAACAUUCUCCAUUAGCUUCUCUUUGCCUUUGUCCACCUCUUGACCUCCCAUGCAGCCAACUGUGAAGACCACGUCCAGGUGCAGUCACGUGGUGACACAUCUCAUGGUCUUCCUCAUCCAAUAAAUCACAUGCUCUGUUAAAUCUGCUACCCGAAUGGAUACCUCCUAUCCAUCAACCUGAAUAUACUCCGAGCUUUCUUCAUAAAACCCAAGAAACUCCAGAAGGCAUCAUGGUUCUCCUCCAUCAUUGAAAUGAUUAGGGAUAGUAAAUCACUCAUCCCUUAGCAAUAUCCCAUUUUUAAACCAUAGGGUGCGUAGGCUUCUAGAAUAGUAGCAAAGUGAGCAACACGGAAAAUCUUGCGUGGAUCCAAGUUCCAUGAUGGUGAUCGUAGCCUCACCUUUGAAAUCACAAGACCCAGAACCCAUUCGUUCUUCCUGGUAAUAACUAUCAGAUGCAUAGGAGGCAGGGUUCUUCAGAUUGUUGAUUUGGUAAAAGCCUCUUCUGGUUGAACCCCUGAAUGAUUCACUUUUCUCAGUCCGCAAACCUAGUUCAGAACAGCCCGCAAGAUCAGAACCUUAACCUAGGCGUGGAGAUCCAGUGUUGUAUAACGCCUCAAUUGUCGGAAGCAGCCAUGGCCCAAACAAUGAUAUAAUGGUCAGCAAGUUGUCCCCAAGGACCAUGACAGUGAUGAGCAUUUCCGGGCAGCGCGUCACCACGUUCCACGUCGCGACGGUAAUGGCUAUGGACUGAGUGUCAUGGUCAGGGAGCUUGAUGAAGCAGGUGAAAAUCUGGUGUUUUAGAUUCUGAGGCAAUGACUGCUUGAUCGGUCGGAUUCUAGUACCGGCGUUACAUUGGGGAGGCAAUCUUAAAGUUCCAACGGAGGUAGUAGUGGACUAAUAUUCCUCAAUAACCAAACUUGAGUUUCUCACUUUCCGCUUCUCAAGGCAUUCACCUGAAACGCUUCAGGCGCCCAAACCCUUUCUGCUCAUCAGUAUAAUCACGCGCAUGAAAGUCUUAACUGCCUUCUAAACUUCACAACUUCAUCUUGCAUCUGGGUCAUCGUCGGCACGAACUUAUCACCUGAUUCAGUUAAUAUCCCCAUAUAACAAGUUCCAAUGAAGUCGCAACUUUGCAUCUUCUUUUCUGCGAUUACUUUGAUUCUCAAAGCCGAUUACUUGUUGCAGUCCAUAGGAGAUUCAAUAAUCAAACAUCAUGCACAAGCAAAAAGGCAACAAAAUACAUCGGCAUGUGGCCCAUACACCCUCCAAAAUCUUCACUCAUUUAGUAAGUUUUAGAUUCAAAAGAGUUAGCCUUCUGGUGAGCAACCCGAUACCCAUAACGAAUGAUGUAUCUGAAACACCUUUCCCACGUGGCCCUUGAAGGAUUCACUAGAAGGUGACCAUGCAUAGUAGGUCUUCACUCGCAGGAGAAUGAGAAGGAAAUAAACCUAAAGGGGGGUUGACAGCGUAGUCUAGAAGGUGAUGAGCUGAGCGGGUGGGGGUAUUAGGGUGGUCAAGUUCAGUGGGUAUGAAGGGUGGAAAGAUGGCAUGAUAGAGGAAUAAGCAGCUGAUAGUGGGUGCGAUGAUAUAAGGUAGGUUGACUAUGGAGAGUAUGGCAUUAAAGGAUGAAGACUUAGAGAGAGAGAGGUGGGUUUAAGGGUAUGGUGAGAUGGAGGGUUGAGGGUGAUAGGCUUGGAUAGUUGCAUGAGGAGGAUGAAAGGUGGGUAUGGAAAAUGUGCAUGGGUAGGAAAUGGGUAUAACAAUGGGUGUGAAUAUUGAGAGGUAGUGAAAUGAAGGCAGCCUUGCUCGUAUGGAUCAGUGUCGGAUUGAGUUAAGAAUGGUGAGAGAAAGGGAUUCGAUGAAUAUUGAAUGAUGGAAAAUGGUGAUUGGUUAGAUAGGGAUUUGUGGUCGAAUGGAAAUAGGAGACAUGAACAUAGAGAUGAGUGUGAUGGAUGAUAGUGGGCAUGAAGGGUAUUGGAUUUGUUCAUGGGUAUAGUGGUUAAAAGAGUGGUGAGAAGAAAAAAAAAUGGCCAUGUAAAUAGCAAUUAUACAUGUGGGCCCGUGAUUGCAAACGGGACUGCAUUGUUGCAUCUCAUGCUGAACCCUCACCUCCUUCUAGGAUCAUUUUCUGCAUCAAAGCUAGAUAAACUUAGAUGGUAUUUCCUGCCAAUUUUGGAUGCCCCCCACUUUGGAAAUAUUUCCUUUUCACCCAUCAGAAUAUGCUUAUCAGGUGUACUUGACUCAGGUUCAUUCCCAUAUUGCCUCUCUGAUUUAUGAUCUUCAAAGGUUUUGCAUGAAGGAAGCCUUUCACUGCAUUCCCCUUCAUCCACCAGACCUUCAGAGCAUCGUUUCCAACAAAAGCAACCUUGACUCUUCUAGUCCCAUCAGAAAAAAGUCUGAAUAUCCUCAGUUUAUGUCAUCCCUUGAUGCCCAACUCAGAAAUGAUCCAAAAAACAGUCAUCUCCCAUAUUUGGCUUCCCAGAAACACCUCGACUCAGAUGGCCAGUCCAAAUGUGAUACCCAACAUUCUAAAAAUGCUAAAAACAGAGGAGAUGAUGAAGAAAAACAGAGCAUGUAUAAAAGAAAAAAAAAAGGACUGUUAAAUCUCACUCCAUUCCAUAAAUGCUAAUGGGGUGGAUAUGGUGGAAUCAAAAGGAAGCAAGAGCGUGAUCUUCAAAAUCAAAAGCAAUGAUGGAUCCAUAUUCAAAACGUUCCAGAAUAGAGAAAGACACAAAUAAGGAGCAGGGUUUUUUUUUGUUACUGGCAGGAAGAUAUUUUUUCUAGAGAGUAACUAGAGAGAAAAAUAGGAAGAAAAGGGAAGAGCAUAGAAGACAUCUACAUAGGAGAGUAUUCAUUGUUGUGAGGAGUAGUAGAGAGCUUAGGAGGAGUUACAAAGAGAGUGAGUUUGGUUAGAGGAGGAAGUUUUGUUGGUUUUUCAGAAAGGAUUCUAGCUUGAGUGAGAGCCAUUCUAGAGAGGGUUAGAGAGGAGAAAGGUGUGUUUUGAGCAGCAAAGACACGAAGCAAAAUAGAGCAGCCAGGAAAGAGAAGCAGAAAAUCAAAAUUACUAAAAAAUUAGUGAAAGCUGUGAAAUUUCAUAUUGUUACUAAUUAUUAUAAUUUUUUUUUGUAUUUUCAAUAUUUCAACCAAUAUUUUAUAUAAUUAAAUUUAAAUUAUAAGAAUUAUAUUAUUAAUACACAUAACUAUCUUAAUGUUUUAACAAUGUAUACUUAUUUAAAUUUAUUUCAAUUUUUUUAUUUUUUUAUAAAUAUCUAAUUAGACUUAUAAUUCAUUGAAAUUAUUCAUUUUUUUUUUACUUCAUAAACCAAUUAUAUUACUUUUUGUAUUUUCAAUAUUCAUUUGGAAAAAAUAAUUUCAAUUUAAAAUAAAAUAAAUUAAUUAACUCUCAAUUUAUAAAUUGUGUCAUUGAAUUAUUUUUUAUUUAUAAUAUUUAGUUUAUUUUAAAUUUAAUUUUUUUUCUUCACCUUUUGGUUUAUCACUUUAUAUUAAAAAAUAAAAUAAAAUUGAAUUUCUUUUAAUUUAUAUUUUCACAAAUUAUUCAAUAUUUUUUUAAUUUUUAUAAAAUAAAUCCUCAGAUUAUAUAAUUGGAUGUUGUAAAGAGUUAAAAUUUUUGUGUUGCAUUGAAUUAUUUUUUCUAACAAAAGUAUAUUUGGGUACCGUAGACAUUAUAUCCAUAUCUUAACGUAUUAUAUACUUUUAUUUUGUGCAAUUAGCAAUUGAGCGGAAGACGCGGAGCCGGCUAACGGAAAUACCGCGUGUCACGCGUGUCCCUUCCCGUACCAAGUCUCAACUGCUUCAAGAUUUCCGACGCGCCCUUCUUCGCUUAACUCUUAAGUCUUUUCUUCCACUCUUCCUUAAACCCAUCACAUUUCGCCGCGUGGACCUAAGUCUCAAUGUCCUUGUGUUCAUACGAUGUAUGUUCCCCCAAUUCCUCAUCUACACUGAAACUCCAUACUCGCCUACUCAAUCACUUCUCUACUCUAGAGUCUGGAUGCUUAUCUCUGCGCGUGUCGAUGGCUCUUCACCCCAGCGAGUAUGGCAUUACAAGGGCAAUAUCGUCAUUAAAGACACAACAGAGUGUCUAUUUUAUUUAAGCUGUACGUAAUCGUGAUUGACUUCUUAGUAUCCUUUUGCUCCUAGUCUUCUCCCGCGUCUCUUAUAAAAACUAAAGAAAACCACUCCAAGAGAGCACACUACAAGAAUCUUCUUCCUUUUUUUCUUUCCUCUUUCUCUUUACAGAUAAACUGAGAAAGCCCAGCUCAUCCCUCAAUUCCCAGAUGGGUUUCAUGAAUGUUCUCAAGUUCUCAGCUGCAUGCUUUGAUCUUCUUGGCUGGUAUGUUGUCCACGCGUUUUCUUGCCAUUGGAAAUUUUUGGGAAAUGAAGUGGAAUUCUCUGUUUGAGGACAAACAUGGGAUUUUCUUUGAUUUCUCCCUGUUGGUUUUAUCUAUAUUCUUUGAAUUACCCACAUUCUUGUCAUUGAUUGUUAGUCAUUUGUUUGGAUUUCUACUUGCAGGCCUCUAUGUGCACUGGGUUAUCCUCUGUAAGUCUUGGUCUUACACCUCAAGAUAUGAUGAUUCAUUUACUCUUUUCUUGUUCUACGAAUGGUUCAGUUACAUUUAUUGUGUUGGGAAACUGAAAAGGAAAAGGAUUAUUAGUUAUUAUCGUAAUAAUCAUCAACAUCAUCUCGGUUCUUCACAGAUGUGCUUCAAUUCGGGCAAUUGAGACUAACUCAAUCUCAGACUUUCGGAAGUUGGUGGCGUAUUGGGUUCUAUUUUCCUUGAUUUCACUCUUUGAUCAUGCUUUUUCCAAGCUCCUUGAAUGGUAAUUUUGCUCAACUGCAUUCCACUAUAUGUGACUCUGUUUGUUUCAUUUCUUUGCCCUUAAGGAAUUUGGAGUUGCUUUUUUCAGUUUUCUUUCCUAUGAAAAUAAUCGAGAGGUCUCCAUGUAUUUUAUAUUCCUUCAUUUCUCUGCUUUGACAAAGGCCCACAUUCUGAUCAGCAGAAAGGUUAUAACAUUUGAAAAAGAAGUGCUUUAUUUUUGUUUUUUGUUAGUACAAUAAUUUUCGUUUGGAUAAAUGGUCUGAAGGGUGUUUGUGUUUGGCUGAGUUCAUGGAAUUUUCUAGCUAAUUUGGGAUUUAUUCUCAAUUUCAAGAUCAUUGUGGAUAUGUCAGAAAUUAAUGAAAUAUAAACGGUGGAAUGUGAUUUUCUUGUUUAAGAAAAGUUUUUCUUUGAAAAUACGGGUGCACCUGACCUACCUUAUUGUGCUACUUGGAACACAAAACAUUAGUACAGGUAAUUUAUUAACUAAAUUGUACACUUUUUGAUAGUUCAAGGAGGUGGUUUUCUUCUUUUAGGGUGUCAGCUUUGGAAAUAGGAUGGAUCUAAAAGUUUUUAUGUCUCAUCUUUAUAGGGAACUUGAAAGCAUGGAUGCACUUAUUUCCAUGGAAUUUGGCUUCCUUGAAAUCAAAUUAAGCUUUAUGCAUCAUUUGGAUGCUGAGAAACAAAUGGAAAUAGAAAAUUCAGAAUCUGACAAGUUUUUGUAGGGCAACUGGAUCUAAUCUCUUAGUCGAAGCCUAAUUGGGGCAAAUGCUGAUCAUCUUUGGACCCCAUUGAAAGCUCUAAUCUGUGCACAAUUCUAAUGUUUUUGUUUUCUUCAUUUCUUUUUCAACUUUUCACAAUAGAUGUCAAAGGUUAAAACCAAAUUUACGCAGUCCAUCCAAGUGGAUGCAUAUAAAUUUAACAGAAACUGAAAUUCGAAGAAAUUUAUUUUCCCUUUUGUAAAUGGUGUUUAAAUAUUUUAUUUUCUUAUAUAAUGCAUGUCAGGGUACCAUUCUGGCCUUACAUAAAGCUGAUGGUCAUCUGCUGGCUGGUGAUACAGCAGUUUGAUGGUUCAUAUUAUGUCUAUCAACACCUAGUUCAGCCAUGCUUGUCCAUGGAUCCACAAGCUGUCAUGAACUGGCUCUUCAAUGAAUCAAAAAAGAAGUUUCAUAGCAGAGAAAACUUUCUUGUUUCAGCAGACCGAUAUAUUAAGGAGAAUGGACCUGAAGCUUUGGAGAAACUACUUUCUAGGAAGGUAUGCCAUUAUAAGUAGGAUUAUCAACAAGUCAAACAGAGUUUUAUUUGAGAUGUUCAGGUAAAAAAUGACUAUAGUAGGUCAUCUAGAAUCAUUUGGUCUAAAUUCAUGUAUAUAUCUAUAUAUAAUUGUGUUCUCUUUUUUUCACAUAUGCAUGUGCAUUUAGAUUUACAUAAUUAUAUAUGCAUAAUCAGAUUCAACUGUGAUAGCCCGGAAUUAUUUCAGUAAUCAACUCUUCUGGGAACAUGUUGGUUAUGGUUUCUCUCUCACUGUCCUCUUCUUUAUACAUGACUUUGGCUUCAGUUGAGGAGCGCAAAGCCUAAUGUUGAAGUGAAAAAGAUCAAAGCACCUGCAGCACCGGAGAAAAAAGGGGAACAGGUAAGUUCUCUAAUGUGACUAUUUAAUUUCUAUGAGGCAGAUCCCCAGAGAAAUGUUGCUCAUGUAAAUUACUGAUGCAUUUGAUUCAAUGGCAUGGUUUUAAAAGAAAAACCACUUUAUGUAUGUUUCUGUGAAUAAGAGAACAAGUUUAUGGAUUAAAUGAUAUUUUUUAUGGUGGAUUAAUCAAUAAUUUUCAAAAUAAUAAUAUAUUCGUGCAUGUUUUUGCAAUUCAUGAAUUCCUUUUAUGAUUGAUUCUUCUUGCCUUUUUUCUCACCUCAGUGGAAGUGUGAAGAGCCUAAUGUUGCUCAAAAGGAGAUCCAAGUUGUCAAAGUAACAGAGAUAAAAAAUGGGGGGGAUGGAGCAAAGAGGGUAAGUUUUGCUUUUUAUUUAUAAAGUAGGCUGUCUUCACACAAGGAUUAUUAUCUUUAAGACAUGAAUGUUGAAUGCUUUUGGAAUUGUCCAUGAAUCAUGUGUAGUGUGAAUGGCCUAAUGCUGCUAAGAAGGAGGUCAAAGUGACAGAAGUAACACACAGAACAUUCGGUGGUACAGCACAGUGGGUAAGGUUUCAUGUCAUAUUUAAAUGGCUCCUCAUAUUUCACUAGGAUUAAUUUUGCCCCUACAAACAUAUUUGGCUACAAGUUAAGACAGAGUUCCAGAUGCUGAUAAAGUUGAGACAUAAGUAAUGAAUGAGUUUAGAAACAUGCACAACUCUUGUGUGAAACACAAUGAGAGUGGAAAAUAGCUAAGUUGAAAAAUGGCCAAAUACUAUUUUGUAGUUCCCCCUACCACUUAAGUAAUUUUUGUCAUCCUUUGUGAAUGGAAAAUCCAGUCCCUUCAGUAAUUCCGUUAUAUUCAUGACUUGGUGAAGCAUAUAACCAUUAGUGUCUUGCCUUAAGUCGACCUUUAAUGAUGAUCCAUUGAGAUGGGUCUGACUUUUGUCAACCCUCUUAUUCCCUUGAUCAUAGAGGUUAAACUUAGGGGGCUUAACCCACUUUUGAACCUUAUUGGAUAUAUGGCACAUGGUAUCCUCUUCAUCUUGAAAGAGUGAAGUGGUCAUACUCUUUCCUCUGAGUCCAUUGUGGCCAUGCACUUCUGGCCCAUUGGGCUGAGUGAAAGGAUUCCCUUCUGCUUCAAAUCAUAGAGAGAUAUGCCAUGGUCAGCCUCUUUAAUUCAAGGGAUCGAAGUACUCAAAUCCAUUUCUCUGCAUCCAUCUUAAUUCUGCAUUCAUGUCUCAUGGUUAACCAAGAAGAUCCAGCUUCCAUCCAUGAGAUCAGCAUCUGCAGGUUUAUGACACCACCCUUCCUUGGCAUAGGAAAGGGAUCAUUAAGCCAUGUGUUGGAUGACAGAAGUCAUCAUUCAGGUUAUCUUGAGAACUAAGGAAGUUGGAAUUCUAAUUAUUGCAUAUGGUUCUUGAUGUUUAGCCAAUAUACCGUAGGAUUUUAAGGAUCAUGCUCAUGUGCAUUGUGGUUGUUUAUCAGCUAUAUGGUUUACCAAAAUGAGGGACUGAUUAUGGUCAUAAGUACCUUUUUCCUAUUAAUUUCUUGCAUGUGCUCUGCUGAGAUUAUGUUUUUGACAGUCCAAAUCAGGGCAAACCAACAAACAGCUUUAUGUUAACUUUUACAAACUGCCACAUUUUCAGGUUAAACGAACAGAGAUAAAUCUUGGUGAAACUAGAAGUAAUACAACUUGUGCUGUGGAGAUAAAAGAAAGGGCAGCGGCACUGGUGGCUGCAGAAAUUGAGGCAUGUAGAGACGAUAGAACCCCCAAGAUACCUCUUCAUGAGAAAGUCCAGAAAGAGUGGGCUUGUGCUGUAUGCCAGGUCACAACCCAAAGUGAAGCGACCUUCAAUUCCCACCUUCAAGGGAAGAGACAUCAGGCCACUUCUGAGCAGCUGAGAGCCAAAAACCAGGCAACCAAAACCAAUUGUUCCCCAUCUGCUUCAAUGGCCAAGAAAUCUGAUCAGUCCACCAAAGAGGAGCAACCGAAGUGUACUUCCAACAAUCUGAAUUCCAAAAACAAUGGAAUCUCAGCUGCUUCAACAGUGAAGAAACCUGAUGACACCAAAGAUGAUGAGCGACAAAAGUCUGCAUCUAGCAAUGAACCGAACCAGAAGAAUAACAAAAAGCAAGAGGUACAGACCAAUGAGCAAGGCCAUCAGAAGAACUUAAAGCAAACUGGCGAUGGAAUGAAAGAGUUGAGAUUAUGCUGCAAUAUCUGUAAUGUAAGCUGCACAAGUGAGCUUGACAUGGCCUCUCAUCUCAAUGGAUGGAGGCACUUUAAUAUGAUAAAGGAGGCGUCUGAAUUAUGGUGCAGUAACUGCAAUGUAAGGUGCAACAGUGAGGCUGUCAUGGCCUCUCACCGAAAUGGGAGGAGGCACUUGAAGCAGCUGAAGGAACGGUCGGGAUUAUAGUGCAGUAUCUGUAGCGUGAGAUUGUGUUAGGAAGAGGUGGAAUGGGUUCCAAUCAGGAAUUAAGACUCGGUUCCAAGACAUGGAAAGUGUCUUUAGAUUAUGUUAUCUCCAUUUUUUUUAUUGUGAGAGGGGAGUAUAAGGAAUGAAAAUAAAUAUAUAUAUAUUUUUUAAUAGAGAUGAAUUUGAUAAUUUUAAUUAUUGUGUUUUGAUGUAUUUAGGAAUGUAAAAUUAAAAUAAUUAUUUAUUUUCAUUUUAGUAUUUGACAAUAAUAAAAUUAUGAAUUAAAAAAUAAUGUGAUAAUAAUACAUUUAUAUUUAAUUUAAAAUAUUUUUUAUUUUAUUUUAGAAGAAUAUGGGUUAAAUUCUUUUUUUAAAUAAUAAGCUUAAGAAAAAUAAUUUUUACUCAAUAAAUAAAAUUAAUCAUAAAAAGUCAUAACAACCUAAUAAAAAUAUAGGGGUAAAAUAAUAAUUUUAAAAUAUUAUUUAAGUUAUCCAAACAAAUUUGACUCUUCAUUCUCUCUCUUGAACCAAAUACGGUCUUUUAAGCGUUUGUCAACUUAUUUUUUUUUGCAAAAUAUCAAUAUUUUACUAAUAUUUUUAUCGAUUAUUUGCCAAUAUUUAUCGCCACGUCACCAAUUCUUUGAGUUUGACUUUCAAAAUUUUGAAAUGAUAUUUGAAGUCCAGUUCAGCCCAAAUCACUACACCCAUGAUUUUUCCCUUUUCUUUUUCUCCUUAAUUUUCACAUCACCCAACAACACUACUCUUAAUUCACACAAAUUUGAAGGUUUGGAACGAGACUUCUUCCUAAUUAUAUUGUAAUUAUGUUAUAAUAACCAUGUCGUAUUUGGAUUUAUUUAUUCAGUCCAUCUAAAUCUUUUGUUUAUUCAUGUAAAAAGAAUAUAGUUAUAAUCGAAUCCAUUUGUGACAUAUUCAUCUUUUAUAAAUUUAUUAAUUUUAUAUAUUUAAAAACUAUAAAAAUUAAAUAUAUUUUUUCAAUUAUGAAUAUCAUAUUACUAAAAUAUUAAAUAACUAAUUAACUUGAAAUGUUUUAUAUUUCAUUCAUUAUUUUAUAAUUACAACAUUAAGUGAAAUAAUAAAUAGGUUAAAAUAUAUAUUUUAUUUUAGUUAAAAAUUAUAAAUUGUUAUUGAGACGUAUAACUAUUAAAAUUCUACCCAUUUGACCAUCAAACAAACAACUUAAGUUUUUAGUCAUAAUUUAAGCUUCUGAUAAACUCUAUUUCCAUAAAUUAGAAACCGAAAUCAAUUUCUUCUUAGACUCAAAAACAUAAAGACAAUCUUUUAAUUCUAGAAGACAUCUAUCAUUUAAGAUAAGGGUAACAUAUCCCAUUGCCUAAACAACAACUCUUGCUUCAAAAGCCAAUGUCAAGUACAUAUCCCUAUCAUUCAACCUUUCCCUUAGCUAAAACCCCUAUAAAGAAUUAUAAACAUAAUCAAUGGCUCCAAAAUUUAUCCACCAAGAGUUAGUGGAAUCCAACACUAAACAUAAUUCAACUAUAAGAGAAUGAUGCAUAGUUGACUAUCUCUUCAAGAACUAAGGACAUUCCUUCUUCUUCUAAUGGCAUUUUUUACCACAAAGGAAACACUUGUCAUGACCCUUACUCUUCUUCUUCUUCCCCUUAGCCUUAAACUUCCCCUUCUGCUUGAUGAACUCUAUAGUGUUCUUCUUAUUUUGGCUAGAAAAACCUAAAGAACCCUUAACUGCCAUAUAAAUACCUCUCUGGUCCUUGAGAAUUCCCUCAGUCAUUUUGUGUUCUCUCAUUAGUUCAAUUGUAGUUUAAGAAAAAUAAUGUUUUUUAUUUUAUUUUAUGUGAUUGAACUUGGAAUGAAUUUCCAAGUUGCAUACAUACUUGGGUUGAGAUCAAGUCAUAACGUAGUUUAAGAAAAAGAUUUUUUAUUUUUUAUGUGAUUGAACUUGGAAUGAAUCUCUAAGCUACCUACGUAUCCAAGAUGGGAUCAAGUUCUAACAUAGUCACAAUGCAGUUCAAGAUUUUUUUUUUUCUUUUUUUGUGCUCUAACUUUUGUCAAGACUAAAGAUCUUAAUCUUGCAAGCAUGUCCUAACUUUUGUCUAGGUCACCUUUCCAAGUUUUCAACUUAGCAAACAUUUUUUUUUUUUGUUCUCUAACGUUUGCCAAGACAAAAGAUUUUAAUCUUGCAAGCAUGUCAUAACUUUUACCUAAGUCAGAUUUUUAGGUUUUCAAUGUGGUGGAUUUUUUUGUUUUUUAUUUUUUAUUUUUUAUUUUUUGUGUCGUAGGCAAUUUAGCUCAUACGGCCCAGAAGCGAUGUGUAGUUUGUUGGGAUUCAACCCUUAAAAGCAAAACAUGAUGUAACAAAGUUAGACUUAACUAUCCCCUUGCUAUCAUUUUGGUGUAUUAACAUUGAUUUAAACAUUCAACUCAUAUUUUACAUUGUACAUGACUUAGGUGCAUUAGGAGUUGCUCAUAAGAUACAUGGAUUCCUUGUAAGUAGAUGAGUUAUCCAUAGUCAGUUCAUGGAUUUGGGCAAUCUAGUAGAGACUGUAAUGCACCACCUCUUAAUUGAAGAGAUGACUUGUCUUGACAGUUGGGAUAGGUUUCCUAUGGUGAGUGCACUAGUAUAUAUGAUGCACAUUGGAUAGGACCUACGGUAAAUCAUGAGCAAAGCUAUCAAUUGUCAUGAUUCACCAAGUUACGAUACUGCAUGGACUCUCAAUCUUGAGAGGACAUUGAACCUGUGCCAAAAUCAACAAAAAGCUUUCACCUAUAGAUGAGACCUUAAAGUGAUCAUAUAUCCCUAUGGAUUGAGUCACUAUUGAUGAAGGUUGGUGGUAAUAGGUAUUCUCAAUAGAGGCACCAUGAUAUCUCAUGAGAUUGAGACGGUGUGUCCCCUUGGGUGAUACAAAGGACAUGUGAUCAUAAAAUCUGUGACCAUAGUAAUUCUUUUAUUGAAAUUUGACAUAUACCCCUUCGAGCUAGAGUAUGUCAGUUGAUUACAUAAUAAGUGGCAUCUAUAACUUAAGGAUUUGAGAGGUAAUCUUGAUAGGUGAUAGCACUACCUUGUUAGAUUAUGGACACCAGUUCAUGGGGAAUCUACAUGCAGUGGAUGAUAUGUCACGAACGCGAGCUUCAUAUCGUUGUUAUUAACAUAGGAUACUGGAGUGCAAUUGAUUCUCUUUAGUAGAAUGUUGAAUCAACUUCAAAAUGGAUUAUGAGGGAGCCAAUACUCCUAUGGGUCUUAAUGGUCCCCACUCUGAGCUCAUAUACCAUGAUGACACAGUUUAUGAGGGUUUGAUUGGCUUUAUGUUCAUUUUUGUGCAUAAGGGCAUUUUGGUAAUUACACAAGGUUACAUAGGGGAUAGUCAAUAAGGUCUUUAGAUUGGGCCAAUUGAUUAAUUAGAUGACCUUAUGUGGUUAAUUAAUCAAUUAUGAUAUGUUUAGGCUAGAUUAAAUGACCCAAGCCUUGAUGAAUUUAAGUCACUUAAGCCUAGCAGAUAACCUUAUAAAUACCCUCUUAUGGGUUAGGGUUUCCUAAUGACUUUCAGUUAAUCAUCUUCCAUCCCUAGAAAGAGAAAGAGAGCCAAAUCUUUCUCCCUUCCAUUGCCCACACUUUGGUAUGCCAAGAUCAUGGUUCAAGUCACUGGGAGGAAGAUCUUGGGUGUACAAGACCUUCGGACUCUUUAAGUUUCUUCUUCGUUGGAUGAAUUUUUAUUUGGGACACAUCUAGAUCAUAAGUAUGUGUUAGAAAAUUUGGCUAAUUCAACUUAAGGUAAUCACUCUAGAGGAGGGGUGAAUAGGGUGAUGAUCUUUUUUUACAAAUUUAAAUUAUGUGAAUGCAAGAGACAAUUAUACUAUGCAAAUAUAUAGUAAAACCAUAUAAAAAUAAUUGCAUAUAAAGUACAAGGGUAGAAAAUAGAGAAUAUAAACACAAGAUUUUUAUAGUGGUUUGGUGCAACUCGGCCUACAUCCAUUCUCCUCUAGCUUCAAUCCCAAGUUUGAGGUUCCACUAAUUCAAGGCUUCCAACCUAACCCUUCAAGCAAUACAAUUGGAUUAUGGUUCCAAUCAAACCUUUUGGACUUUUGGCUCUAAGCACCUUUUACAAUCUUUGAUUCGUGCCUAACUGGUGUUUGCCCUGUUGAUUGGUGUUCAAUCAACUGAUGUGCUUUGAUUUCAGUCCUCAGACGAGAGUAAUCAACAAAAUUUAUAAACCUAUUUCACCAUAUACUAGGGUAGCAUUAGCUAGCAUAGCAUAGUGGCUCUAGGAUCGUCCACAGGGAUGGGUUUUCAAAUUACAAUUGAUAUUAGUUCAAAAACUGAAUUGGUGUUUUUUCUUUUCAAGGUUAGCUUUAAAAGAAAACAUAAGUAUGUGUGAAAAGGUUGGUUUUAAGUGAAACCAAAAAUAAAGUAACUGAAAUUACUUACAAAGAAAAGUGCUUCUUGGAGUUUUAGAUCACUAGGCUCAAGUUCCUUAUACAAAAAGAGAGAUUCCGAUCACUUGGAUCUUUUCCUAGCAUUGGGGAUUUAACAUAUAGUUAUUUCCCGAACCGGUGCGGUACAGAUGCUUCCCCUUAAUGGUUUCAAACACUAAAUCUCUAUCACUGAAUCAUCUUGUAAUGGUUCAUACCUCUCACCUGGUAUUGGUCAUUUAAGGUGAUCAUUAACCUUGGAUUACCCGUCAAAAGCUCGCAAAAGAUAACUAAUGAAUGUCUCCUAGGAGUCCAAAAGCUUACCAAGUGUUGGCUAUUCUAGAUAAUCCUACCUUUAAACCAUCUCCCAAAAGCUCGCAAGAGAUAAACUAGUGGAUCUCAAUGGACGGAGUCCACUUGCCUUACCAAGUGUUGGCCCAAGUGAUUUUAAGGGAUUUUAAGUUAACUAAAAAGAUAAAAACCAUUAACGGGUCACACUUUCUCUUCAUUAAAACCUGAAACAAUGAAACUUCCACUUUUGUAUACGAAACCUUACCUAGCUUCCUUCACUCCAAGAAACAAAAAGCCUAGCCACUCAUCCUCUAGGAAAACAUCCUCAGAGUUUGAUUUGGUAGAAAUAAAAAUAAAAGAGAAAACCAAAUGUGAAGGUAAGGCCGAGCAGAGCUCUGUGUAUUACUUUAUGAAAAACUAUACAAAAUUUGUCUCUAAGAGAAACUCCCCCGAGAUCUCUUUUAAAAGAAAAUUACAAUAGAUAUCAUAUAAAGAGGCUAUUCACCCCUCUUGCUAACUUCCCAACCAUGAAAACUUGUCAAUGGUGGGUUACAAGGAGAAAAUAGGGAUUUACACACAAAUAUUUGAAGAUAAACAUCAAACUGAGUCGGUGCGCAAAUAUCUCAGAUUACAAGUGGAUUUCGCAAGUUCAAACGCAACUUGCAAAAAUUUUGCAAGUUGAAAUUAUGGUUUCGCAAGUUGCGAAAUUGUCCUGCAACUAAUCAGCUCUCUGUCCUACAACAAUUCCUUUCCUCUUCCUAUUUCGCAAGUUGUGAGAAUUUCGCAAGUUGGAUUCCACAACUUGCAAAAUUGUUGGAUGGUUGAUUUCUUUUGUGAUUUUCUUCCUUGCAUCCUCAUUUGGCUUUGGCAAAGGGUUAUGAAGCUCCAAAGCUUAGUUUCUUCAUGAAUUUGAGCUUCAACUUGCUUUGCCAUGAACUAUACAAAGAUCUCCCUCAUUCUUGGAUUGCUUUGGUGAUAAAAAAGCUAUGAAAAACACCAAAACUUAACACAAUUUGAUUAGAAACGAUUGUAAGGGUCUUUAACAUGCCAAUUGAGUUAAAAGGUAAUAGCUACUACUCAAAAGUGUUUAAAAGAGUUAAUUACAAGCUAUAAAAUGACCCUUUUUGAAGUUCAACCCCUUAAGUGAUACCCCUUAAGUGAUACCCCUUAAUUCAAGAGAUGUCUUACUCUUAAACAACCCCUUAAGUGAUACCCCAUACUUGAGAUUCCCUAAGUGAUGCCUCACACUUAGAUUUUUCAUCUCAAAGAUUUACAAAUGAAGAUAGGAAAUAAUCUCACAAAAUCUUAAUACAAAACAUUAGGCUCAAAUGAUACAAGAUAAACUAUGAUUGAAUGGUGCACUAAUAAUAUGCAAGUUUUAAAACAAUGAGUACUAAAAAACACUCUCCUAAGGUUCAAAUAUAUUCAAGAAAGAUUUAAGAAGGUUAAACUCUUGAAACAAUAAAGAUUGAAACCUUUUUAUGGAGGAGAAAUGCCAAACUAGUUGUUGGGGGUUUGUCCAGUCGAGUUCUGGUUUGACCGGUUCACUAACCGUUAGCAUUUAAUGCAUGAUAGGUGAUCAUUGGGCCUUGACCAUCCCUCGACCAGUACUCAACCGGAUAAAGUUCAACCUUAAUCAAUCGAAUAAGCAUUCUAGAAUAGAGAGAAGGUUUUUGCACCUUUCAAUCAGUUGAGUUGAACAAAUAGACGGAUUCCUUAUCCAGUUCAACCGGUUGAGCCAUUUUUGGCUCAACAAUCAUCAUUUUCAACUUAAAACCUUUUAAACAAGUUUAGAAAGCAUUUGACACAAGGAUUUAGUUGAAAACAUUAAAUCAUCCUAUUUUUAAAAGAUUUAAAACAAAAUACCUCUUGAAUGAUUUUGGUGUAUAAGUAAAUAAUGUAAUGCAUGAAAAACCCAGUGCGCCAACAACCUUACAAAGAGAUCUUAUGAGGCUUAGGUAUUGAAAAACACUUCUCUUUAAGGCAGACAACAUCGUGUGAAUACCAAAGGGGAACUCUACGUUCCUAGGGAAAGAUGCCUCGUCAGUACGUCUUGAGGUUGUUCACUAACUUCGGGGUUACCGGCUUUGAGAGGAGCCCUUUGAUGACAUUUGGGCAUGCAACUCUUCAUUUUCUUCCUUGAUUCGCCUUGUUUGGUGGAUCAAAGAUUGCAUAUGCCAGUCAUUUUUGCACUAGGUUCUCUCCAUGCUUUCACGCCAGCCAAAGUAGCUUUCGUUACCCAUAGUUGAGGAUCGGCUUCUAAAGGGUACUAACAUCCUUAGUCAUUCCCACAGAUGACACCAAUGUUGGUUCUGAGUCGGCUGAAGUCAAAUUCAUCCAACUUAACGGAAGUUUGACAACCUUCCUCCAUUUUUUGUGCCUCUUAGAGAAUCCACCUAGCAGUAAUGAGAUUGGGCGAACUCCUUUCUUGCACAAAAGAAUGUUCAGAUGAGUACUUCGGGUACGCCCUUCGAAGCUUAAGUGAGGCAAAAAUAGCUCAAACUACUUAAUGAGAGAGAGUGGAUAGGUGAAUAUGUGCCUACCUUGUUCGUGCUUUUUGAGGGGUUUAUAUAAUGUUGAUGAGAAUGCCACUAUAGUGCUUACUAGACACUUUAACUUUCUUCUAUAAUGAUGAUUGUCUUGCAGGCGGUUGGGCAAUCAUCAAAAUUUUGGGUGGCUGAUAGGUGCCAUCAACUAACGUGCCAUGAUCUUAGACCAUGCAGUAACCUGUUCCCUCAGUCUGUUGAUGGCCUAAGGUUAUGUGCAACAAUUAAUUGACAUGGACUUGAGGGCUAGAAGAGGUCCCAUCGGCCGUUCACAUGUCAAGUGUGAAUGAUCACUCAUGCUAGUGGGUCUUGAAGAUUUGACUAGACAACCUUACCUAUUUGGGAGGUCCAACCUCCCAUUGCCGUUGUUUUGGCCUUAUAGGAGAAAAGGGCUUUCUCAUGUAUGGUGCUAGAGGGACUAGUCGUGAUCCAGAUGAGUUGCAUACCCAUGCUAGAUGGUCGAAGUGUCCGGGUUGGAAAUGGAGGGAAGCCUCCCACAAAUAUGAGGGAGCCUUAUGAAAACGGAUCCUUAGGGCUUAAGAAGGGGUUUUCAAUUUUAAGGUUUGCCUUUUCACCCAAGGAUGUGAAUGGGAAGAUGAGGCGAAGUUAAAAGAUUGGUGAAGCAAAGUGAGGGCAAGGUAGGGUUUGAAUAAAGGAAAGUAUACACUAUUAAUGAAGAUGAUAAUCUCUAGAAAGAAAAACUAAGGUAAACUAGGGCUUUAAUAAUAAUUUUCAAUCUACACUAGUGAAGAGGAUAUCUUCGAAAACCAAAGUUAGGGCUUCAAUAACGAAUUUCAAUCUACAAUGGUGAAGACAAUAAUCUUCGAAAACCAAAUCUAUAAUGAUGAAGAUGAUUGAAAACUAAAUCUAUACUAGUGAAGACGAUUGGAAAGCAAAUCUACACUGGUGAAGACAAUGAAACCAAAUGUAGGUCUUCUAAACUAAACGCUUUUAAGGAUUUUCCUUUUUUUUUUCCUUUGUUUUCAAGAAAGGCAAACUCUUUAGAAAACUAAAAAAACUAAUGCAUUCUUAGAUCCAGAUCACUAUUUCCAACAUGGUAUUUGGAUUGCCAGCUUGCAUUUUUUAUUUUUUUAUUUUUUUAAUAGUCAUUGGCAUUUUAGGGAUUAUUGAAGGAUAAUAUCAUUCAGCUCAAUUUCCCAAAUUAGUUAGGUCUUACACUCAAAUGUGAAACUUAUAUGGAUGUUAGGCCAAUUAUCAAACUCAUCUGCCCUAAAACAUAAUUUCCCUUUUUUAAAAUAGUUGUUAAACAUCUAUCCCAAACACGUUUAACCCUUUGAAUUGCUUGUAUGUUAACCUUGUUUCCUUUUCUUCAUGCAACAUGGCUUAUUGAUGGUUGCAUUGAAUCAUUAUCAUUCACCAAUUCCAUGCAACUAUGGACUACAUUUCAAAUCCCUCGAACAUAAAUGGUAAUUCCAAAACAACUCAAGUAUAAUCUUUUCAACCCUUUCAAAUGAUUUAAUUAAUUGAUUUUUGAAUAUAUUCAUAUAUUUUUUUGAGCAAUUUUUAGGCAUAUAACAUAAAUCUCUUUUUUAUAUAUAUAUAAAAGGUUUUAUAUUUUAUAUUACAAUUUCCUUUUGUUUUUUCAUCUAAAAAACAAAACAUAAAACCUUAAUAAACGAGUUUUGUCACAAUCCCUUAACAAGUAAUCUAUUUUUUAAAUUACUUUAACAUUUUUAGAUAUAUUGAUUCAAUCUAAUUUACUUUUAAUAUUUUUUAUAAAAUAUUUUUACUUUAUAUGACUAUAAAUUAAUUACUAUUGAUUGCAUAUUAUAGAAUAUAUAUUCUAAAAUAUAUCUUAUUGACAAUAUAAUCAUAAGAUGUUAUAUCCAUAUCCUAACAUAUUAUAUACUUUUAUUUUGUGCAAUUAGCAACAUGGUGGGAAGUGGCAAGCAGCUUAACGGAAAUGUCAUGUGCCAAUGUGCCAUGCGUGUCCCUUCCCUUAGUGAGUCUGAACUGCUCCAACAUUUCCGACAUGUUAUUUUUUACUUAGCUCUUAAGUAUUUUCGUCUCGUUUUCGUUAACCCCAUCACAUUUCGCCACAUGGAUCUAAGCCUCAUGGUCCUUUCGUUCGUACAAUGAAUGUUCCCCCAAUUCCUUAUCUACACUAAAACUCCAUACUCGCCAUCUACUCAACCACUUCUCUACUCUAGAGUUUGGGUCCUUUAUCUCUGCACGUGUCUAUGGCUUUUCACCCCAACAAGUAUGGCAUUACAAGGGCAAUAUCGUCAUUAAAGACCCAAAAGGGAAACCAAUGGCAUUAUCUUCCUUUUGGUCUAUUCUAUUUAUAUUGUAAGUUAUUCGUGAUGACUUCUCCCAUAAAAGCUAAAAACCACUCCAAUAGAGCACACUUCACUUCUUCAUUUUUUUUUUUCCAGAUAAGCUCAGAAAGCCCAGCUCAUCCCUCAACUCCCCGAUGGGUUUGAUGAAUGUUCUUAAAUUCUCAACUGCAUGCUUUGAUCUUCUUAUCUGGUAUAUUGUCCACGCAUUUUCUUGUCAUUGGAAAAUUUUGGAAAAUGAAAUGGAAUUCUAUGUUUGAUGACAAAACUGGGAUUUGCUUUGAUUUCUCCAUGUUGGUUUUAUCCCUUUUGUUUGAAUUGUCCACAUUCUUGUCAUUGGUUGUUAGUUAUUUGUUUGGAUUUCUACUUGUAGGCCUCUGUUUGCACUGGGUUAUCCUCUAUAAAUCUUGGUCUUACACACCAAGAUAUGAUGAUUCAUUUACUCUUUUCUUGUUCUAUGAAUUCUUAGUUCUGUUACAUUUAUUGGGUUGGAAAACUGAAAAAGGAAAGGAUUAUUCGUUAUUAUCAUAAUAAUCAUCAACGUCAUCUCAAUUAUUCACAGAUGUGCAUCAAUUCAGGUAAUUGAGACUAACUCGAUCUCAGACAUUCAGAAGUUGGUGGCAUAUUGGGUUCUAUUUUCCUUGAUUUCACUUUUUGAUCGUACUUUUUCCAAGCUCCUUGAAUGGUAAUUUUGUUCAACUUCAUUCCAUCAUAUGUGGCUCUAUUUGUUUCAUUUCUUUGCCCUUCAGGAAUUUGGAGUUGCCUUUUUUAGUUUUCUUCCCUGUGAAAAUAAUCGAGAUGUUUAAUGUUCCAAGCCUCCAUGUAUUUUAUUUUCCUUCAUUUCUCUGCUUUGAUAAAUCCCCAUGAUUUGAUCAGCAAAAAGGCUAUAACAUUUGACAAAGAAAUGCUUUAUUUUGGUUUUUUAAGUACAACAAUUUUCAUUUGGAGAAAUGGUCUAAAGGGUAUCGGUGUUUGGAUGAAUCAUGGAAUUUUCUCGCUAAUUUGGGAUUUAUUCUCAAUUUCAAUAUCAUUGUGGAUAUUUCAAAAAUUAAUGAAAUAUAUAUGAUGGAAUGUGAUUUUCUUGUUUAAGAAAAGUUUUUCUUUAAAAAUUUAGGUAACCCUGACCUACCUUAUUGUGCUACUCGAAACACAAAACAAAAGUACAAGUAAUUUAGUAACUAAAUUGCACACUUUUUGAUAGUUCAAGGAAGUGGUGUUAGCUUUGGAAAUAAGAUGGAUCUACUAGUUUUUAUUUCUCAUCUUUAUAGGGAACUUUCCAUAAUAUAGCUUAUAAAUACCAUAAUCACAGUGAUGAAUAAUUGUCUUGUUUGAAAGCAUGGUUGCACUUAUUUGCAUGGAAUUUGUCUGCGUUGAAAUUAAAUUAAGCUUUAUGCAUCAUUUGGAUGCUGAGAAACAAAUGAAAAUAGAAAAUUCAAAAUUUGACAAGUUUGUGUAGGGAAAUUGGAUCUAAUCUCUUAAUCGAAGCUUAAUUAGGGCAAAUGUUGAUCCUCUUUGGACCUAUUGAAAGCUCUAAUCUGUGCACAAUUCUAAUGUUUUUGUUUCCUUAAUUUCUUUUUCAACUUUUCAACAAAGCAUCAAUUUGCUAUAAUAAAUGAGAACCAACUUGACGAUGAGAAAAAUGACUGGUGAUGAUGUCAUAGAGAAUCGCAGAUGAGAACAACCAAAAAUACUAGGAUUGGUACCACUGAUGGUAAUGAAGAAAACACAAAAAUGGUGCAAAUGGUGAACAGGAAACUCAAAAUGGAAUGGGAAAAGAAACCUAAACAAUAGUCUCCUAUAUAAAGCACACAACAUGUACAUCGAGGCAUCUGAAAGGACACGCUGCCUGAGAAGUCACUCUAAUUGAUGUGACUCCUCAUGACGUGGGUGGUGGACAUAUGUCCCAUGGUGCCAAAAAUUUCAAACACUCAAGCAACCGAAUACUUUCACUUAGUCAUUUAAAGCCUAGCUAGACUCAAUUGCAAGAAUUAAGGGCAUUGUGGGAUGCUCACCACCGUCUAUCAUGGUCCUCAAACACUGUCUGGUGUGAGACAUAUUGGCACAAGAGCCAUGUAGCUUCUCUAUCCACCCCAAGAUACUCCUAGGGUAGCAAACGAACACAAUCCGACCAAACACUAUGCAUUCCUACCCUACAAGCAUUAAUUUCAAUGAGCAAUAAGUGUAUUAACACAUUAAUGAAUGCAACCGUUAUAACGCUAAAACGCCAUACUUUAAGGUUCAUCAAGACACAACAACCAUUAUGGGCCGACAAUUAUUGGCGUUAAAUAUGGUAAUGCGCAAUCAAAGGCUCAAUUAAGGCCCUUUAGAAGACGUUACUAUUGGGCAAAGAUAAAUAACCAUUUUUUACCACAAGAAAGUCUGAUGCCAUUUUUUUCACAAAAACUUUUGCUUAAGUCUUCCAUCUCUAACCUAAGCUUUGAAGGGGUGUACUUGGAAAACCUAUCCGAACAUUCCUUUAUGUAGGUGCAAUCAUCGUUUAUGUCACGCGAAGGCUAGUCAAAGACCUUUAUUGGUCGUGCACCAAUAAAUCUAUUUAGUAUAUCUCAUUUAUCCGUUCAAGUGAGAUGAAGGAGUGACCUAAAGAUAGAUUGGAAACAUCAUAGUUUCUUAUAUUGGUAAGGCAGCAACAACCUCGGCUAGUGCAUCAACCUGCUCGUUUUCCUCUAGGGGUACGCGUUUGAUAAACCAUUCAUUCAAUUUUUCUGUUCAAGUGUACCAAAGAGAGGUAAUGAGCCAUGCAUUCAUCUCAAGCUUCAUAUUUUAGUUAGAUUUGUUCACCCACUAGUUGUGAAUUGCUUUUGAUUUCUACUUUCAUGGUUGUGAGAGCUAAGGCUAGAUCGUCUCAUAAGAAUUGCUUCAUAUUUUGCCUCAAUAUUAGAUACUGGAAAGUUGAGACAGACGACUUGUUCAAUUUGCUCUCCUGUAAGGAAUUGUUGUGUUAGUCCUAUCCUAGCUUCUGAUGUUCUAGAGGCUUCGUCUACAUGGAGAACACGCCAUUGUUCUUCAUUGUUAGACCUUGUCCAUUUUUGGGGUGGUUCGACUAUGAAAUCAAUGAGAACUUGCUAUUUGAGAUACUAAUGAGGUUUGUACCGUAUGUAAUAUUCACUCAAUUUGAUUGCCCAAUUCACCAUUCGACUAGAUAGAUUUAGCUUGUGCAACGUGACCCACAACGGUUGAUUUGUCAAGACCGUUAUUUGGUGCGCCUGAAAAUAUGGACAAAGCUUCUUGGCAGCGAUCCGUAAGUUCAGAGCCAUUUGUUCCACUUAAGAAUAUCGUGUUUUUGUGUCAAUCAUAGCUUUUCUCACAUAGUAAAUAAGUCUUUGUUCAUUACUCUAAUUGUGUGGAAACAAUAUGACAUUGACAGCAAAGUUUGACACAACCAGGUACAUGUAUAACUCUUCUCUAGCUUCAAGACUACUUAAGAUUGGUGGCUUCGUAAGAUACUGUUUGAUGUCUUUAAAGGCAUGCUCACACUCAUCCAUCUAACUAGACAUCUUUGCUCCCUAGAGUUUGCUCAAGAAAGGUCUGAGCUUAUUUAUGAAGCGUGUUAUGAACCAACCUAAGGUGAUUAGACACCCAGUUAGACGUUGCACUUCCUUCUUGCUAGUAGGAGCAGGGAUUUCUAACACUACUUUCACUUGAGCCAGAUCGACUUCAAUACCCCCUUUGAGUCACCAUGAACACAAGAAACUUCCACUCACUUACUCUAAAUGCAUAUUUUAUUGGAUUAAGCUUCAUGUCAUACCUGCACAUUAAACUGAAUGCUUCUUCCAAAUGGAGGAGCUUCUUGGAACGAGUUAUUCUCUUAAUGACAAUGUCAUCGAUAUAGACUUCCAACGUUCGACCUAUCAAGGGCUUAAAAAUAUGGGUCAUCAACUGUUGGUACGUAGCUCCAAUGUUCAUUAACCCAAGCGACAUGAUCUUGUAAAAGUACAACUCCUUAUGUGUAAUAAAUGUCAUCUUCUCUUUGUCAUGUGGAAACAUUGGUAUCUGGUGGUAUCCAAAAGAAGCAUCAAGAAAAGACAACAUUCCAUGCCUGGUUGUGGCAUCGACUAUCUAAUCUAUCUAGAGCAAUGGGAAGCUAUCUUUCAAGCAGACUUCAUUCAUAUCCACGUAGUCUGCGCACACCUGCCAUUUUUCUCCUUUCUUGGUACCACUACCACAUUUGUUAACUAGUCCAAGUAGGUCACCUCCUUGAUAAAUCUUCCUUUUAAUAGCUUCUCAACUUCUAUCUAGAUAAUUUUUUGAUGAUCCAACUAGAAACGUCAGACUUUAUAUUGUAUGGGUCGUGCUGUAGGAAGAAGGUUCAACUUAUGAGAGCUCACCGCUAGGUCUAUUCCAAGCAUUUCCGAAUGAAUCCACACGAGGAUAUCCUUGUUUUUACAAAGCAUUUCACCAACAUUACCACAUUCAUCCCUAGUUAGCAAAAAAUUAGCGUAAGUCAUCUGCUUAUUAUUUUUCGACAAAGAUAGCUAUUGUAAUAGGCUGAUUGCCAAUGAGUCUCUAUCCUCUAGUUUUCCUUCGACCUAAUUCUAUAAUUGUUAUUAGCUCUCUCUUGAUGAUUUGAGUUCAUCUUUAGUUGGGCCUGAACUCCAUCGCCACUUAGUAACACUACUAGGUGGCUAAUUGGAUUCCAUGUGGAUCCACUUACCCAAAUUCUGUCAGGUAGCUCACCAUCUUAUGAUAGGUGGAUGGAAUAACUUUCAUCUUAUGUAGGUACGACAACCUUAUGAUGGUGUUGUACGACGGUAAAUCCUCUACUAUAGAAAAUCAUACGUUGAGAGUAGGCGGGUUGGCUUGGACAAGAAGUACCACGUCGCAUAGUGAUAUUGUGGCAACCCUAUUAAACCCAAACAAAAGUCGAACUAGAUUUUCUAAGGCAGAUGACGAACAUCCCAUUUUCCUGUAGGUUGACAUAUGCAAUAAAUUGGAAUGAUCAUUUUAGGAAGGAUCACUUGAUUAAUGUUAAUUGAAGGGAAAGUGAUUGGGUCAUUGACUGGUCGGGCACUUUCGACAGUAAAUGUGCACUGAACUGCACUUACUCUUUCCCUCCCUGUAGUCGCACAGAGCAUUCGUCUCCUUUGUUGUUUGGAGUGAUAUUUGUCAUCUACUAUUUCCCCAUGGAUAUAGUUAAUCACUACUCGAUGUGUUGUGGGAGAGUCAGGAACUCACUCUGACACUUCACGUGUCAUUUCUUUAUGUCCACCAGUUGCUCAGACAUACAACUUGAGAUGUCCGGUAAUGAUUAGUUUCUCCACCAAGUAGUGCAAAUUUUUGCACUCUUCUGUGGUGUGCCCAUGCUCCUUAUGAUAGAAUCAUCGCAAUCCUCGAUCAUGCUUGGACGAAUCAGUUUUGAUGGGCUCUAGCCACUUGAACUCGAGCAGCUCUCAAAUCAAGAGGAGAAUUCUAUCAUAAAAAAUGGUCAACGGGGUGAGCCUAGGCGAUUAUCAUUGUUGUUGUCUUUCUUGUCCUUGAUUAGUCUAUCUAGACUGGCUUGAGGGCUUUAAGCUCUUAGCCUUCUUUUUUAAUUGCUCGGUUUAUAACCAGGAUUUGUUGAGAGGUUACCUAAACAUCCUCCUCAAGCAUGACAUGUUUGCCCACUCGUCUAAAUAGGUCAUUCAUUGUAGUGGGCAACUUUUUGGCCAUGGACUUGAAGAAUUGAGUGCUUGGACUGAUGAUCCAUUUGAAGAUCUGCAGGAUAGCAUCCAUGUUGUAAGAUUCCAUCUAGAACACCGCUUGUCUGAAUCACUUCAUGAAGUCCCUUAGCGAUUCAUUCUCCUACAUCUGAAUGUUCUAUAAGGUGCUUAUAUUCUGCUUUUGGCGAGCAAAACAUAAAUAAUGGCCCACAAAGGCCUCUAAAACAUCUGUCAUCUGUUGUUGGAAGUGCAUCAGGUGAACAAAAGAGUCACCAUCCCAUAGUAAAUAGUAAAUUUGGGCACCGGAAACCCCUGGGCAGCUCAUAACUAAUGAUAUGUGGGUCAAACGACAUGAAGAGCAUGUCAUCCAAUCAUCUACUUAUGGAGUCAAGAGGGGCUUUUGUCAAUGGGUUAUUUGUCGAUUGUAGUUCUAGUAUUGAACAUUAAGGCAGACGGCUUGGUGAUGCCUCAUCGUUUGAUUGGCCUAAUUGUGCUUUCAAGGCCUCCAAUAUGCAUGGCGAUGCUAGUGUUCUUCUCUCCUGAUACCCAAGAUAGGCUUUCAGGGCAUCUGAGAGACGUAAGCCCCAUUCUUAACCCAUUUUCCAUUUUUCUCCAAUAGAGCUUGCAACCUCUUUCGCUUGAGUUCGAUCGACUACUGAAUGCACUAGUUCAAGUAAUGUUAGCGAACUGCUAGUAGACAAUCCCUCAUCCACUGUUUGUAGAGACGACUUAGUGUAUCAUUGAAGAACUUUCAUUGUUUGGCUUCAAACUACUCUUGAAGUCGUCUAUUGGUUGGAGGUACGAUGACUUUUUUAUCAGCACCCCAUAGCCACUUGUGCUCGUAGCUCUUGGUUCUCUUGCUGUAGUUGUUCUGCCUGUUGGACAGGGACUACAUAGGUUAUUCAUAUUCUUCUUGCUUUUUUUCUAUCUUUCCUUGCCAAGCUUGGAAUCGCUCGUCAACAUUUGCAGAAUGAGUUGCAGGAGGCGUGUUAACCAUCGUGUUUUUUAGGCAUUUGUGGUUGAUUCCCAUAGACAAUGCCAAUGUUGGUGCACGACCAGUAAAAAAAGGUGUUUGGCUAGUCUCCAUGUAACAUAGAUGACGAUUGCACCUGCACAAAGGAAUGUCUGAAUGGGUUUUUCAGGUACACCUUUCCAAAGCUUAGGUCAGAAAUGGAAGACUUAAGCAAGAGUUUUUGUGGAAAAAUUGGUAGCAUACUUUUCUUGUGGUUAAGAAUAACUAUUUAUCUUUGUCCAACUAUAAUAUCUUCUCAGAUGCCUUAAUUGAGCCUUUGAUUGUGCAUUAUCAUCUUUAAUGUCAAUGAUAGCCAACCCAUAAUGGUUGUUGUGUCUUGAUGAACCUUAAAGGUUGGCGUUUUAACCUCAUAAUGAUUGCAUCCAUCAAUGCGUUAAUGCACUAAUUGCCUAUUGCAAUUAAUGCUUGUUGGGCAAGAAUGCAUAGUGCCCGAUUAGAUUGUGUUUGUUUGGUACCCUAAGAGUACCCUGGGGUGGACAAAAAAGCCACAUGGCUCUUGUUCUAACAUGUCUCGACUAGACAGUGUUUGAGGAUCAUGUUAGAUGGUGAUGAGCAUCCCACAGUGAAGACGUAUGAUGAAAGCAAAGGUAGGGCUUCUAAACCAAACGCUUUUAGGGAUUUUUUUUUUUUUUUCAACAAAGUUGACCUCUUCAAGGAAAAAAAAAAAGGUUAAAAAAACUAUUGCUUUUUUGGAUCCAAAUCACCAUUUCCAAUGUGAUAUUUGGAUUUCCACCAUGUAUUUUUUUUUUUUUUAACAGUCAAGGACAUUUUAUGGAUUAUUGAAAGAUAAUAUCUUUCAACUUAAUUUCCUACAUUAAUUAAGUCUUAGGCUCAAAUGUGAAACUUAAGUGGUUGUUAGGCCAUCAAACCCAUCUGCCCUAAAGUAUAAUUUCCCAUUUUCAAAAUAUAUAGUUGUUAAACAUCUAUCCCAAACUAUUGUAACCCUUUGAAGUGCUUGGUAUGUUAACCUUGUUUCCUUUUCCUUAUGCAACAUGGCUAAUUGAUUGUUGCAUUGAAUCAUUAUCAUUCACCAAAUCCAUUCAACUAUGGACUUACCUUUCAAAUCCCUCUAACAAAAAUGGUAAUUCCAAAACAACUCAAGUCUAAUGUUCUCAACUCUUUCAAAUGAUUUAAUUAAUUGGUGUUUGAAUAUACCUCUUAUAUUUUUUUAGAGCAAUUUUUAGGCACAUAACAUAAAUUUCUAAUUUUUUUUUAGAAAAGGUUUUAUAUUUUAUAUUUUAUAUUACAACUUCCCCUUUUUUUUCCAUCUAAAAAACAAAACAUAAAACCUUAAUAACCGAGUUUUGUCACAAACCCUUAACAAAUAAUCUAUUUUCCAAAAAUUACUUUAACAUCUUUAAACAUAUUGAUUUAGUAUACUUUACUUUUAAUAUUUUUUGAAAAAUAUUUUUAUUUUAUAUGAUUAUUAAUUAAUUAAGAUUGAUUGGGUAUGGUAGAAUAUAUAUUCCAAAAUACAUCGUAUUGAGAACAAUAUCACAAGAUAUUAUAUCCAUAUCUUAACAUAUUAUAUACUUUUAUUUUGUGCAAUUAGCAAUUGGACGGAAGGUAGGGAGCCGGCUUAAUGGAAAUGUCGCAUCUCACGUGUGUCCCUUCCCUUACCAAGUCUCAACAAAGGAUGAAAAUAUCGGUAAUCACGGAUAUAUCGGUACUUCGAUUUUACGGAUAUAUUAGAUAUAUCAGAGAUAUAUUGACGGAUAUUUUGGAAAAAAAUAUCGAUAAGCCUAAAAUUGAUCAAAAUUUAUAAAAAUAUAAAAAAAACUUCAUAAAAAUGUAAUUAAAAGAAGGUCGUAUAAGUUACUCAUGUUGAUCAUGUGAUAUAUCACGAGAUAUAAUCGAUUUUUGGGAAUUUCUCACGAAAAUAUCGCGACAUUUCUUCCUUGUCUCGACUGCUCCAAGAUUUCCUAUACGCCCUUCUUCGCUUAGCUCUUAAGUCUUUUCUUCUCCUCUUCCUCAAACCCAUCACAUUUCGCCGCGUGGAGCUAAGUCUCAAGGUCCUUUUGUUCGUACGAUGUAUGUUCCCCCAAUUCCUCAUCUACCUUGAAACUCCAUACUCGCCAUCUACUCAACCACUUCUCUACUCUAGAGUCUGGAUGCUUUAUCUCCGCGAGUGUCGAUGGCUCUUCACCCCAGCGAGUAUGGAAUUACAAGGGCAAUAUCGUCAUUAAAGACACAACAGGCAAACCAAUGGCAUUGUCUUCCUUUUGGUCUAUUUUAUUUAUGCUGUAAGUAUUCGUGCUUGACUUCUCCCGCGUCUCUUAUAAAAACUAAAGAAAACCACUCCAACAGAGCACACUUCAAGAAUCUUCUUUUUUUUUUUCUUUCCUCUUUCUCUUUACAUAUAUACUGAGAAAGCCCAGCUCAUCCCUCAAUUCCCAGAUGGGUUUUAUGAAUGUUCUCAAGUUCUCAGCUGCAUGCUUUGAUAUUCUUGCCUGGUAUGUUGUCCACGCAUUUUCUCGCCAUUGGAAAUUUUUGGAAAAUGAAGUGGAAUUCUCUGUUUGAGGACAAACAUGGGAUUUUCUUUGAUUUCUCCCUGUUGGUUUUAUCUAUAUUCUUUGGAUUACCCACAUUCUUGUCAUUGAUUGUUAGUCAUUUGUUUGGAUUUCUACUUGCAGGCCUCUAUUUGCACUGGGUUAUCCUCUGUAAGUCUUGGUCUUACACCUCAAGAUAUGAUGAUUCAUUUACUCUUUUCUUGUUCUACGAAUAGUUCAGUUACAUUUAUUGUGUUGGGAAACUGAAAAGGGAAAGGAUUAUUCUUUAUUAUCGUAAUAAUCAUCAACAUCAUCUCGGUUCUUCACAGAUGUUCUUCAAUUCGGGCAAUUGAGACUAACUCAAUCUCAGACUUUCGGAAGUUGGUGGCGUAUUGGGUUCUAUUUUCCUUGAUUUCACUCUUUGAUCAUGCUUUUUCCAAGCUCCUUGAAUGGUAAUUUUGCUCAACUGCGUUCCACUAUAUGUGACUCUGUUUGUUUCAUUUCUUUGCCCUUAAGGAAUUUGGAGUUGCUUUUUUCAGUUUUCUUUCCUAUGAAAAUAAUCGAGAUGUUUAAUGUUCCAGGCCUCCAUGUAUUUUAUAUUCCUUCAUUUCUCUGCUUUGACAAAUGCUCACAAUCUGAUCAGCAGAAAGGUUAUAACAUUUGAAAAAGAAGUGGUUUAUUUUUGUUUUUUUUAAGUACAAUAAUUUUCGUUUGGAUAAAUGGUCUGAAGGGUGUUUGUGUUUGGCUGAGUUCAUGGAAUUUUCAAGCUAAUUUGGGAUUUAUUCUCAAUUUCAAGAUCAUUGUGGAUAUGUCAGAAAUUAAUGAAAUAUAAAUGGUGGAAUGUGAUUUUCUUGUUUAAGAAAAGUUUUUCUUUGAAAAUGCGGGUGCACCAGACCUACCUUAUUGNNNNNNNNNNNNNNNNNNNNNNNNNNNNNNNNNNNNNNNNNNNNNNNNNNNAUCAGAUUCAACUGUGAUAGCCCGGAAUUUAAUUCAGUAUUCGACUCUUCUGGGAACAUGUUGGUUAUGGUUUCUCUCUCACUGUCCUCUUCUUUACACAUGACUUUUCAGUUGAGGAGCACAAAGCCUAAUGUUGAAGUGAAAGAGAUCAAAGCACCUGCAGCACCGGAGAAAAAAGGGGAACAGGUAAGUACUCUAAUGUGGCUAUUUAAUUUCUAUGGAGGCAGAUCCCCAGAGAAAUGCUGUUCAUGUAAAUUACUGAUGCAUUUGAUUCAAUGGCCACGGUUUUAAAAGAAAAACCACUUUAUGUAUGUUUCUGUGAAUGAGAGAACAAGUUUAUGGAUUAAAUGAUAUUUUUUAUGGUGAAAUAAUCAAUAAUUUUCAAAAUAAUAAUACAUUCCUGCAUGUUUUUGCAAUUCAUGAAUUCCUUUUAUGAUUGAUUCUUCUCACCUUUUUUCUCACCUCAGUGGAAGUGUGAAGAGCCUAAUGUUGCUCAAAAAGAGAUCCAAGUAGUCAAAGUAACAGAGAUAAAAAAUGGGGGGGAUGGAGCAAAGAGGGUAAGUUUUGCUUUUUAUUUAUAAAGUAGGCUGUCUUCACACAAGGAUUAUUAUUAUUAUUAUUGUUAUUAUUUUAAGACAUGAAUGUUGAAUGAUUUUGGAAUUGUCCUUGAAUCAUGUGAAGUGUGAAUGGUCUAAUGCUGCUAAGGAGGAGGUCAAAGUGACAGAAGUAACACAGAGAACAUUUGGUGGUACAGCACAGUGGGUAAGGUUUCAUGUCAUAUUUAAAUGGCUCCUCAUAUUUCACUAGGAUUAAUUUUGCCCCUACAAACUAUUUGGCUACAAGUUAAGACAGAGUUCCAGAUGCUGAUAAAGCUGAGACAUAAGUAAUGAACGAAUUUAGACACAUGCACAACUCUUGUGUGAAACACAAUGAGAGUGGAAAAUAGCUAAGUUGAAAAAUGGCCAAAUACUAUUUUGUAGUUCCCCCUACCACUUAAGUAAUUUUUGUCAUCCUUUGUGAAUGGAAAAUGCAGUCCCUUCAGUAAUUCCAUUAUAUUCAUGACUUGGUGAAGCAUAUAACCAUUAGUGUCUUACCCUAAGUCGACCUUUAAUGAUGAUCCAUUGAGAUGGGUCUGACUUUUGUCAACCCUCUUAUUCCCUUGAUCAUAGAGGUGAAACUUAGGGGGCUUAACCCACUUUUCAAUCUUAUUGGAUAUAUGGCACGUGGUAUCCUCUUCAUCUUGAAAGAGUGAAGUGGUCAUACUCUUUCCUCUGAGUCCAUUGUGGCCAUGCACUUCAGGCUCAUUGGGCUGAGUGAAAGGAUUCCCUUCUGCUUCAAAUCAUAGAGAGAUAUGCCAUGGUCAGCCUCUUUAAUUCAAGGGAUUGAAGUACUCAAAUCCAUUUCUCUGUAUCCAUCUUAGUUCUGCAUUCAUGUCUCAUGGUUAACCAAGAAGAUCCAGCCUCCAUCCAUGAGAUCAGCAUCUGCAGGUUUAUGACACCACCCUUCCUUUGCAUAGGAAAGGGAUCAUUAAGCCAUGUGUCGGAUGACAGAAGUCAUCAUUCAGGUUAUCUUGAGAACUAAGGAAGUUGGAAUUCUAAUUAUUGCAUAUGGUUCUUGAUGUUUAGCCAAUAUACUAUAGGAUUUUAAGCAUCAUGCUCACGUGCAUUGUGGUUGCUUAUCAGCUAUAUGGUUUGCCAAAAUGAGGGACUGAUUAUGGUCAUAAGUACCUUUUUCCCAUUAAUUUCUUGCAUGUGCUCUGCUGAGAUUAUGUUUUUGACAGUCCAAAUCAGGGCAAACCAACAAACAGCUUUAUGUUAACUUUUACAAACUGCCAUAUUUUCAGGUUAAACAAACAGAGAUAAAUCUUGGUGAAACUAGAAGUAAUACAACCUGUGCUGUGGAGAUAAAAGAAAGGGCAGCAGCACUGGUGGCUGCAGAAAUUGAGGCAUGUAGAGACGAUAGAACCCCCAAGAUACCUCUUCAUGAGAAAGUCCAGAAAGAGUGGGCUUGUGCUGUGUGCCAGUUCACAACCCAAACUGAAGCGACCUUCAAUUCCCACCUUCAAGGGAAGAGACAUCAGGCCAUUUCUGAGCAGCUGAGAGCCAAAAAUCAGGCAACCAAAACCAAUUGUUCCCCAUCUGCUUCAAUGGCCAAGAAAUCUGAUCAGUCCACCAAAGAGGAGCAACCGAAGUGUACUUCCAAUCUGAAUUCCAAAAACAAUGGAAUCUCAGCUGCUUCAACAGUGAAGAAACUUGAUGAGACCAAAGAUGAUGAGCAACAAAAGUCUGCAUCUAGCAAUGGACCGAACCAGAAGAAUAACAAAAAGCAAGAGGUACAGACCAAUGAGCAAGGCCGUCAGAAGAACUUAAGGCAAACUGGUGAUGGAAUGAAAGAGUUGAGAUCAUGGUGCAAUAUCUGUAAUGUAAGCUGCACAAGGGAGCUUGACCUGGCCUCGCAUCUCAAUGGAAGGAGGCACUUUGAUAGGAUAAAGCAGCUGUCUGAAUUAUGGUGCAGUAACUGCAAUGUAAGGUGCAACAGUGAGGUUGAUAUGGCCUCUCACCGAAAUGGGAGGAGGCACUUGGAGCAGCUGAAGGAACGGUUAGGAUUAUGGUGCAGUAUCUGUAGUGUGAGUUGCAACAGCAAGGUGGACAUGGAUUCUCACCUAAAUGGGAAGAUUCACUUGGAUCAGAUCAAGGACCAGUUAAGAUUAUGGUGUGGGGCAUGUAAUACAACCUGCAAGAGUGAGCGCAACAUGGCCUUUCAUCUGAAUGGGAGGAAGCACUUAGAGAAGAAGGGGAAUACCUGAUUUGCAUGUUUCUUCAGAUUAUUGAUACUUACAAAUGGUUUUAGUUAGAAGCAUACAGGCCAGUGGGUGGUGGUCACAGAUGCCUCUAUUUUGUUGUAUGAAGUAAAAACAGUAUUUCCAUGUCCAGAAAUCAACCACUUGUUUAGUGCAUGCAUGGCUGGUUCAAAAUUAAACCUAAUUGUGAAUGACUAGGAGCAGGGAGGGAAAAAUUGAAGGGAAGAAUGUAAGAUUAUGGCUUCAUUUUUAUUUUUUCCUCUUCUGAAAAUUGUAAGAUUGUGUUAGGAGGAGCUGGAAUGGGUUCAAAUCAGGAAUUAAGACCCAGUUCCAAGACAUGGAAAGUGUCUUUAGAUUAUGUUAAGUUAUUUCCAUUUUUUUUUCUUUUCUAUUUUUUUUCUUUAUUUAUUGUAAGAGGGAGCAUAAAUGAAUUUUUAUUUUUUAUUUUUUUUUUCAGAAUAAAGAUGAAUUUGAUAAUUUCAAUUAUUGCGUUUGGAUGUAUUUCGGAACGUAAGAUUGAAAUAAUUAUUUGUUUUCAUUUUAGUGUUUGAUAAUAAUGAAAGUAUGAAUUAAAAAAUAAAUUGAUAAUAAUACUCUUACAUUUAAUUUAAAACAAUUUUUUAUUUUUAUUUUUAUUUUAGAAGAAUAUGGGUUAAUUUUAUUUAUUUAUUUUUUAAAUAAUAAGCUUAAGAAAAAUAAUUUUUACUCAAUAAAUAAAAUUAAUCAUACAAAGUCAUAAAAACCAAACCAAAAUAUAAGGGUAAAAUAGUAAUUUUAAAAUAUUCAUUUAAGUUAUCCAAAUGCAUUCCUACUCUUCAUUCUCUUGUACGAAAUACGGUCUUUAAGCGUUUGUCAAACUUAUUUCUUUUUUGGCAAUAUAUCAAUAUUUUAGUAAUAUUUUUAUCGAUUAGUUGCUGAUAUUUAUCGCCACGUCACCAAUUCUUUGAGUUUGACUUUCAAAAUUUUGAAAUGAUCAUUGAAGUCCAGUUCAGCCCAAAUCACUACACCCAUGAAAGGGAACGGCUGGGCCACCACACUAAUAUGGCCCAUACAUGGGACCUCGUAAAAGAAUACCCAUCUUCAAAAAUAGGGACCAUAUUAAAUUAUUAAUGUAGCUAUAGGAAGCAUUUGAGGACAAGGGUCAUGAUUUUUCCCUUUUCUUUUUCUCCUUAAUUUUCACAUCACCCAACAACACCACUCUUAAUUCACACAAAUUUGAAGGUUUGGAAUGAGACUUAUUCGUAUUUAUAUUGUAAUUAUGCUAUAAUAAUCGUGUCGUAUUUGGAUUUAUUUAUUAAAUCCAUCUAAAUCUUUUGUUUAUUCGUGUCAAAACAAUAUAUUUAUAAUCGAAUCCAUUUAUGACAUAUUCAUCUUUUAUAAAUUUAUUAAUUUUAUAUAUUUUAAAAUUAUAAAAAUUAAAUAUAUUUUUUCAAUUAUGAAAUCAUAUUACUAAAAUAUUAAAUAAUUCAUUAACUUGAAAUGUUUUACAUUUCAUUAAUUAUUUUAUAAUUACAACAUUAAGUGAAAUAAUAAAUAGGUAUAAAAUAUAUAUUUUAUUUUAGUUAAAAAUUAUAAAUUGUUAUUGAGACAUAUAACUAUUAAAAUUCUACCCAUUUGACUAUCAAACAAACAACUUAAGUUUUUAGUCAUGAUUUAAGCUUAUGAUAAACUCUAUUUACAAAAAUUAGAAACCAAAAUCAAAUUCUUCCUAGACUCAAAAACAUAAAGACAAUCUUUUAACUUUAGAAGACAACUAUCAUCUAAGAUAAGGGUAACUCAUCCCAUUGCAUGUACAACAAUUCUUGCUUCAAAAGCUAAUGUUAGGUACAUAUCCCUAUCAUUCAACCUUUCCCUUAGCUAAAACCCCUAUAAAGAAUUAUAAACAUGAUCAAUGGCUCCAAAAUUUAUCCACCAAGAGUUAGUGGAAUCUAACACUAAAAAUGAUUCAACUAAAAGAGAAUGAUGCAUACCUAACUGUCUCUUCAAGAACUAAGGGCAUUCCUUCUUCUAGUGGCUUUUUUUACCACAAAGGAAACACUUAUCAUGACCCUUACUCUUCUUCUUUUUCCCUUGCCCUUGAACUUUCCCUUCUGCUUGGUGAAUUCUACAAUGUUCUUCUUAUUUUGGUUAGAAGAACCUAAAGAACACUUAACUGCCAUAUAAAUACCUCUCUGGUCCUUGAGAAUUCCCUCAAUUGUUUUGUGUUCUCUCAUCAGUUCGGUUAUAGUUUAAGAAAAAAAAUGUUUUUUUUAUGUGACUAAACUUGGAAUGAAUGUCCAAGUUGCAUACAUACUCGGGCUAAGAUCAAGUCAUAACGUAGUUUAAGAAAAAAGAUUUUUUUUUUUUUUUUUUUUUUUUUUUUUUUGUGAUUGAACUUGGAAUGGAUUUCUAAGCUACUUACGUAUCCAGGAUGGGAUCAAGUUCUAACAUAGUCACAAUGCAGUUCAAGAAUUUUUUUUUUCUUUUUUUGUGCUCUAACUUUUGCCAAGACUAAAGAUCUUAAUUUUGCGAGCAUGUUCUAACUUUUGCCUAGGUCGCCUUUCCAAGUUUUCAAUUUAGCAAACAAGGUUUUUUUUUUCUUUUUUUUCUUUUUCUUUUUUUAGUUCUCUAACUUUUGCCAAGACUAAAGAUUUUAAUCUUGGAAGCAUGUCUUAACUUUUACCUUAAGUCGAAUUUUUAGGUUUUCAAUGUGGUGGAUUUUUUUUUUUUUUUUUUUUUUUUGUGUCGUAGGUAAUUUAAGCUCAUAUGGAUUGGAAGCAAUGUGUAGUUUGUUGGGAUUAAGCCCUUAAAAGCAAGACAUGAUGUAAUAAAGUUAAACUUAACUAUUUCCUUACUAUCUUUUUGGUGUAUCAACAUUGAUUUAAACAUUCAACCCAUAUCUCUUACAUUGUACAUGAUUUAGGAGCAUUAAGAGUUGCACAAAAGAUACAAGUUAUGGGUUCCUUGUAAGUAGAUGAGUUAUCCAUAGUCAUUUCAUGGAUUUGGGCAAUCUAGUAGUGACUAUAGUGCACCACCUCCUAAUUUAAGGGAUGACUUGUCUUGGCAGUUGGGAUGAGUUUCCUAUGGUGAGCGUACUAGUGUAAAUGAUGCACAUUGGACAGGACCUAUGGUGAAUCAUGACGCAAGGCUAUCAAUUGUCAUGAUUCACCAAGUUACUAUACUACAUGGACUCUCAACCUUGAGAGGACAUUGAACCCAUGUCAAAAUCAAUAGAAAGUUUUGACCUAUGGGCGAGACCCUAAAGUAGUCAUAUAUUCCUAUGGAUUAGGUCAUUGUUGAUGUAGGCUGGUUAUAAUAGGCAUUCUCAAUAGAGGCACCAUGAUAUGUCAUGGGAUUGAGAUGGUGUGUCCCUUUGGGUGAUCCAAAGAACAUGUGAUCAUGAAAUUUGUGGCCACAGUAAUUCCUUUAGUGAAAUUUGACAUAUGCUCCUUGGAGUUAGAGUAUGUCAAUUGAUCACAUAAUAAGUGAGAUCUAUAACUCAAGGAUUUGAGAGAUAAUAUUGAUAGGUGAUAACACUAACUUGUUAGAUUUAGACACCAGUUUCAUGAGGAAUAUGCAUGUAGUGGAUAGUAGGUCAUGAAUGCGAGCUUUGUCUCGUUGUUAUUUACAUAAGGUACCGGAGUGUAGUUGAUUCUCUUUAGUAGAGUGUUGAAUCAACUUCAAAAUUGGAUUAUGAGGUAGUCAGUACUCCUAUGGGUCUCAAUGGUCCCCACUCUGAGCUAAUAUACCAUGAUGACACAAUUUAUGAGGGUUGGAUUGACUUUAGGUUCAUUCUUAUGCAUAAGGGCAUUUUGAUAAUUACACAAGGUUGCAUAGGGGAUAAUAAAUAAGGUCUCUAGAUUGGACUAAUUGAUUAAUUAGAUGGCCUUAUGUGGUUAAUUAAUCAAUUAAGACAUGUUAGGGCUAGAUUAAGUGACCCAAGCCUUGAUGGGUUCAAGUCACUUAAGCCUAAUGGGUAACCGUAUAAAUACCUCCUUAUGGGUUAGGGUUUUCUAAUGACUUUUAGUUAGUCAUCUUCCACUUUUAGAAAAAUAGAGAGAGCCAAAGCUUCCUCCUUUCCACUGCCCACACUUUGGUAUGCCAAGAUCGGGAAUCGAGUCAUCGAACAAAAGAUCUUAGGUGUACGAGACCUUUGAACUCUUUAGGCUUCUUCUUCGUUGGAUGGAUUUUGAUCUGGGAACAUCUAGAUCACAUGUAUGUGUUAUAAUAUUUGGUUAAUUCAACCUAAGGUAAUCACCCUAGAGAAGGGGUGAAUAGGGUGAUGAUUUUUUUUUGCAAAUUUAAAUUAUGUGAAUGCAAGAGACAAUUAUAUGCAAAAUAUAUGGCAAAACCAUAUAAAAACAAUUGCAUAUAAAGUAAAAGGUUAAGGAAGAGAGAAUAUAAACACAAGAUUUUUAUAGCGGUUCAGUGCAACCCGACCUCCAUCCAUUCUCUUCUAGCUUCAAUACUAAACUUGAGGUUCCACUAAUUCAAGGCUUCCAAUCCAAGCCUUCAAGUAAUACAAUUGGAUUAUGGUUCCAAUCAAACCUCUUGAAAUUUUAGUUCUAAACACAUUUUACAAUCUUCAAGAGAUACCUCACUCUUGAACAACUCCUUAAGUGAUACCUCACACUUGAGAAUCCCUAAGUGAUACCUCACACUUAGAUUUUUCAUCUCAAAGAUUUAUCCGCUCUGCACCCACCUCCCGAGUAUAUGCUUCAACAGGAAUCACACAAGGGUAGAUUGAUACAAUAGAAACCUCUGGUAAAAUGCCCGCUCGUAACCCAGCAGAUAAAGUACAUUACAUAGUCCGUUUUAGGGAUUGGCUACUUACCCAUUCAGUGACUUUGGCACUGGACGUUCCCAAAAUGGGUACUAUCGGGUCGGGUGAAUUCAAUAAUAGACGCCUGUUGGCAUUCCAGCCUUCCUUCUCCUUUCAGGGCCUAUCCGAAAGAGAAUCCAGUACUUCUUGGUCAAAUGAAGAUAGGAAAUUAUUAGCCUAAGGACUCUCCUAAUCGGGUUUUGAUGAUAACAAACCAUGAUUAAAUGACUAAUUGGUUUAAUGGUUAAGAAUCUCAAGCAUAAACUCGAAAAUUCAUCAAAUGACCAAAUGGAUACAAGAUCGAGACAUUUGGAAGACUUGUGAUCAUAGGAAACUAAUGUAAGAUGAAUGCAUGAGUGCACUUAGGAUUUUCAUACCGUUUCAUACAAUUUAGAAAACUCAGUUUAUUCUUUAAAACUUCAAUUUCAUUAAAACCCGAGUUUUAACAAUUGUACCUCAGGCAAAAUGUUUUAAAAUUGGCAUAAUAAUUCACCUAAAAACCUUGCCUAAGUGUUAGGAAAGAAAGGAAUUGAAAAAGAUAGGUUUUCGGGGCCAAAAGGCUCAACCGGUCGAGGCUAUGGCCAACCAACUCAACCGGUUAGGGAAUCGGUCGACUGGUUACCCUUGUCCAGUUGAGGUCCGAUCGAAGGAUGCACAAAAUUUUCUCUCUCUCCCAGUAGCCUUCUCUUCCCGGUUGAGGUUAUUCUCUUCCCUGUCGAGGUCCGGUAUAGGCAACGGUAACCUGUCAAGCAUUAAAUGCUCCAACGGCUAGCGAACCGGUCAACCCCUAGCUCGACCGGUCAAGGUUACCUUUUGUUGUUUUUGACUCCCGAGCUUAGAAACCUAUAAAUUGAGAGCUCCACUUCAUUUAUUGACGAGAUAACACUUGCAAUCAAUUGUCUACCUAUUUGUUCUUGAUCAGAAAGCUCUCAUUUCUUUCUUAGUACAUUAAAUCAUCACUUGCAUAUCCUUUAGUGCACUCUUGUGUGUCAUCCUAGAUUUGUCUUGUAUUUGAGCUAUCUUUAAGCUAGGUUGAGGGAUUCAUUCUUGUAAAAACCGAGUGUUAAAGCCUUCAAGAAGUUUAAAUCUUGAAGAGAUUGUGUAAGAGUCCAUUGGAGCCAAAAUCCAAGUGUAAGAAGAUUGGAAGUUUGGUUGAAGUUUCAAGUUAGUGGAACCUUCACUCGGUUAGGAGAUUGAGGAGACUGAACGUAGGCAAAGAAGUGUCGAACUACUAUAAAACCCGAGUUUGAAUUCUCUAACUCUAGCUCUUUAUUUUGCUUAUAUUGUGCUUGAACUCGUUGUGAUUUAAAAGAAUUUAAAAAACCCCUAUUUGGGUGUUUUUCUUAAUUAAGCAUAGCCUUUAUUUUCUCAUAAAUAAUCUUACAAAAUCUUAGUACAAACUUUAGCCUUAAAUGAUACAAAAUAAACUAGGAUUGAAUGGUGCACUAAUGAUAUGUAAGUUUUAAAACAAUGUGUACAAAAAACACUCCCCUAAAGCUCAAAUAUAUUCGAGAAAGGUUUAAGAAGGUUAAACUCUUGAAACAAUAAAUAUUGAAACCUUUUUAUAGAAGAGAAAAACCAAACUACCUGUUGGGGAUUCGUUCGAUCAAGCUCUGGUUCGACCAGUUCACUAGCCUUUAGCAUUUAAUGUAUGAUAGGUGACCAUUGGACCUUGACUACCCCUUGAUUGGUACUCGACCGGAUGAAGUUCAACCUUGAUUGAUCGAAUAAGCAUUCUGGAAGAGAGAUAAGGUUUUUGCACCUUUCAACCGAGUAAGCUGAAUAGGUCGACUAAUUUCUCAUUCGAUUCAACCGAUUGAGUCAUUUUUUGCUCAACAACUAUUAUUUUCAACUUAAAACCUUUUAAACAAGUUUGGAAAGCAUUUGACAUAAGGUUUUAGUUGAAAACAUGAAAUCAUCCAAUUUUUAAAAGAUUUAAAACAAAAUAACUCUUGAAUGAUUUUGGUGUAUAAGUAAAGAAUGUAAUGCAUGAAAAACCCAAUGCACCAACAACCUUACAAAGAGAUCCUAUGAGUCUUAGGUCUUGAAAAACACUUAUCUUUAAGGUCUUCUUCUUCUUAUUGAUUUUAUCUUUGUGAUUGCCACUUUGGAAAUCAUCUUGCCUAGUCACACUUAAAAUAUAAUCAUUAGUUCUAAAUCUUGUUUUGUUAUCAUCAAAACUAAGAUUAACCAAACCUUGGUUUCACAAUAUGAAUAUUGUAUCUCUAGAUCUAUAGUUAAUAGUGGUUUUUAUAGUCAUUUGUUUCCAUUGCGAUAAAUUUAGAGAAGCUUAGGGAUAGAUGAAUGCACCCUAUGAGAUCUAGGGCAUAGGAAUGGAGUAAUCCGGGGUUCCUAACAUAGUUUAGGCUUGUGCUUCAUGGAGUGAUAACAAUUCUUCAAGCAUAGUUAUGCUUUAGAAAUUUGUUAUUGAUUGGUCCAAUUUUUAGACCAUCUUCAGCAACAAUCUUGUGUGCACCAUUGAUAUAAUCUUGUUAUACAAAAUAUGAUCUAUCACAUUUUUGGCAAGAACUUUCCACUGGUUUUGUGCAUGGUAAUGAUCAUGCAUGCAAACUUAACUAAGUUAUACACUAGAUGCCAAACUACUACAAUUCUUAUACACCUUCCCGUUUUGUGCAACUGAACAAUUCAACAUCAUAACACCAAAGUUCUUGCUUAGAUUUCCUACAGUGCUAAAAUUUUGAAAUGAUUAAUUUGUUUAUUUUUCUUUCAAUCCCAAGACCCACAUACAUCAUGUCAUGCCCUAAGACCCACUCUAAGGGCAUGACAAUCAUUUCACAUCUCAAGGUCGAAAGCUCAAAGUGUAAAUUGACCUUAACAUUCAUUUUGUAACUGGAAAAUUAUCAAUUACCAAAUUCAUAUUUAUAGUAGUAGAAUAAAAUUCUACAAGUUUCAAAUCUCAACUUUAAAGUUAACACAUCAACUAAAGUGUUAUUGUCCAAACAACUUCAAACUUAACAAUUCAAGCAAUCAUUAAAUUCUAACUUUCAAAAAAUAUUUUUUAAAAAUAAAGAUUUAACGAAAAGUCUUAGUAUUGCCAAAAUCUCAUCCUAACCUUCACUCCUAGCCUGAAUUAAGGUGCCUAAAAAAUUGUCAAUGAAAGGAAAUGAGAUCAACGCUCAAUAAGGAAUAUUAAUAAGGUUUCAUGGAUCAAACAUUUUUAAUUAUAAUUCCAAAUAGGAGAUAUAAUAUAUAAUCAUUUUCAUAAGAAAUUUUGAGUUUAAAUAUAAUAAUAUAUUGAAAACUUUUCAGCUAAACAUUUUCAUAUCUAUGUCAAAACAAUUUCAUAUCAAAUUCAAAUCAAAUAUAUACAAAAUAUUUUUACUUUGGUUAUCAAAUGUCACAUGGUGUCAAGUUAGGUGGGACUUUACAAAUUGGUGUCUAACCUCAAAUUUUUUCCUUUCAAGGUGGACGAAACCAAACACUACUAGUAUUAUUAACAUCUAACCAAAUCCCUAAAGGGUGAGAUCUAAAGCAAUUACAUUCUCCGCCAAGAAAUAUAAGGUCAACAAUUAUAACUCGUUGACUAGGGACAAAAAUAAACUAGAGUCAAACACCUUAUUUCAUUAAUUCAAACUUGCAAAACAAAAACAUCAUAUCUCCAUAAUUUUCAUUUUUUAUAAACAAAAGAAAUGUUCUAACAUAGUUUUUUCAUGAAAAAUAUAUAUUUGAUCCAUGCAUAAAAAUAAAAAUAAUUUUUUUAUUAUUCAAAAUAACAUAUAAAAAUAAAUAUGUUCUUUUGGCCAAAACAUGUAUUAAUUUUUCUUACCUCAAAGAAACACUCAAAGACCUUGAAGCAAUUAAUCCUAAAGAAUUUCACCCCAAAAAACAUAUUUCACACCUUACUAAAAAAAAAAAAACAAAACAAAAAAAUUACUAUUGAUUAUUUAUCUAAUAAUAGUUUUGUAUUUUAUAUCACCUAUAUUAUUUUUAACUUCCUAAUAAAUAACAAUUUAAUAAGCGAUUUUCCAAAUUUUUAAAAGUUAUGUUCUUUCCAAAAUUUAUUCAUAAUAUUCUAUUAUUAUUAUUAUUAAUUAAAUCUCUCAAAAAUAUGUUUUUUCUAUUUAUUGCAUUAAACUAUUAUUAUUAUUAUUCAAUUUCAAUUUGAUUAAUUGGUUUUUUCUUUUAAAUUCCUAAUUUAUAUAAGAUUCUUGUUUUGAAAAUCUUCCAUAUUUACUUAUUUGUUUAAAGUAAAUUUCUCCAAAACUUGUUCCUUUUGGUUAAACAAGUAUCUUUUCCUAUUAUUAUUAUUAUUAUUAUUAUCCCUAAUAUUAUAUUCAAAUAACUAAACAAUAAUAAUUUAAAUUAGUGAGUUUCCAAAUUUUUAUAAAACUCAUAUUCAUUCUAAAUCUUAUCAUAUAUAUCAAUUUCUUUUAUAUACUUAAAUUAAAUUAAAAAAUUUACUUAAAAAAUAUAUAUAUUAUAUUAUUACUUUCAACAUCCUUCUACCACCCAAACAAUUACUUCAAGUAAAAGUCAUAUAUCCUUAUUCUACUAACUAUCCUCUCUCUUGCAAUAGCACACUUAGGGAUGGCAAUGGGGUGGGUUCGGGAUGGAUCGCCCCUAUCCCAACUCCUCCCCAUUUAUUCAAAAUAAUUUUCAUCCUCGUCCCAUUUAAAAAAUUAAAUGAGGCAGGGCGAGUAUGAUAAAUUCUCAUAUUCGCCUCGCCCCGCCCCGUUUAACUCUUUUUUGAAUUUUUUUUUAAAAUUACUUUAAAAAUUUUUAAUUACAUUAAAAUAAAUAUAUUUUAUAAAUAAUUAAAUUAUUAUAUUUUUUAUAACUUAUUUUAUUAAAAAUAUUUUAUUAUUAUCUAUAUAUUAAAAAUAGUAAAAUAAAAAUUAAAUUAAAUUAAUUUUAUAUAUAAUUGGGGUGGGACGGGAUGAGGCAAUACCCAAACCUGCUCCGGGUUUUAAAAAAAAUUCUCAAACCUAUCCCAAACCCGUUUAUUAAAAUUAAAUCUCGUCUCAUUAGGGACGAGGCGAGUACCUGAAAAAACCUGCCUCAUUGCCAUCCCUAGGCAAACUUUCAUUUUUUUUUUUUUUUUUAUCUUUUUCCUCCUUAAGAUCAAUCCUAUUGUAAGCACCCUUUUUUUUUCUACCACAUCUUGUUGCAAGCAACCUUGUAAGUUUUUUUAAUUUAAAUUUUUUUUCCACUAUGGAGGCACGUACAACCAUAAAACCUCCUCUUUUUUUUAUUUUAUUUUUACAACUCUCAAAUCUCUCAACCUCCAUACUAUUAGGUUUUAUUCAUUUAUUUAUUAUUAUUAUUAUUAUUAUUAUUAUUCCAUAUCCAAAACUAUAAUUAAUUUUCUUUUAUAUUUUUUUAUUUUAGAUCUAUUAAUUUGAAUAUUCGAAAUUUUCUAAUCUUACUAAUAACUCUAAACGUUCAAAACUAAUUAAUGAAUAUAAAAUAUUAAUCUAAGGAUUAAAAUCUUAUAUAGAAAAUUGAUCUUUAAAUCCUAAACUCCCAAAUUUUCAACCUUACGUUGCCCUAUGUUGUCCAAUCUCUUAGAUCUCCAUGUAAAAGGGUUUUUUUUUUUAAUAGAGUAAAUAAGAAAAAUUUAAUUUAUACCUAAAAUUUUAAAAUGGAGAAAAAUCUUUCUACCCUUAUUAAUUUAAUUAAUUUUUUUAAAUUAUGUUUUUACCCUUGAAUUGGGUCUGGGCAUCACACAUCAUACUAAAAAGUUAUCAAUAACCAUCCUUUGAGGCACAUUAGCAUAAAUUUGCGACUUUAGUUGUGUUCUAGGUGCAAUUCUAUUAUGUUUAAUUGAAAAAUAACACCCAUAGCACAACCAAGCCUAAUUGACAGCAUUUGGGCAAAUAAAUGGUAAAUUUCUAAAAGUUCACCAAAAAAAAAAAAAAACAAAAAAGAUCAUAAAGGGCAUAUUUUUCAAGUCAACCUAGUUUUGGGAUAUUGCAAUCCAAUCUAAGAAUGCAAUAAUAGCUCUUUAAUUCAUAAUUUUAAAUUCACAAAAGAUAUCACCUAAAAUUACUAUAGGUUACCAAAACAUCAACAACAUAUAGAAAGCUUAGAAAUGCUUGGAACCUAUCGAAUUUUCACUUUUUAGGAAUAAAAAAAAAAUGAACUUUAAGGAUUUUAGGGUAAUACUUGCUUGAACCAUCUUUCAAUCCUUUUGUUGGCGGUGGGCCUUUUACCUAUAAGAACAGGAAUGAGAGGUGAAAAGGAGGGAGCCUUAUGAAAACGGAUCCCUAGGGCUUAAGAAGGGGUUUUCAAUUUUAGGGUUUGUCUGUUCACCAAGGAUGUGAAUGGGAAGAUGAGGUGAAGUUAAGAGAUUGGUGAAGCAAAGUGAGGGCAUGGUAGGGUUUGAAUAAGGGAAAGUCUACACUAUUAAUGAAGAUGAUAAUCUUUAGAAAGCAAAGCUAAGGUAAACUAGGGCUUUAACAACAAUUUUCGAUCUACACUAGUGAAGACGAUAUCUUCGAAAACCAAAGCUAAGGCAAGCUAGGGCUUUAAUAACGAAUUUCAAUCUACAAUGGUGAAGAUGAUAAUCUUCGAAAACCAAAUCUAUAAUGGUGAAGAUGAUUAAAAACUAAAUCUAUAUUGGUAAAGACGAUUGGAAAGCAAAUCUACACUAGUGAAGUCAACGAAACCAAAGGUAGGUAAAAAUAAUAAUAAUAAUAAUGCAUUCUUAGAUCCAAAUCACCAUUUCCAACAUGGUAUUUGGAUUUCCACCUUGUAUUUUUUGUUUUUAAUUUUUUCAAUAAUCAAGGACAUUUUAGGGAUUAUUAAGUGACAAUAUUCUUCAACUCAAUUUCCCACAUUAGUUAGGUGUAAGGCUCAAAUGUGAAACUCAUAUAGAUGUUAGGCCAAUCAUCAAACUCAUUUGCCUUGAAGCAUAAUUUCCCCUUUUUAAAAUAGUUGUUAAACAUCUAUCCCCAACACUUGUAACCCUUUGAAGUGCUUGUAUGUUAACCUUGUUUCCUUUUUCUCAUGAAACAUGGCUUAUUGAUUGUUGCAUUGAGUCAUUAUCAUUCACCAAAUCCAUGCAACUAUGAACUACCUUUCAAAUCCCUCGAACAUAAAUGGUAAUUCCAAAACAACUCAAGUAUAAUCUUUCCAAGCCCUUCAAAUGAUUUAAUUAAUUGAUGUUUGAAUAUACUUCAUAUAUUUUUUUAGAGCAAUUUUUUAGGCAUAUAACAUAAAUCUCUAAUUUCAUUUUAUUUUUUUUAUAAAAGGUUUUAUAUUUUAUAUUACAAUUUCCUCUCUUUUUUUUCAUCUAAAAAAAAAAACAUAAAACCUUCGUAAACGAGUUUUGUCACAAUCCCUUAACAGGUAAUCUAUUUUUAAAAAUUACUUUAACAUUUUUAGAUAUAUUGAUUCAGUCUAAUUUAAUUUUAAUAUUUUUUAUAAAAUAUUUUUAUUUUAUAUGAUUAUAAAUUAAUUACUAUUGAUUGCAUAUUAUAGAAUAUAUAUUCUAAAAUAUAUCCUAUUCACAAUAAUAUCAUAAGAUAUUAUAUCCAUAUCCUAACAUAUUAUAUACUUUUAUUUUGUGCAAUUAGCAACAGGGUGGAAGACGGCUUAGGCGGGAGACGGCUUAACGGAAAUGCCGUCUGCCAUGCGUGUCCCUUCCCUUAGUGAGUCUGAACAGCUCCAACAUUUCCGACACGCCCUUCUUCGCUUAGCUCUUAAGUAUUUUCGUCCCGUUUUCAUUAACCCCAUCACAUUUCGCCAUGUGGAUCUAAGCCUCAUGGUCCUUUCGUUCGUACGAUGAAUAUUCCCCCAAUUCCUUAUCUACACUAAACCUCCAUACUCGCCAUCUACUCAACCACUUCUCUACUCUAGAGUCUGGAUCCUUUAUCUCUGCACGUGUCUAUGGCUCUUCACCCCAGCAAGUAUGGCAUUACAAGGGCAAUAUCGUCAUUAAAGACCCAAAAGGCAAACGAAUGGCAUUAUCUCCCUUUUGGGUCUAUUCUAUUUAUAUUGUAAGUUUUUCGUGAUGACUUCUCUCAUAACAGCUAAAAACCACUCCAACAGAGCACACUUCACUUCUUCGUUUUUGUCUUUCCUCUUUUUUUUUUUUAGAGAAGCUGAGAAAGCCCAGCUCGCCCUCAACUCCCCGAUGGGUUUGAUGAAUGUUCUCAAAUUCUCAGCUGCAUGCUUUGAUCUUCUUGGUUGGUAUGUUGUCUACGCAUUUUCUCGUCAUUGGAAAAUUUUGGAAAAUGAAGUGGAAUUCUAUGUUUGAGGAGAAACUGGGAUUUGCUUUGAUUUCUCCAUGUUGGUUUUAUCCCUUUUGUUUGAAUUGUCCAGAUUCUUGUCAUUGAUUGUUAGUUAUUUGUUUGGAUUUCUACUUGCAGGCCUCUGUUUGCACUGGGUUAUCCUCUGUAAGUCUUGGUCUUACACCCCAAGAUAUGAUGGUUCAUUUACUCUUUUCUUGUUCUAUGAAUUCUUAGUUCAGUUACAUUUAUUGGGUUGGGAAACUGAAAAGGGAAAGGAUUAUUAGUUAUUAUCAUAAUAAUCAUCAAUAUCAUCUCGGUUCUUCACAGAUGUGCUUCAAUUCGGGCAAUUGAGACUAACUCAAUCUCAGACGUUCGGAAGUUGGUGGCGUAUUGGGUUCUAUUUUCCUUGAUUUCACUCUUUGAUCAUACUUUUGCCAAGCUCCUUGAAUGGUAAUUUUGCUCAACUUCAUUCUUUGCCCUUCAGGAAUUUGGAGUUGCUUUUUUCAGUUUUCUUCCUUGUGACAAUAAUCGAGAUGUUUAAUGUUCCAGGCCUCCAUGUAUUUUAUUUUCCUUCACUUCUCUGCUUUGAAAAAUGCCCACAAUCUGAUCAACAGAAAGGUUAUAACAUUUGAAAAAGAAAUGCUUUGUUUUGGUUUUUUAAGUGCAACAAUUUUCAUUUGGAGAAAUGAUCUAAAGGGUAUUGGUGUUUGGCCGAAUUCAUGGAAUUUUCUCGCUAAUUUGGGAUUUAUUCUCAAUUUCAAGAUCACUGUGGAUAUUUCAGAAAUUAAUGAAAUAUAUAUGAUGGAAUGUGAUUUUCUUGUUUAAGAAAAGUUUUUCUUUGAAAAUGUGGGUGACCCCAACCUACCUUAUUGUACUACUUGGAACACAAAACAAAAGUUUUUCUCGCUAAUUUAUUAACUAAAUUGCACACUUUUUGAUAGUUCAAGGAAGUGGUGUCAGCUUUGGAAAUAAGAUGGAUGAUUGUAGGGAACUUUAUUUCUCAUCUUUAUAGGGAACUUUCCAUAAUAUAGCUUAUAAAUAUCAUAAUCACAGUGAUGAAUGAUUGUCUUGUUUGAAAGCAUGGUUGCACUUAUUUCCAGGGAAUUUGUCUGCGUUGAAAUUAAAUUAAGCUUUAUGCAUCAUUUGGAUGCUGGGAAACAAAUGGAAAUAGAAAAUUCAGAAUCUGACAAGUUUGUGUAGGGCAACUGGAUCUAAUCUCUUAGUCGAAGCUUAAUAGGGGCAAAUGCUGAUCAUCUUUGAACCUAUUGAAGGCUCUAAUCUGUGCACAAUUCUAAUGUUUUUGUUUUCUUCAUUUCUUUUUCAACUUUUCAUAAUAGAUGUCAAAAGUUAAAACCGAACUUACGUAGUCCAUCCAAGUGGAUGCAUAUAAAUUUAACAGAAACUGAAAUUUGAAGAAAUUUAUUUUCCCUUUUGUAAAUGGUGUUUAAAAAGUCUGUGUGUAGUUUGGUUUUUUUCCUGGAAGAUCAGAUGAUUUCGUGAUCAUUUUUUCUAUUUGCCUUAUCAUCAUGAGAUUUAAGUAUUUUUUUUAAAAAAAUAUUUUAUUUUCUUAUAUAAUGCAUGUCAGGAUACCAUUCUGGCCUUACAUAAAGCUGAUGGUCAUCUGCUGGCUGGUGAUACCGCAUUUUGAUGGUUCCUAUUAUAUCUAUCAAUACCUAGUUCAUCCACGCUUGUCCAUGGAUCCACAAGUUGUCAUGAAUUGGCUCUUCAAUGAAUCAAAAAAGAAGUUUCAUAGCAGAGAAAACUUUCUUGUUUCAGCAGACCAAUAUAUUAAGGAGAAGGGACCUGAAGCUUUGGAGAAACUACUUGCAAGGAAGGUAUGCCAUUAUAAGUAGGAUUGUCAACAAGUCAAAUAGAGUUUUAUUUGAGAUGUUCAAGUAAAAAAUUACUAUAGCAGGUCAUCUAGAAUUAUUGGUCUAAAUUCAUGUAUAUAUCUAUAUAUAAUUGUGUUCUCUUUUUUUCACAUAUGCAUGUGCAUUUAGAUUUACGUAAUUAUAUAUGCAUAAUCAGAUUCAACUGUGAUAGCCCAGGAUUUAAUUCAGUAAUCAACUCUUCUGGGAACAUGUUGGUUAUGGUUUCUCUCUCACUGUCCUCUUAUUUAUACAUGACUUUGGCUUCAGUUGAGGAGCACAAAGCCUAAUGUUGAAGUGAAAGAGAUCAAAGGACCUGCAGCACCGGAGAAAAAAGGGGAACAGGUAUGCACUCUACUAUUUUAUUUCUAUGGAGGCAGAUCUCCAGAGAAAUGUUGCUCAUGUAAAUUAGUGAUGCAUUUAAAAGAAAAACCACUUUAUGUAUGUUUCUGUGAAAAAGAGAACAAGUUUAUGGAUUAAGUGAUAUUUUUUAUGGUGAAAUAAUCAAUAAUUUUCAAAAUAAUAAUAUAUUCGUGCAUGUUUUUGCAAUUCAUGAAUUCCUUUUACGAUUGAUUCUUCUCACCUCAGUGGAAGUGUGAAGAGCCUAAUGUUGCAGAAAAGGAGAUCCAAGUAGUCAAAGUAACAGACAUAAAAAAUGGGGGGGAUGGAGCAAAGAGGGUAAGUUUUCCUUUUUAUUUAUAAGGAAGGCUGUCUUCACGCAAGGAUUAUUGUUAUUAUUUUUAAGACAUGAAUGUUGAAUGCAUUUGGAAUUGUCGUUGAAUCAUGUGAAGUGUGAAGGUGCAAAUGGUGCUAAGAAGGAGAUCAAAGUGAUGGAAGUAACACAGAGAACAUUUGGUGAUACAGCACAGUGGGUAAGGUUUCUUGUCAUACUUAAAUGGCACCUCAUAUUUCACUAGGAUUAAUUUUGGCCUACAAACAUAUUUGGCUACAAGUUGAAGACAGCUUUCCAGAUACUGGUAAAAGUUGAGACAUAAGUAAUGAAUGAGUUUAGAAACAUGCACAACUCUUGUGUGAAACACAAUGAGAGUGGAAAAUAGCUAAGUUGAAAAAUGGCCAAAUACUAUUUUGUAGUUCACCCCACCACUUAAGUAAUUUUUGUCAUCCUUUGUGAAUGGAAAAUGCAGUCCCUUCAGUAAUUCUGCAUAUAACCAUUAGUGUCUUGUCCUAAGUUGACCUUUAAUGAUGGUCCAUUGAGAGGGAUCUGACUUUUGUCAACCCUCUUAUUCCUUUGAUCAUAGAGGUUAAACAUACGGGGCUUAACCCACUUUUCAAUCUCAUUGGAUAUAUGGCAUGUGGUAUCCUCUUCAUCUUGAAAGAGUGAAGUGGUCAUACUCUUUCCUGAGUCCAUCGUGGCCAUGCACUUCUGGCUCAUUGGGCAGAGUGAAAGGAUUCCCUUCUGCUUCAAAUCAUAGAGAGAUAUGCCAUGGUCAGCCUCUUUAAUUUGAAGGAUUGAAGUACUCAAAUCGAUUUCUUUGCAUCCAUCUUAGUCCUGCUUUCAUGUCUCAUGGUUAACCAGGAAGAUCAAGCUUCCAUCCAUGAGAUCAGCAUCUGCAGGGUUAUGACACCACCCUUCCUUGGCAUAGGAAAGCGAUCAUUAAGCCACAUGUCGGAUGACAGAAGUCGUCAUUCAGGUUAUCUUGCGAACUAGGGAAGUUGGAAUUCUAAUUAUUGCAUAUGGUUCUUGAUGUUUAGCCAAUAUACUAUAGGAUUUUAAGCAUCCUGCCCAUGUGCAUUGUGGUUUUUUAUCAGCUAUAUGGUUUACCAAACUGAGGGAUUGAUUAUAGUCAUAAGUACCCUUUUCCCAUUAAUUUCUUGCAUGUGCUUUGCUGAGAUUAUGUUUUUGACAGUGCUAAUCAGGGCAAACCAACAAACAGCUUUAUGUUAACUUUUACAAACUGCCACAUUUUCAGGUUGAACGAUCAGAGAUAAAUCUUGGUGAAACUAGAAGUAAUACAACCUGUGCCGUGGAGAUAAAAGAAAGGGCAGCAGCACUGGUGGCUGCAGAAAUUGAGGCAUGUAGAGACGAUAGAACCCCCAAGAUACCUCUUCAUGAGAAAGUCCAGAAAGAGUGGGCUUGUGCUGUGUGCCAGUUCACAACCCAAACUGAAGCGACCUUCAAUUCCCACCUUCAAGGGAAGAGACAUCAGGCCACUUCUGAGCAGUUGACAGCCAAAAACCAGGCAACCAAAACCAAUUGUUCCCCAUCUGCUUCAAAGGCCAAGAAAUCUGAUCAGUCCACCAAAGAGGAGCAACCGAAGUGUCCUUCCAACAAUCUGAAUUCCAAAAACAAUGGAAUCUCAGCUGCUUCAAUAGUGAAGAAACCUGACGAGACCAAAGAUGAUGAGCAACAAAAGUGUGCAUCCAGCAAUGGACCAAACCAGAAGAAUAACAAAAAGCAAGAGGAGAAGGUGCUAGUUCUUGAGACCAAUGAGCAAGGCCAUCAGAAUAAUUUUGAUCCACGAUCCCACAUUUAUUUUGGGUCUCACAAGUUUCAAAUUUGCAGAAAAAUGAAAGAUGUUUGAGAGAAAAUUAAAUCAUAUUGCACUACUGUUAGGAAAAAUAUGGCUGAAUCCGAUUGCUUUUCUUCUCCAAGUCUACUAAAAAUAUAAUUUUUUUCCCCAUUCCUGACAAAAUUUAAAUUUUUUCCUUAAAAAAAAAAAAAAAUUAAGUUUGAUCAUCUAACACAUCUGUCUAAACUCAAUCUCAACUUGAAAAAUCAAACCUUAAUGGAUGGACUAUAGAAAUAGUGAGAAAACACUUCUGGGUUUUUAUUUUUCUUCCAACAUCAAAUUUUUCUAUAUAUGGGAUUUCACAUGCAAAAGCAGGAGUAGAUUUGCUUGUGUUUGAUGUAUGUAUUAGAAAAAUUUGUCCCUUCUGGGAUGUUUAAUACUUCUCUAUUCUUUUAUAUGCAUGUUUAGCUAGAAGAUAUAGAAUCGAUACCAUUCCUUAAAAGUGAUAGCCACAACUGUGAUAAUUAAACAUCAAAGAAUAUGAAGAUCUAUAUAUUCUUUUUUUUUUCCUCUCUCUUUCAAUAAUGAAGCUAAGAUGUGUUGUAAGCAUCAAAUGCAUCGUCUCUGCUUGAAUACAAAGCCAAGGACCACAAGAUGGAUGGAUAUGGGGACGCACAAAACUUCUCAAACAUGAUUAUAUUAAUCAAGAAUUCAACUAAGCUUAAAUUAAAGAUGUUGAUUUCUAGCAUCUCUAGUGCUAUAGGAUGACUAUUGAUCCUGUAUUGUUAUGUGCCUUACUGAUAUAUUCUUCGGGUUGUUAUGUAUAAAUAAAAAUUUAAAAAAAGAACGCUAUCAAGAUUAAGGCUUCUUGUUAACUGAGAUUCUUCCAUGGGAAAGUUUGCUUAGUGGUUACACUAUCACUAUUUAGGCCAGUAAAAAUUGGAAGGCUUUGUAAAAAACUGAUGGUCCAAGAGCUAUUCUACUUCAUCAUCCAUGUAAUAUGACGAUACAAAUUUGACUAAAUGCAACUAUAGAAGGCUUAGGACCAUAAACCAAGCCUAGUCUAGAUGUCACUUACCUAAAUUUAUGCAUAAAGCUUUUGGAUGGCUCAGAGUUAUAUUUGAUUAGUGUUAUGUUCACAACUAUAUUUUCAUUGGAUUUAUAGUCCAGCUUGAGAACUAGUUCUCCAUUGCACAUAAUGUCCACACAAGGCCAUAGUGCCCGCUCAAGGCCACGGGGCUCACUCAGGCCACGGUGCCCACUCAAGGCUCAAGUGCCUGCUCAAGACCCAAUGCCCACUAAAGGCCAUAGCGCUACUCAAGGAUAUAGUGCUUACUCAAGGCCAUAGAGCCCACCUAAGGCUAAUGACCCAAUCCAAACAGUAAUUAAAGAAUAAAAAUUGCAUUCCCUUGUGACCAAUCCAAACAUUAGACCGCUGACUUGUAUAAGACAUCAUUCACCAUGCAAGCACUUUGUCAGCAACCUACCAUCUGGCAUGAACCAUUUUGGAUUGAUUCACAAAGCAAUGAUGUUAUAUUAAGCAUAUUCAAUAUAUAACCAAAUUGUGCUUCCUUGGAUUAACUAAAAUAUUUCCAUUGCAAGAUGAGCAGAUAGGCAUGUCAUGAAGUACUUUCCUGAUGAUAAUACCCCACAAAAUAUUUCUUUUUCUCACUGAUCUCUCCUAGAUUUUCUGUUCACCCAUCCAUGGCGCCUGACUAAAAAUGGGGGCAUUUUGGAUACCCCGAGCAGUGAGUCAGCCUGGUAGGCAUCCCGUUGCAAGCAAAGUCAACCCGAGUGGUCCAUUUGACCAAAGCUUAUCUAGGCAGUAAGCGUCCAUAUACAGCUAACUGUUAUGCGCCAUCAACAGGUUGAGGUUACAAGAUUAAAUGCAAAAAUAAAGAGUCAUAAUGGCCAAAUGGAAGUUACACGACUUAGCCUAUAUAAUAACAGUAUGACAAAAAAUGCAGGUAUGAAGAACUAUCACUAAAAAAUUUAUUCCUAAAAGUCCUUUAAGCUAACUUAGGCAUAGGAGAGGUCUAUCCGAAGCACACUCGAGCUCACCUUUUUGUAAGACAUCGAGAACAAGAGGCAUUGAAGUGAUUGUCCGGAGGGUUGAACUUAGUCGGGACCAACAAUGCACACUAUUCAAAAAUAGGGAUCAUAUUAAAUUAUUAAUGCAAUGAAGCAAUUGAGUUCAAGGUUAUUUGAUCAAAAGAAUCAUUGGAAAUUCAAAUUUUAAAAUUUAACCCUCAAUUCUAUUUUGACCUUAUUUGAACAAAAAUGUCUUUAUUAUUUUAUUGUAAAAAUAACUCUUUCUUUUUAACCCUACAUGUAAAUUAAUGCUUGAAAUGACAAAUGACAUUUAUAUUAAAAAUUAAUUAUUUUUUAACUAAAAACAAGAGAAAUCAUUUCAUCUCUUUUAACCAGUUAAUUUGAUUUAUUCCUUUUUAUUUUUUCUCUCCUUAAUUUUCACAUCACCCAACAACACCACUCUUAAUUCACACAAGUUUAAAGUUUUGGAAUGUGAUAUAUUCGUAAUUGUAUUAUAAUAACCAUCUUGUAUUUGGAUUUGUUCUUUCAGUCCAUCUAACCUUUUUGUUUAUUCAUGUCAAAACAAUGUACUUAUAAUCGAAUCCAUUUAUGACAUGUUGAUCUUAUAUAAAUUUAUCCGAUUAGCUUUUUUUUGAGUGAACAAUGAGCUUGAAGUAAAAAGUGUUCAGAUGAUUUUUUUGAGUACGCCCCUCGAAAACUUAAGUUAGUUUAGGGAAGUGACAGAUAAGAAUUUUUUUAGGAACUUCUUUCAUACCUAGAUUUUCAUGUCUGAUAGUUAUUUAUCUGAACCAAGUUACAACAUUUUCUCGUGCAUCUUAAUUGCUUUCAACGUUAACAAUUGACUUAUCGAAUAACGCCUUCUAGGCUUUUGUACUCGUGAAUAGCCUUGAUGUAAUAGUACAACAUUCAGUGCUUUUAAUAAUUAAUGUAUGUUAGAUAGCAAUAAAUGGUGCCCGAAUGGCACUUAAAUGGCGCUCGAAUAGUACUUAACGGUCCAUGCUAGAUGGAUACAAGGAUCCCACACUAUUGAUUUAUAUUUAAUUAUUUAGAAAAUUGAUAAAUUAUUAAUUUAAAAAAAAAAGUAAAAUUAUUGAAAAUUAUUUUAGGAAAAUAUCUUACAAUUUUUAAUUCUUUUAAAAAAUUUCUUUUAAUGUUUAUUUUAUAAAUAUAUAUAUAUUAUAUUUCUCUUCCUCUCUCUCUCUUCUUUACUUAGUCCAUCAUUUAACUAAUUUUCAAUUUUAUAUACAAUACAUACAUUUUUUUCUCAAAGUUUUCCACGGCACCAGGUGCCAGUAGGGGCACUACACUUUCAUCCAAUUAUCAUUACACUAAUUGUUGGAUAGGCUAUUUGUGGACCCCGCAUUUCGGCUCAUGCGUUUCCCACUCGAUGGCGAGCUCGAUUUUUAUUUGAAAAAUUAAUUUGUUGAUUAAAAAUGACUUGGAGUCGCCACUUAUUUUUGUUUUAUAUUUAAAAGGGUAAACAAAAUAAGAAAGAAAACCCUAAGUGUGACUCCUUAUUUUGGAAAAGGUGGUCUGUGAAAAACCUGAUCAGGCUCGGGGGUCAGGUUACUUAUUGGGAAGGUACGGUACGGACCGUAACACCCCUCUAAGUCCCUAAAGUCGGGUCUCUACUAUUAGGAUGAAGCCGUCGUGACAAUCAAUAAGAAAGUCAAUGGAUGUCUAAGUCAAAUCAUGCACAUAUGAAAAUCGGAACAUGCAUAGAGAAUGAUCAAAACGAAAAUGCAUGCAUACCUAGGCCACGAGUCACAAUGCGCUAUCAAGAAACGAGAUUAGUACACAAUUAACGAAUACAAAUUAUAGCUCAUGCAUAUCGGAGUGCAAGAUGAAGAUUAAGCAAAAUAUAUUAAACACAACAGUUGACAGUCAAUAGGGAUCAAACAUAGGGCCUCCCCCUACCAAAGCCCGAUUUAUUGUCCACGAACUAAUCUCACAAAUCUCGUGUUUUAGAAUUAUGAAGGAAUCAUUAUUGCUUAUGUAAAAUCAAGAAGACCAGAAGAUUAUUUAGGAACUAAAAUGGGAUUAAAACUAUUUGAGUGAAAACUGGAUUAUUGGAGUUUAUUUGAAAAUUGGAGUAUUUGGAAUUAACUUUAAAAGAUUAGAGCUUCGGUAAUUAAAUUGAAAUUUGUCAAAGAAAAUGAGAGAUGAACUUUAGGAAAUUGAUCUGUGAGAAUAUGGAUUUUGGAAGUUGAAUGCGUAAUAAUAGUAAUUAUAAGAAAUGAACUUUGAGAAAUCGGACUACGAGAAUAUAGAUUUUGAAAGUUGAAUUAAUAAUAAUAACAAUGAUAAGAAAUGAACUUUGAGAAAUUAAAUUGCGAGAAUAUAGAUUUUGAGAGUUGAAUUAAUAAUAAUAGUAAUGAUAAGAAAUGAACUUUGAGAAAUUAAACUGCGAGAAUAUAGAUUUUGAAAGUUGAAUUAAUAAUAAUAGUAAUGAUAAGAAAUGAACUUUGAGAAAUCGGACUGCGAGAACAUAGAUUUUGAAAGUUGAAUUAAUAAUAAUAGUAAUGAUAAGAAAUGAACUUUGAGAAAGUAAACUGCGAGAAUAUAGAUUUUGACAGUUGAAUUAAUAAUAAUAGUAAUGAUAAGAAAUGAACUUUGAGAAAUUAAACUGCGAGAAUAUAGAUUUUGACAGUUGAAUUAAUAAUAAUAAUAAUAAUAAUAAUAAGAAUAAUAAGAUUUGGGAAAUUGAAUUAAUAAUAAUAAUAAUAAUAAUAAUAGUAAUAAUAAUAAUAAUGAUAAUAGUUAAUAAUAAUAAUAAUAAUAAUAAUAAUAAUAAUAGUAAAUAUAAUAAUAAUAAUAAUAAUAGUAAUAGUAAUAAUAAUAAUAAUGAUAAUAGUUAAUAAUAAUAAUAAUAGUUAAUAAGAAUAGUAAUAAUAAUAAUUAAUAAUGAUGAUAUCAUAAACCCAAGUCCAUAAGCCCAAGCCCACGUCCAACAUUAAAAGAGCUCAAUCCAUAAGCCCAAGCCCACAUCCAACAUUAAAAAGAGCUCAAUCCAUAAGCCCAAGCCCACGUCCAACAUUAAAAAGAGCUUUGGGCUCCAUCUCCACCCAGCCCAAACUAGCAUAAUAAUAAUAACAAUGGGGCUUUGGGCUCCAUCUCUAUCAUAAGCCCAAGUCCAUCAUUAAAAAAAAAAGCUUGGGGCUCCAUCUCCACCAAGCCCAAACUAGCAUAAUAAUAAUAACAAUGGGGCUUUGGGCUCCAUCUCUAUCAUAAGCCCAAGUCCAUCAUUAAAAAAAAGGCUUUGGGCUCCAUCUCCACCAAGCCCAAACUAGCAACCUUAGCCCAUUAACCCUCAAGCCUAUCAAGACUAAAUGCCCCACUUGGGCAUUGUCUUCAAUAAGGAGCUCCCCAGCAAGGGCGCCAUGGCCGUCGGAGCUAGGACCGCCCGCGACGCCGGAGGUGCGGGGGUCAUUGCUACGAGCGCCGACGAUGGCUUGGAGAUCUUUGUAGAACCUCACAAAACUCAUCAAAGGCUCAAAUAUGAUGAACAAACUCGAUACAACCCUCAAGUAUUAAACAAGCUAAAAUGGAGGGCCAACUAUUUACAGGAGAAAACAAAGACGGGGCGUGUACAUGCACUACAUUCAAACUCAAAACCAAAUAAUUUGAGAUGUCCACAACAAGAUCACUAAAAUAUUACCCAUGGGUCAGUAAAGAAAUGAUGCCAGAUACCGAGAGAAAGAAACGUAUUAAACUCGAAAGGGACUCACCUGGAACUCGUGAAAGCUUCCUAACAGCCAACUUUCUCUCCCAAGCUAGCUCCCCCUGGUUCUCUCUCUCAUUGUCGAAAACCUCCAGAAAAUCCCCCCCCCCCCUCUCCCCCAAAAAAAAACCAGAAAAUCUCUCCUAUCUUUUUUCUUUUUCAGCAAGCCACCACCUGCCUCUCUAUUCAUGCAUCAGCAAGCAUGGUUUUCUUCAUCACCAGCAUGGCCCCUGCCAUGCCCAUGCAGCCCGUCUUUUUGGAGAAAAGGGCCCCCCUUUCUUUCAAAAAAAGAAAAUGCAAAGAAGAGCUCACCCUCUCUCUUCCCCCCCCCCCCUCCCCCCCCCUACCCCCUUCUNNNNNNNNNNNNNNNNNNNNNNNNNNNNNNNNNNNNNNNNNNNNNNNNNNNNNNNNNNNNNNNNNNNNNNNNNNNNNNNNNNNNNNNNNNNNNNNNNNNNCCACAAAAGGGGUCUACAAAUAUGCCCCUCUUCGGUAGAGCUCAUGAGUGUAAGGAAUGUGAACAUUGGAGUGAAAAGCAAGUGUGAGUAAUGAGUGUAACGAAGUGAACUCUACCGAAGAAAAAGAGAGACCCCUAAAGGUAUACACAUAGAAUAGAAACUCAUCCGAACCAUCAUGGGUACCGAAAGAGUCCUAAAAUCCUAAAAGGAGAGUGGAUCUCUCAAAGUGCCUCUGGAACCGUACCAAAGACCCAAACUCUCUCUAAGACUUCUCCAAAGAUGACUCGGAGUACAAGAAUGAAUAUGCCUCGAGGGGAUUGCCCUAAGAGAACUACAUGGAAGUCCCAAGUGAAGGGCGCCCAACAACAUGACCGAAGUAUGCGUCGUAAACUCAAAGGACUACGUCAUGAGCAAUGAGGAGAGAAAUCCGGAAGAGCAAUGACGGAUAAGCAACGAGCACAGGAUAACACGGUGAGGAAAACGAGGAUAGAUGCUAACCCCUGAAGGUAAGAUGUGUAAUGCCAGCGAAUAUGAAUGCAAGGGACUGUGACCCUGAAUGAUAUAGUCGAGGAGAAAUGACUCUGUACUUCAAGUCACGGAAAGAUGGUGACUUAAGGUCCUCGAAUGAAUAUGUACAAUGGCUCUGAACGUCAAAUUAACGAACGACGGUGGAACUGAAUGCUAAACAGAACAAUGGUUCUGAACGCCAAAACUAAGAAAGAUGAUGACUCACAAUGCAUGAAUGGGUAUAAAAAAAAAAAAACGGCUCUGAACGCCAAACUAAAGGAAAAAUAUGGUAAGGACGGUAAAUGUCAAACAUAACAGUGGCUCUGAACGUUAAAAUUAAAGAAAAGAAAAGAAAUGGCUCAAAAGGCUUGAAGGAGUGUGCCCAAUGGCUCUGAACGCCAGAAAUGAGGAAAAUGGUGAUGAAUCGAACGAAAGAUAGACAUGAGGACCCUGAGUGCCGAACCAAAACCAUGACUCGGAACUCUAAAUAAAUAAUAAAAGAAACAAAUAAUGGCUCUGAACACCGAAUGAGGAUGUGGCUUCGAACGCCAAAUGAAGAUGUGGACCUGAAUGUCGCUCGAAGAUGAGGCUCUGGACGCCGAGCGAAGCGAAACAUGGCUCUGGAUGCUGAAACGAAUGAUAUGCAAUGGCUCUGAACUCCAAAUCGAAGUGGACAAGGGCUCUGAAAGCCAAACAAAGCAAAACAUGGCUCUGGAUGCUGAAACGAAUGAUAUGCAAUGGCUCUGAACUCCGAAUUGAAGUGGACAAGGGCUCUAAAAGCCAAACGAAGCAAAACAUGGCUCCGAACGUCGAAAUGAAUGAUGUAAUGGCUCUGAACGCCAAACGAGAAUACGACUCUGAACGUCAAAUUGAGGAGUGAUAAUGGCUCUGAAUGCCAAAACUGAAAAUACGACGAGGAUAGCUCUAAACACUAAUACUGAUGAGUGAUGGCUCUGAACGCCGAACGAAGAUGCGAUGAUGGCUCUGAACACCGAAACCAGGAAAGCGACUUUGAAUGUAAAACUAGGAAACGAUGGUGGCUCUGCACGCCGAAACUGAGAAUGCGACGAGGAUAGCUCUGAACAUUGAUACUGAUGAGUGAUGGCUCUGAACGCCGAACGAAGAUGCGAUGAUGGCUCUGAACACUGAAACCGAGAAACGUGACAAUGAUGGCUCUGAACGCCAAAACUGAAAAUGUGACACUGAACGUUGAACUGAAAACACGAUGACGACUCCGAACGUCGAAACUGAGAAACGAUGGUGGCUCUGAUGACUUCGAAUGUCAUAAAUCGCGAAUGAACGGUGGCUCUGAACACCAAUACUAAGAAAUGAUCAACGGCUUUGAAAGCCAAAAUGAAACAACGACACCUCCGGACGCCGAAAUGAAACGACGACUCUGAACGUCAAACCAAAAGAAUCAUCGAUGAAUGCCAAUCUGAAACAAAAGCUCUGCAUGCCCAACUAAAUUGGUAACUAGGAAUGUCAUGCUGAGAAAGACGACUCUGAACAUCGUAAACGAGAAGACAAGGUGGCUCUAAACGCCAAGUUGGAAAGGGAUAAUGGCUCUGAAUACCAAAACUAGAGAGAUGGCUUUGAAUGCCGUAACCGGGAACGCAAAUCGAAACGUCAAACUAGCAAGUGAUGACAGCUCUGAUCGCCGAAACCGAGAAACGCGACGAUGAUGGCUUUGAACGUCAAACUGAAAAAGAAUGAGGAUGGCUCUGAACGCCAAAACUGAAAAGAGAGGAUGAUGGCUCUAAACGCCGAAACCGAGGAACGUGAUAAUGAUGGCUCUGAACGCCAAAACUAAAAAUGUGAUGAGGAUGGCUCUAGACGCCGAUACUGAGAAGUAAUAACGAUGACUCUAAACGCCGAACGAACGAAACAUGGCUCUGAAUGCCAAACAGAAACAAAACACGGCUCUGAAUGCCAAAACAAAAAUAGUUGAUGGCUUUGAACGCUAAACAGAAACAAAACACGGCUCUGAACGUCAAAACCGAGGAACGCGAUAAUGAUGGCUCUGAACGCCAAAACUGAAAAUGUGAUGAGGAUGGCUCUGAUUGCCGAUACUGAGAAGUGAUAAUGAUGACUCUAAACGCCGAACGAACGAAACAUGGCUUUGAACGCCAAACAGAAACAAAACACGGCUCUGAACGCCAAAGCAAAAAUAGGCGAUGGCUCUGAACGCUAAGCAGAAACAAAACACGGCUCUGAACGUCGAAGCGAAAAUACGCAAUGGCUCUGAACGCCAAAACUGAAAAUGUGAUGAGGAUGACUCUGAACGCCGAUACUGAGAAGUGAUAACGAUGACUCUAAACACGAACGAACGAAACAUGGCUUUGAACGCCAAACAGAAACAAAACACGGCUCUGAACGCCAAAGCGAAAAUAUGCGAUGGCUCUGAACGCCAAGCAAAAACAAAACACGGCUCUGAACACUGAAGCGAAAAUAGGCAAUGGCUCUAAACGCCAAAACUGAAAAUGUGAUGAGGAUGGCUCUAAACGCCGAUACUGAGAAGUGAUAAUGAUGACUCUAAACGCCGAACGAACGAAACAUGGCUCUGAACGCCAAACAGAAACAAAACACGGCUCUGAACACCAAAGCAAAAAUAGGCAAUGGCUCUGAACGCCAAACAGAAACAAAACACAGCUUUGAACUCUGAAGCGAAAAUAGGCAAUGGCUUUGAACGUCAAAACUGAAAAUGUGAUGAGGAUGGCUUUGAACGCCGAUACUGAGAAGUGAUAACGAUGACUCUAAACGCCGAACAAACGAAACAUGGCUUUGAACGCCAAAUAGAAACAAAACACGGCUCUGAACGCCAAAACGAAAAUAGGCGAUGGCUCUGAAUGCCAAGCAGAAACAAAACACGGCUCUGAAUGCCGAAGCGAAAAUAGGCAAUGGCUUUGAACGCCAAAACUGAAAAUGUGAUGAGGAUGACUUUGAAUGCCGAUACUGAGAAGUGAUAAUGAUGACUCUAAACGCCGAACGAACGAAACAUGGCUCUGAACGCCAAAGCGAAAAUAGGCGAUGGCUCUGAACGCCAAACAGAAACAAAACACGACUCUAAACGCCGAAGCGAAAAUAGGCAAUGGCUCUGAAUGCCAAAACUGAAAAUGUGAUGAGGAUGACUCUGAACGCCGAUACUGAGAAGUGAUAACGAUGACUCUAAUCGCCGAAAUCGGGAACGCAAAUCGGAACAUCAAACUAGGAAGUGAUGAUGGCUCUGAUCGUCGAAACCGAGAAUGCGACAGUGAUGGCUUUGAACGCCAAAACUGAAAACUGAUGAUGACUCUGAAUGCCGAAACCGAGAAUGUGACUCUGAACGUCAAACUAGGAAGUGAUGAUGAUGGCUCUGAACUCCGAAACUAAAAAGUGAUGGUGGCUCUGAAUGCCGAACUACAAGGAAAUGAUGAGAGAGAAAUAUGCCCCAGUGUGGCAUGCCGCUGCAAAUCUCAAUCCGCUGGAAGGGUCUGAAAGAGACUCUAUGAGCCCCGAAAGACGCUCUGCUAGCUAGUCAGAAUGAUCAGGUCGACGGUGAACACAGUCUCAGGACCCGCCCGAAGAAAUCACGAGGUCUUCCAGAGUGUCGUAAUGAGCCGAACUCCUCUAACUCAUAAUGCUCUGCUUGAAGGACCCAUCGUCGUCUCGAACGGAUAAUCCGAUAGUCUCAGGGAGUAGUCUGGUAAGAGACACACCAUGAUCUCAACAUAACCAUCUACUAAAUAGUCCUGGCCAAUGGGGCGAUCCAAACCCGAACAUCGUGCUCCACUGAAAGCUCAUCUCGACGAAAAGCACAGGAAUAGUGACCAGUGAAGCAAGUGCAAUAUCUCUCGACCGAGUAAUGAAAACUAUAACAGACCCGUGAGGGAAUGAUCACCUCCAUAGCUAAAUGAGGAGAAUACGCCUAGUAUGGUAUCAGAUGUACCUGAUCUAUCCUGAUGGCUCAAGGAUAACUCCAUGGGGACGUACAAAGGAUCUAGCAUGUACCCUGUUAAAAUGGGGACGCGGGAAUCCACGCGCCUGAGAUAACUCUGUCCAGGAAUCACGACUAUAUCAGAAAAUGUGAAUCUGGCUGAAAGGCUCCAGAGAGGCUCCACAGAGUAUCAGGACACAAUGAAAUCGAAUCAUCAAUCCGAUGUGUAUCUCAUAAUCGGGGAUGAUCAUGCAAAUCAGUGGGGAAUCUACAAAUCCCAACCAAAAUGAGGAAUAUGCCCUAGUGUGGCAUCAAAACGUGACAGGUCAGGAAAAUCAAAUGAGCUCAAAUCAUCCAUCAUCGAAUGCGCGAUCCAAGUCAUCCAUGUCUAUAACUGAAUCAGACCCAUAGAUCAAAGGAGCGUCUCCCGGGAGGAAAGCCUGAUGACAUCUAAGUGUCAAGAAGUAGGCCUAACUGGGCAACUCUCGAGAGGCUCCACUGAGGAAUCAUCGUAAAGAUAGCGAAUAGAUCAUCGUCUCGAUGUACGUCUCGCGAAUGAGGAUAAGCGCGCAACUCCACCAAGAUCUGUAA
Molecule: long non-coding RNA, 108273 nt
Filed under: Vitis vinifera (wine grape)
Lineage: Eukaryota; Viridiplantae; Streptophyta; Magnoliopsida; Vitales; Vitaceae
Description: long non-coding RNA (VVIN_LNC000787)
Source: RNAcentral